Molecule: non-coding RNA, 94171 nt
Organism: Xyrichtys novacula (pearly razorfish)
Lineage: Eukaryota; Metazoa; Chordata; Actinopteri; Labriformes; Labridae
Source: the annotation of a GenBank genome assembly
CUUGAAGUUGAAGUUGAAAAAACAGUUUGAUUCCCAUUCUGAGACUCACAGAGGUAAAGAUAGAAAGAGGUUCAUCACUCUGAGGGACUGAGCAAGCAAACUGUUAAACAAUUUCACAAUCUCAUUUCUCAGCAUUAAACUGUAAAGCAUGUGGGGAUUUCAUCAACUGCAGUGCAUGAUUUCAUGAAAAAAUUCAGAGACAUGUCUUUACAAAAGGGAAAAGGCAGAAAACCAGUACUGGAUAGCUGUGAUUUUCAGGCUCUUGGGUGGUACUGCACUUCAAACAGACAUCACUCUGUGAUGGAAAUCACCACAAUUGUACCAUGCUAAGAGGAAAACAUAUGUAAAAAUGACCAAUGAAUUAAUGCGACUUCCUUUAGCCUGUCCUUUUUAAAAUGAACUGCGGUGAAAUGAAAAACUGUCCUGUGGUCAACUGUGCGAAGAGUCAAGAUUUCACACAUUUUUGGAAAUUGUGGAUGCUGUGUCUUGUGGUCUAAGACUGACAGGGACAGCCCUGAUUGUUAUCAGUGCACAGUUCAAAGGACAGAAGUGCAGAAGUGCCCUUGGCAUGGUUAGCUCAUCCACAUCUUAUUUACAUUUACACAUAUACAGGUUUUGGAGCUGCUCCAGACAAUCCUGCAAUACACACAAUGCCUUUUUUGGGUGCCAAACUGCAUUGCACAUGUAUUACAACAGCAUGGCUCUGAAGAGUCUGGGUGCUAAACUGGCCUGCCUGCAGUACUUGUCACCAAGUGGAUACACAACAAAACUGUUAAGCAGCCGAAAUCCUCUCCGGCAAGAAUAGUACAACGUUUCACUCUCCAGACUCCAGCGACCAGGGUCCUUGGUUCACAAAUGUUUGCAGAGGUUUGUUAAAAGAAGAGGUGAUGCAACAGGACAGUAAACAUGCAACUUUUUUAGAAAGUGUUACUGGCAUCAAAUUUAAUUUGAUGCCAGUAAGAAUUUAUUGAUUAAUGAUUUUUUUUUCAACAUUAUAUAUGUUGUUUUUGCACUAUUUUCAAUCAAAUGAAGGGUUUAAAUGAUUUACAAACCAUUAAAAUCUCUUUUAAUCAAGAUUUUUUAGCAUCCCAUCUCUUUGAAAUUGGGGCUUUGACACCAAAUAAAACGUAGUGCUUUUCUGUAACUUCUGUGACUUUCUUUUUUUCUCAAAAAUGCUGAUUGCGUUUGUCCUUGAAGAUGUAAGUGUGACAGUUCAUGAAAACACCGAGGUGACGACGAUCACUCUGGCAGAGAAGGGGUUAAAACACUGGGGUUUAUAUACAGAUCAGACUAAUUGCUUUAGAGACACAGGCGUUUAAGAGAAAAGAUGAGAAAGAGAACGAUGGCGGGGAGUAACACCGGAAACAACACAAAACCACCAGGAUUACAGGCUCUACAAAACAUAUAAAAACAUACAGAUUUGGCAUAAAAUUAUAAUAAAGAACACAAGUUUAUUUUUAUCUGCAUUCAGAGCAAGUUGCAGCUGAGAAAGAUGAUCUUUCUUGACUUAAAUUCAUAUUGAAAAUCCUCAAAAAUUUUGAAAAGAAAAGGAAGAUUUAAAUUUUUUUUAGGACAAUUAACAAAUAAUAGCAGUGAGCCCAAGACAGAGCCCUGAGACACAGCUUUGUGGAUUCUUGGUACUGGAUCCUGGUUUUCUUCUGGAUGAUUGUUAUCAACUCACUGGCUGUGAUCUGAAAAUCCAGUAGUUAGACAACAUUACUUGUUAUCUAAUUCAUAUGUUGUGUCAUGGCAGCGAUAGUAGUAAUGUGGUUAAUAAUUUCUAUAUUGGAGCCUUUUGUUGUUCAAGACAGCAGAGUCCUCAUCACACUACAUAGGACAUCAAUUCUUUAUAAGAGUCAUGACUAAUAACGUGAUACAAAGACUCCGCUGUAAGAUUUAUAUUCUUAAUUAAGGGUGCCUGACAGGACAUCAAAGUCUGAAUCCCUGUGGCAACUGUCAUCUCCUGAGGCAUUAAAAAAUAUUUGUUUAAUGAUUAUUCAUAAAUUUAGUAAUUAAAAGUCCUCACAGAUUUGAUAGAUAAGUUUCUGCUGCUUUAAAAAUGCCCAGAAUUAUUGGAUUAAUUCAAGUCAACACAUCGCAGUGGGACUGUACUCCCUGGCUCCUCUGAAGUCCUCCCUAACAGCAUUUAAUGACCUGUGCAUUUGAAAGCCUCCUCUCAGCAGGUUGACUUUGUUUGGAUUGGAGGACCUUGCUGUUUGUACGAGGGACCGCUCCUCAGCCUUUGAGGGCUUACUUUUCCAAUCCAUUUAACAAAUACCUUUUUUCUACACUCAGUGAACUUACACAACCACUUCAAGGAAAACACUCAUCAUGAGCCAAAUCAAAAAUCAAAUUCCUGAAAAUUAAAUAAUAUCUGCUUCUUUAACACCACUUUUCGCACUAACAUGCUCAGUGAUCCGCAGGAGUUACUGUGGUUUCACAGCUUGGUGAGGAGUUGUUAAAGUGCAACCAAGUAGCAAGAUAUUUCUGAAGUACACUGUUCAAGCUCCAGAGACCUAGCAGGCCAAAAAUAAAGGUGAAUCACCAUGUUAUAUUCCUGCCAUAAAUUGUAAAAAAAAAAAAAUGUUCCCUGUGUGCAGUCCCAAAAUCGCUAGCACAGUGAGAUUUCUCAGCCUGAGUGUGCAGAGGUGCUUUCAGCCCUCAGUGAACUCGCCUUUAUCUAUCAUGGCUUCUUUACGAGCUUCUGCGCCAUGCUUUUCCUUUUACAGAUCCAUUGAGUGGACUGAGUCAGUCAUGGCAAGCAUUAUGUAAUUCCAAUCAAUCUGAGUUAUAAAAUCUUGACAUAGGCCGAGGCUGGGCUACAGACUACUGCUGAAAUUUACAGCUGUUUAGAUUGCAAGUCACUUCCCUGUGGCCUGUGUAUACACACUCUGCAUCUGCCUUCUAGAGCCGAGGGGAAAUAAAACUCUGCCCAUGAGAGACUUCAGAUCUGAGUUUUACUCUCUGUCUAAAGCAAUCAUGAAUGAUUGGGUGCAUUUACAGCAUUAGAUUGCUUUAAUUUUCAGGAGUCUGCUGUAACUGCAAGGAAAAAGGAAGAGGGGGAGCUCACUGCAGCUCUUUUAAGAGAAAACAUUCCUGAUGUGUUUAAAAAAAGAUGAACAAACCAGCCAAGGGAUGUUAGCCUCUGCAGCUGUAGGUGGCAGCAGAGACUGCUCCUCCUCUGAAGAAGAAGACUGAUUACUAUUCACAGCACUAACCAGGGUACAUAUCAGCCCAACACAUACAUAAAUCGAUUCAGUUUAAUGUAAACCCACGGUUGCAUAGAAUGAAAUAUUUACUUGUGUGUGACACUCCUCUGCAGCCUGAGUGUGUCUGUUAUUGGAUGGAGCUGGAUGCUUCUGUCAUCACCUUGAACUGCGUUAUCUCUCUGCAUGUUUUUCAUGGCACCACUAAGUUUACCAUCCACAUCCAAAAUGGCUCAAGAUGAAUUCAUGACUCACAUCCAGGACGCAGAAGAAUAAAACUCGUGUUUGUUUUCGGCACACAUCCUGCCGAAUAAUCUCACUUUGGAAGACUGUUUACGUCUGCAGAGGACUCCUGCUCCAUUUAUGCUUUCUUUAAUGUACUUUGUCAUUAAGACUAUCUCUACGAGCGCUUCACAUCUCUUAAGGAUGCACUCACGCCUUUCAUAAUGUGUGUUAAUCUACUCAACAUUUGUUGUUAACAUAUUUGUUUAAGUGAUCCUUUAUCCUCUGUAUACAUAAUACACAGACUGGGGGCUUGUCUAUAGUCUGCUGAUGGAACUAUCCUUUGGGUAUCAUAACGGAUGUGCUUGAAUUAAAGACAUUAUGCUAAUUGUACAUACAGAGUGCUCAGAGCGAUUCUCCAUCUUCUUUAUGCAUGCAGACUUAAUUCAAUGAAUCUGUGGGAGAGCACUUUCACCAAUGGGUGAACUCGAUAUACAGCACCUGAACGUAAGCCAAGCUAUACAGAUUAACAACGUGACAUACUGGAAGCAAUAUUACAAUUAUGUCAUAGCAAUUUGUUAAACUGUCUCAAGGCUGACUGCACGAGCGGAGGGAUAACUUAUGGGUUUUGUGUGGCUGCAUGUCUGUGAGUGUGCUUGUCUGUGAAGUUGCUCCUUACAGGAAUAGGUUGCCUGUAAUUCUUUUAUUUGUCAAUUUUUGGCAGUUAUAAAAACACAUCCCAGCUGGCUGCCUGCCUGCACAAUUGCCUGCUAUUAAUGUUGAUGCAUAAUUGCAUUACAUAAUGUGUUGUGCUGUUUUUUAGUGGAGUCAAACAGCUGUGGCUGUUGGCUGUCCAUGCUGCACAAAGUCAAGUGCUCUCCCCUCCUUCCCUGCUCCAUACCAGCCCAAUCAGAAAUGGGAGCUGUCACAGGUCACUGUCAAUUGUAAGCUGUAUCAGUGCGGCUUUUGAAACUGUUACAGAGCUCCAAUUUAGUUUGUCAGUGAAUGGUAAGAUUUUAAGUGCACAGGGAUUUGAUUCAUUCAUAUUCCUUUAUCAGACGGCAGCUAAUUCAAACACAGUAGUCGUACAAUGUCAUAAGUGACAGACAGAGAAAUCAAUCUCUGUUGUAGAGGGAGAGAGGAUGGUGGAGAGUUGAGGAUUUUCUACGACAAGCUCUGCCUGUCGGCUCCCCAGCAGAUGGUGGUGCAGCAUCGCAGAGGAGCCUCUCCCAGAGCAGGAUGAAAAUGGUGCAGAAGAUGAGGUGUCUGAAAAUGAACGCUGCAGAAAUUGAGGUACGAAGCUUAAUGAAAUAAUAGGGUCAUAUCUUACCUACACCAUCAUUGUACAAGGCAGCACAUUUUUAUAAAACUGACAGCAGUAUAUCUUUCAACAUCUCCCAUAUGGUGUAGCCAGGGGGACGAUUAAAAGUGGAGCACAUUGAUAGCCUGGGUGCAGAGGACGUAUGUGCGUGUGGUUGCAGUUUUGAAUCCAGUCACUUACGUAAAUGAAUCCAGGAUUGAAAGCAAUCAUAAUAUUCAAACUGCAGAUUAAAUACUUGACAUGGCAGGAGCUAAGACAUGCAGUUGGGUUUACAGAGAGCAAAGAAGGAGCAAAGCAAAAUAUCAAACGUGCUUACAUGUGAUAAGUCAGACGUGUUUACACUGGCUUCAUUUGCAUCACAAAGAGCAUAUUUGACAGUGGGAUUUGUGAUUUUUGUGUCAUCAUACAUUGCUUUGUUGUGCAGCACUGGCAGGUGAUAUCACAAGCAUUGCGGUGCUCUCUCUACCUGUUACAAGGCUGAAACACUUUGCAAUUUCAGAUUUAGCGUUUUCAUAUUUUCCAGGCAGUAAGUGCAUUUUGAAGAGAGAUCAAACUCGCUGAUUUAUCUGAGUUUCAAAUUGCUUCUGCCCCUCAACUCAAAGUCAAGUAUUGUUUCUGUGCCAUAUUGGUUGCCUUUGGGAAAUAUCUGGGCUGUCUUUAGCUCUAUAUUGGAUGGGCGCGGAUAGAUUCUCACUCUGAAAAGGGAUGGAGGAAAGAGCGGUGAAGGGAGUUUGUCACACUGUAGAAAAAGCAUAAAGAUGUGGAAAAAAAAGUGACCAUCUAUUACAUUACAUGAUUUUCUGUGCUCACAGAAGAAAGCGGGAUGACAUGCUCUGCUGAUGGAGGUCAUGGGGCCAAAUUUACUGACAUGGAAAGAGGAGUUUUAAGGUAAAACAUAUCUUGCCAUGCAUGUUCUGACAUGAAAUAUCAGUGCUGCAGAUGUCAGACAUGAGUUCUGAGGCUGAGUGCAUCCUUUGAAGUCGUGCAAAAUGGCUCUCAUCAGAUGAGAGCUGUGCAGACUGAGACAUCCAGUGUAUAAAAAAUGCUGUGAUUGGAAACCUGGUAAGCUAAUGAGUUUGCACUUCUAUCUUCUCAAUUUGUACAGGCUUUUGUGCCAAGGCCUUUGAGGCUUGUCUGUGCCAAGUCUUGUAAUAGUGUUCUCAUUGUUCGCCUGAGAAUCUGACACUUUUUUUUCAUGAAACUUAGGGGGAAUCCAUCUCAAAACUUUUUCACAUGGGAAAGACAAGAAGGCCCGAGAAAAUUGCUGUGAAUUAUGGAUAUUGCUGCAGUGAAAUUAAGAUGACAAAGAAGUAGAGGAAAAAAAGGAAUCCUGUCUUAAAAGGCUCUGAAGAGGGAUAUUUCACAACUGCAUCUGAGCUGCAAUGCGGCGUAACAAGUCAUGAGUAGUUCUAGUUAAAAAAUUAUGAAGUUACAUUCCUCUUUUUCACUUUCUGUGUGCUGGCUGAAACCCUGCUUUUUAGUGGCAACAAACAUCUUUAACUAUUAGCAAGUAGCCUGUGAAAUUAUGUGUACACUAGCCUCUUGUUUUCCUGUCACAGUUUUUGCGAUAAAAGUGAAAUAAUUUAGCUCCAGUUGCUUAGCGCUCAUCUCCCUCCCUCUUCCUCUCUCAGUCUCCCUCCCUCUCUCUCUCUCUUUCUCUCUCUGCCUGCCCCUGACUUUCUGCUUUGGUUUGCCUCUGCCUUGGCAAACCGCAUAACUAUCAGAUAAAUGAGCUACAAAUGAGAAAGGGGUUGCUUCACUUGGGAGUUGUUCAAAUUAUUGGGAGGCCACUGACCACAGUGCUUAUUUGAGCUUAAGAUGCAGGCUGUUGAGAUUUGCUGGGAGCAAAUCUAGAGGCUGGUUGAGUCUUCAGGCAUGUCCAAUCCGAUCCAUUCAACCAUUAAUGCCCGAGAGUAGACCAGGGGAAACAUUACAGCCCUCAGAUCGACUCGGAGCACUGCGACCAGGGUCCCUUUUCCUCCUUAAACUCACUACUCCCUGUCCUCUCAUCAGGCUUAGUGAAAAUUUAGUUAUUCUUACACAUGACAAGACAGAACAGAACAUUCCCUCCUCUUCACUUCUUUUCUUUUUUUUUUUUACUUACUAGUGAACACUCAGCACUUUUGCUUUUUAAUUAUAGCUACCCUUGUUGUAAUAACCAGCUGUCCAGAGAGUUAGAAAUAAUCACACAGCACUAAACAAACAGAGUACAGUGCUACAUUACGCAUUGUAUUAUGUAUGUGGAUUUUCUUUUUCUUUUCUCACUCACAGAUACACAAAGGGUCAAAGUGCUGAAGAAAAACACUUUGAAACUAGCAAAUGAGAUACUGCAGAGUAAAAUUAUAACAAAUGUGUCUGUAUACGGAUAGAAAAAUUCUCCAUACAUUCAGGGGUACAGUGCAAUCAGACUACACAUCUCUGUUGCUCUGUAACGCACAGACACACACACACACACACACACACAUACAUAAAUGCACACAGUAAUUCUAUGAGGCUCAAGGUUGUCGUGCUUAUUGAAUAUAUCAACUUAACCACUUAUGUCAUUGAUCAAAAAGCCAAUUCCACUUCUAUUAUUGUGUUAGAGGGUAAAACAAUUGCCAAAUGACUUUGUGAGGUGCACUCACUUGGUAAACAGAUCUGAGAUCCAUUAAAGCCUUGGAGAUUAUCAAGCCUCAGUCCAACAAUUUGUGGAGAUUGCUCUGAACACCUUGCUGCUGACCUUCCUCAUCCAGUUGAAAGUCAAUGGGAAACGUGGCAAGGAGCCCGCCAGCGCCACAAGCAGCCCCUUCACUUUAAUUACACCGUACCUCAAUGGCUGGAGAUAUCUUUGCACCCCCCCCCCCCCCACACCCCCCAACCCUCCACCUGCCUCCUACCUACAUCCAUGUGUCACUAUUGAUACCUCAAAGCCACCAAUACAGUCCAGAUGUGCCACAGCUGUAAUAUCCCCUGGACACCUCUUGACAGGCUCAAUCAGAGGACUCCGUGAUAGAUAAGGCAAAGCAUGAACUUACAUCUCAUCAAUAUUAAUCUCUGGACUUUACUCCAUGCUGCGCUUUGUGGUUUACUGUGGCUGCCUCCCUCUGACCUCUGAGUGAGGCACAGGGAUGUUUUCCCUGUGCUUAAUCAUAAUGCACAGUGCCUCCUGCAUUGAUAGGUUAAUGUACCCGAGAGGAUCAAUGCAGUCUCGAGGACGUCUAGUACAACAGACGUUUAAAGGUUCGGGGAAAGGCUGUAACAAUGAGUGCGGUCUGUCUAUGUUAGGAACAGCGUGACGCUUAAUUAAAUGAGAUUGUGUAAGGUCUAGUGACUGGUGUGAUGACUUUCUGUAGAUAAUUGGCCAAACGGAUGCAAAUGCAACCGAGCACUCAUUAAAAGCACAUAAAUAAUAAUUUAUACACAGAUAUCUGAGAUCUUACCCCUAAAGAUCAGCAUGAGUUCAGAAAAACAGGCACGGUAACGAGUGUUUGGAACCUAAAGGUGCUAAAGCAGAUUAAACUCAAAGCUGUCUUGAUGUGGUUAUAUAAUGUCCCAUUGAUAUUCAGGAUAUUUGAAGAUAUCUGCGCAAGAUCACUGAAUAACACUGACUGGCAUGAGAUCAACAGUCAGAGCAUUUUUGUUCUGGUAAUCUCCAUAAAACUUUAUGCAAAUCUGUGUGGAAAAAAAUGGAACGGCUUUUUGCCUCGUACAGAAAAACUCAGCAGUAAUUGAAAAACAAGUCACAAACUAUUUUUAUCCCUCUGUGGCAAGAUAAUGCUUUCACUGUGGAAUUUGGGGGCGUGUAGUAUUAAAACAUGAGAAAGUUUAGCUCUUUUUUUUACUUUUUCAAAGCACCUGGGUUACUGUAUCUUUGUCCUCUGAAGGGGAAAAGCCUCAGCAUGGAUAGAGAGAAAAACAUUUGCUUCCAAUGAAUAAAUAAUGAAAGGAAACGAGGUGCUUGCACUAAUUUGCAAAGCAUAAAACGCAGAAAAUUUCACAGAGUUUUAAGCCAAGGUUUUUGGGGGAUCGUUUACCUCACGGCAGGGUGCUACAACAUGCAGCCAAAUAUAGAAACACUUUUAGCAGGAAACUUUAAAAAAUGUAGAGUACUUGUCGGUAAAUGAAAUGGAAAACAUUGUAGAAAUCUUUUUAUUUCUAAGGGCUGGCACUGAAUCUGGAUGUGUGCUACAAAGAGUAUGUUUAAAUAGUCACAUAAUCUAGAGAGUAACAUAUAAAGAGAGAGAUUGCUCUCUGGUUUCAGUUCGUGUUUACUCUUAUCAUUGUCAAAGUCACAUGUUCAGACUCACUGUACAAAUGUCAGGCUUCCGUACGCUUACUUUGAUCAAAUCUUGUAUCUUGACAGUUAAGCUCUUCCGCUGCUGCAGGGCUGAUGAAGACACUCCUCAUUCCGUUUACACAGGACCACUGAGCAUCUGCACGCCAAUUGUCUCUUUUAUUUCCAGGUGUCUGGCAGCUAUAGCAGAGCUUUACGGUCCAAGAAAGCUGCUGUCUUCCCUUUGGAAGGAACCUGAAAGCAAACAGUCGUGUGCCAGUGUUUGGUCAGAGCAACAUAGUCAUUUAUCUCUAGAGGACAAUCCAUACAAUCAAAAUAAAGAUGUCGAGUGUGGUCGGUGCAGAAUAAUAAUUAGGAUGUAUCCCUGGGCAUGUGUCCCAGCAGUGGUUCCCACCUGUGGUACCAGCUUGAGCAGAUCUGAGAUCAUUCACCUGCAGCAUUACACGAUCUCCCACUGAAUAAGUGCUUUGUUCCUGCUCUUUGGUGCUGAGAAACACCUUAUUCUCAGCACUAUCUGUGGAGGAAAUCCUGAUAAUGUGGAGGUAAACAUUCAACAUUCUCUACUUGGCAGGGUUUUGAGUGAGCAGAAUAAAUAAUAAGAGCAAUGAUCCGUCCCACAUGGAAAAUUAUUUGUGACUGUGAAGUAUUACAUCACUUAACGGUAAGACUUAGGGGGAAAAAAAAACUUAAUUAGCGCCUCCAGAGAGCAGAAACAGAUCCAAGAUUUCAAGGGUAACACUCAGCCAAAAUCUCAGCCAAUAUAUUAUCUCUCACAUUAGUCGGGACCCUGCUGCAGGAAAUGGCUCUUUUCAUUUGGAGAUAUACAAUAUGGCAGCCGCUGAAUAAAUGUGAGUCCUGGUCGUAAGCCCAAAUAUUUUCCAUCUCUAAUUUACUUAGCUGCCAUCCAGCCACUCAUACAGUGUUUUCACUCAAGUUGGGCUUGUUUCAUGCCGCUAUUAUGUAUCCAUGGCCACACUUUUCAUCAGGAAUUAGACAGAGAAGACAUCUCUGCUUUCUAUUUCUUUUUUUUUUUUUUUUUGGCUGACUUGCUAGAGAGCGUGAGGGCCUUUCAAAGAGCGACUCCUUUGACUUAGAUGCGUUUCAAACUUCUGAAAAGCUCUGGGGUGCAGCCGAAGGUCUUAAUUGGCAUGUGAUUGCCUGUCAUGAGUCAUCACAGGAAUGCUGGAUACCUUUCAAAGACGGUCGCUGUGUGCAAACACACGGAUCCAACAGAUGGCAACAUUGUUCCUCCAUCACCAGAACAGGUUAGUUGGCAAUCUGCCAGCGAGGUACGGGUGCAUCGACAAACCCUCCAAAAUAAAAACAGCCAUCAAAUACAAGAGUGGGCGAUGACGAUGUGACUAAUUGUUGCCAUGGUGAUCUGGUCUUUGAGAUAACGUCUAACGGUGAGGGAAAAGGAGCAAGCGGCACAGAGAGGGGAGGAGAGAAUGAGAAAGAAAAAGGGAAAAAAAGAGAGGAGGGAGAUAAAGAGGAUGAAAGAAAAAGGAGGGCUAAUGUUCCACGUGGGAGAGCAGAAAGGAGAGAAAUGACCCUGUACUAUGAGGUCAACUCAAUGUCUCCCAGUCAAUUCAGGGAUGUAAAUACCUUUGGGUUCAUUUACGCAAGGACUGGCCUUCAUCCUCAGGGAGCAGCACUUCUCAUCUCACAGUAACUAGUGUUCAAAAUGAGCUUCAAACCAACAUAGGGCUCCAUCAUCAAGGUUACUGCUAGUAAGGAUGGAGUCUGCUCUUUUUGAGGAGCCAUGCCUGUCAAAAAAAAAAAAGACAUGUUUUGUAAAACGUUUGUAACAGGAAAGGAAAAGUAGGCCUAUCCAAAAUAAUUAUAGUCUGGAACAAAAAGCCCUCUUAAACAAAUCUUCCUUUAGUGAAAAAUUACACGCUUUUGUAUUUGUAGCUGAGGAAAUUGGGUUUUAAACAGCCAUGAAUCGCAGUUUACAGGCUCUGCUCUCCCUUCAGUCACCUGCAGGAUCCUUUCAUCAGGCUUUGUCUACGUGUGCUGUUUGUGUGCUCCAGCAGCGUUAUCCUACAGCGAGUGCCGAGUCAGUGUCUGUGUUAAUGUUGUGCCAGAAAGAGCCGCCUGGCCGCAGACUGUUGCAUCAGCCUUUCCUUUUGUUUAACAGGACAAUGAAGAUUGGAUGCUAGUGAGCACAAGACAGAGCGGGUGUGAGAGGGAAAAAUAGAGAGCAUGAAAAGACAGAGGCUCUUCAUUUCAACAGCAUAACAUCAUCUCUCUUUGUUGAAAAAUCUGAAUAAUCCAGUUUUCCCCAUGGUCAAGGUCAGCUCUUUAAUAAGGCAGAUAUAAAUCACUGCAGGGUUUGCAUUUCCCCUCCGUGCUAUCUGAGACCCUGCAGCACUGUUGUGUUAUGUUUUAUCACAUGGGAGCUGCCAAACUAUGCUGAGCCGGAGCUUGUCACAGCGCUGUGUGUCAUAUGACAACCUGCUACCUGCAAUAGUUUCCACUGGGGCUGAGCGAUAAGAGGAGGGGUGUAGAUAAGGUGUCUCCCAUUCUGGAUGUGCCAGGAGCUCCAGCCUUUUACAAGGGAGGUGCUGAUCUUUUUUUAAAGAACUGUUAGGAUUGCUGGGAAAAAAAGAGCUGGGAUUUGUUUUCCACAGCAGCAUGAACCACCACUUCACUGGAGUGUCUGGUGUCACUCAUAAAAAUGUCAUUAGCAGGAGUUUCCACUUGCCAUCACUGCCAUCUUUUUUUAGUGACGCUGGGUGGAAAGCAGCCACCACUGUAUGUGACUAAUCAUCACUCACGCCUCCGACUGUGGUGCGCCUGAUAACGACGAGGAGCCGUGGAUUUGUCUCCACUCCCACGCGGGCUGUUGCUAAAUGACAGUGAAGUGACGAGUCCCGACGAUUCUGACAUGAUACACGUCGUCUUUCGCCACCCAAAAUUCGUCAGUAUGAGUCGUCGAUGUGAAACUUGUCACCGUGCUCUCGCCAAUCAACACAUCAUGACACGAAAAAAAGAUGACCUCAUUUGCUGCUCCCUAAGAUGUUUUUAAUCUGAGUUUCUAUUUUUGAUCCUAAAUGCAGGAAAGUUGAUUGUAAACGGGUCUUCCUUUGUGAUUUUUGACCUGUACUGCAGUCCUGAGUGUCCUCUCUGUGCUCCCUCUGUUUACAGGACAGUUUGUCUCUGGGGCAGCCUCUGGGCAGGAGUUCGUAUCUGAACAUGUGCAUCAGGCUGUUUUAGUGUUUAAGGCACGUAUGCUUCAUAUGCACUCUCAUGAGCGGUAACUAGGCAGUUACGAGGAACUUCACGUAACAGCAAUCAGCCAAGGCUUCAUUAAAAUGUAAAUUCUGCCCAAGCCUCUUGUGAGUCUUUACAGUGUUUCCAAAAUAACCCAGUGAAGGCCUUCUGGGGACUUAACGUAUGAUCUAAUCUGUGUGUCUUAUUCGAAAACCUCCCCCUCCCUCUGUGCUCGCAGAACUGGAGCACCCCGUCUGAUUUUGGGGGAAGCAGAGCACUUAGAACCGAUGCCUGGACGCCUUUCAGACCGUCCCGCUCUUGCUGUUUGUUUGCUUUUCAAGAGCAGCACAAAGCUAAUUAGACAGCUGGUGUUGUGCCAAUUUGUGUCCCUCAGUCUGUUGUUUACCCACUUUUUGCAUAAUGCAGACGUGAUUGUUGACAUUGUAUGAUGCUGCUACACGGUCACAAGUGGCCAUUUGGUUUAUUUUCCUUGGUGUAGCCUCAGUGGCAGGAAGCUUCUCUCUUGGUUUUUUGGAAGCCACAUGUGUGUCAAUUGUGUGUUUUUGUGCCCGUACUUAUCCAUUUUCAAUCCUGGUCAAAACACAAUAAAACGCUAUCCAAAAAGAUUUCUCUGCCAUUCUAGAUCAAGUGCUCAGAGAAAACUUGCUGACCGAAAUGUGGCCGCAUAAAGCUCUGAUUUAAAUUAGCCAGCUCCCCUAUUCAAACUGGAGCUCACUCCAAAUCUUGGAGCCAAUGUGGUGUAUUUGUCAGGGGAGACCAAGUGUUAAUAAGAAACAAAAUAACUUGUUUAAACGGAGUAAAAUCUUUGUUUAGACAUCACAUUCUUCUCUGAAUAAAAUUUUUAAGGUUAUUUAGAGACUAAGGGCCUGAUCUACUAAGAUCCCAAAUAGCGAACGCUAAAUUGUGUGCGCAAACUUAAAAAUUGCAUGUGCUAUUAGUGGGCGUGUUGAAGUUGAACUACUAUCAUUGUGUGCCCAAUUGAUAACAGGAGCAAAAGUGGUUGCGGACCGUCCUCUUUUAACGAGGAUUUUGCGUGUGCUAUCAGCCAUCACCAUGGAGAGUUUCUGAGAGCAGAGUGAUCGUAGAUAAAAAAUGAAGUUUGAAGCCACGGAAUUGCACCUAACGUUUUGGGGAAGCUAGCAACCGCAUAAAAGGCAAGGGAAGUUUAUUUGUGUAGCGCUGUUUAUACACAAGGCAAUUCAAAAUGCUUUACAGGUGCAAGAAAAUAUAUUUGAAAUGAAAAAAAAGAGAUUUAAACAAUUUAAAAUCACUAAGAUAAAGAGAUAAAUUUUUGCGACUGUUCUGUGUUUGACCUAAUUAUUUGUCAAAACCGUCAUUUAGUAGAAAAACUCUUUUGCACUUAUGCGUCCUUCUCCCCGUAAUGACUGCAGCCAUCUGUGCGUAACGCUGUGCCAGUUUGCACGUGCCUUUCCGACAUGCUAAAUAUAGACGCAGAACAGCGACCACAAUCGGUUUCCGGGUUUGAUAAAUCACAUUGCAGGUGCUAAAUGAUUCUAUUUGCUUCUGCCCCUACCAGAAUAUUGGGCAGUCUGAUGAUCUGCACAUUAAUGAAGGCAAACACGCUAAAUGGAUUGCACGUGCUGUUUUGCUCAUUUGUUUGACAGAUCCUCGAUGCACCUGGUUAGUACAUCAGCUUUGCACGCACUAUUUAAGUUUGCAUGUGUUUUUGCACACGCAAACCUGAGAGUUUAGGACCAACAUCUCUAGAGGUAACAUAAGCAAAUUUAAAUAACUGCACUUAUGGCAUGUCUGAGUAGACAGACCAAACUUGAGCUGUCAAACAAUUCAUAUUAAAAAUCCAGAUUAAAGGUUAAGUUCAGCGUUGACUGUCAAAUUACUGUUUUCUUCAGCCAGAAUUUAACAGUCCAUUAUUUUUGCUUCUAGGUUCAAAAUUUACAAAGAAAUACUUGUCAGUGUCUUGAUGUAAGAGUGAAAUGAUAGCAAAGACAUGAACUUUAUGAUCUUGACGUUUCAACGUGUUACUCACAUAAUUGCUGCCCUUCUACUCUGGUGUGGUCUGAAACCAGGAUUUAAAGGCAGGAUACAGCCUUCAUUUAGUAAAGUGAAGUGGUUUUCUGAUUUCCCUUUCUGUGAAGGAUAACACUAUAACAAAUUAAAAAAUAUUCAGGAGUGUAUUUUCUAAAUGUACUAAUCAGUGUCUAUUUGGUGAGCACUUAUUCUGACACAAGAUUGUCCCAGAAUGAGUAAAUAAGUGACAUCAAGUGAUCCCUGGAAAGAGCUGCCCUCUGUUUCAUACAGGUUCUGUGAAACUACUGUUCCCAGGAACAGGAGGGCAUCAAACUGGUCACAGCUGGACCAGCAAACUGGAGGAAGUCCCUUUGCCUCAAGUCCUCCACAAGUUAAACAUGAAUUACUGAUGUUGUCUUCUAUCUAGAUUGCUAUCUUGCUUGUGUUUAAUUGCUCUCAAAUAUACAUCACUUUGGACUAAAACGUCUGCUAAAUGACACUGUAACAUUCACAAGCCUGUUUCCACCAGUUUGUGCAGAAAAGGGUUCGCCUUUUAACACUGACAGCCCCACACAAAAUACAAUAAACAGGAACAUAUCAAAUUCAUCACACUUGACACAGUUGAGUUUCUCUCAACUAUAUUUUUGAAGCUGGGUAGUUUAAAAUUUACAUGUAAAGCAUAUUGAUAAAGAAUAAUUCAGUGCUCUGCUAUACAGGCUUAUUCCCAAAAGUGUCAGCAGUAUCAUUAGAGGAUUUAUGAGCUAUACAGGGGCCAGCACAUGGAUUUAAUACUUAAAAAGGAGUCUGCCUUUUAUCAGUAGCUUAAGUGUUUUGAGCUCAACAUGUUGAACCUCUGUCAAUCACUACUUUAACCUGAAAAGGCAUCUUCAAACAUCUCUUAUAGCUUUAAUCUGUAGUUUAUUUUAUGCAAAAAAACACUCAUUAGACUCACAGCGGUGCUGGAUUGAAUUUCAUAAACAUGGUUAAGAGGUGAUCAAUAAAUGCUGGAAGGAAGAAUAAUUUACUUGACUUUUUUUAGUUCUUGCAUAUUAGACCUCAAACAUGUUAUGAGUAGCUAAACAGGAGUUCUGUGUGUGUGUGUGUGUGUGUGUGUGUGUGUGUGUGUGCGUGCCUGCGUGUGUGCGUGUGUGUGUGUGUGUAUUGUCUAUUUCAGAUUUAUAAUGGCUAAUUCAGACCUGAUUGCUGCAGUAGAAUUUCAGGUCAAAAACACUGUUAUCUGAGAGACUUAAAAUCUUUCUGUUAGUGUUCGUCUGGUUCAUCCUGGAAUGACACUGUGCUUGUAUUUGACACGUCUGAGUGAUGUGACUCUUAAAGGUCCUACCUCUCCAGCCUGUCACUGAUACGAAUCAAAUCAAUGCACACUGAGGUGUAACAUCCAUCAAUCUAUCUUCUAUAGCUUCUCGUCCUGUUCAGAGACUCUGGGAACUGAGACCUUUAAGGUCUGUAAACUCUGCACAUGUCACUACAAGAACUAACACACAAAGACAAACAUCCGCAAAUGCAUGUUUACCCCCACUGCAGGAAAUUAAGUCUCUUAUUCUCGAGAGCUACAUGUGUUUGGACUGACAGGGGGAAAAGGAGCAACAUGGGAAAGCAGACAUGAAGCAACAGACACAGAGACACGAAGAGGUGCAAUAUCACAUGUUAUAAAAUUCUACGAGUACCAAAACAAAAACAAACAAGUCAUCCAAGUACAAUUGCACCUCCUAAUAAACCAUUGUUUUCUCUUUGUGUCUUUCCCAGGAGGUUCUUGAGCCAUAAAAUGUUGUUUUGAAAAUAGCUCAGUUUGAGUUCAAGAGCCAUGAGGGCCACGCUAUAAUCUAACAAUCACGUCAUUUCAUCUAAACGGUUUACAAUCUACAAUAAUAUUUUAUUUGAGAAGGGUAAACAGUCACCUUUCCUCUGACCCACCUCCUCAGUGACAAACUGGGCAGUGGCCUGAGUGUGUUCGAUUAGAGGAGGACACCACUUGGGAGUGAUUAAAGUUCGAUGAAGCAUGCAUCUGCUCACAGAUAGAGAUGUAGCUGCGGGGUGUACUCAGACAAUCUGACACAAACACUAUGCAUAGGGGCUGAAAAACAAUUUCAACUGUGUGUAUAGAGGACUCUGAUUUAUACACAUUACUCAAAAAAAAGCUCAAAUUAAAGAAAGAUGUUCAUUGUUGUUUUCAUAAAAUACAGCGACCUCUAGAGAAAAAGAUACUGAAGCUAUUUCAGCGAAGAGCAGGUUUAAUUCUAUGAAUCUGAAAGGAGGCAUUAAAUGCUUUCAGUCAUGUUGUAUAUCAGGAAGAAUCCUUGGAUGGAUCUGUAAGAGAUGAAUGAGAACUAAAAGAGCUUUUCUGAACUAAAAGAUGAGUUCAGUGGCAACCUUUGAAUAAAUGUUUUCUGUUCAUUUAUACAGCAUUUAUUUCAAGUCCUUCUUUGACUGUUUUGUGCAAUAUCUAAUUUUUUUAAGUGACAGUGGUGUGUGAAGGUUUAAUUCAGCUCAAAUUCAACAAUUUCUCAACACUGUCCUUUAAUGAAUAAAUUGUACAUUUACAUGGGAGAUCGAUUCGAUCAUUUUUUUAUUUUUUUUAUUUUUUAUUAUAAGACAGUUUCCUGUUUCCAGAUGAAGAUCCUCCAUUACAUGAGCUGUAUCCAUAGUGAUGGUUAACUCUGCUGCCUUCGUAAAGAGGGUGUAUUUCAAUCCAUCAUUUCAGCACUGUCUUUAAGGUCCCCCCAUCAUGGGUCCACUUUGUCCAGAUUGUCCUGCUCUCUAGAAGCUUCUCCACUGCUGCCAUGGUUCAAAGUUGGGACUUUUUGUAAAAGCUUUUCAAGGCAGCCUGUCAUUCUACGUGGGGAUUACUCCAGUACAAAUUUAUUUCUUAAUUUGAAAUUUUGUUUUAACUCUGUAAAAAAGCAUUAUAUCACCUCUGGUACCAAGUAUAUAUCGCCCAACCUGGUGGGAUUUGAUCAAAGCAUUACUAUUCUCUUUAAUGGAUGUGUAGUUUUAGCCAGGAUCUGCAUGGCUCACAAAAAAAAUAUAUGUGAGACGCAGCCUGAAUGGUUUAAUCUGUAAAUGUGCAAGCCAAAAAUCAAGCUGAACUGUAUUGUCCUGAACCAACCUGGACCCUAACCAAGAUUGGCUGGUUUUACUCACAUGGAACUAAAUAUUUCUAAUAAAAAAAUAGGUGAAAUAAAACAAGAUGAACCCAACCACCUGAAUCAGCACCUAACCUAAUUGAGUCUUUCUGCUUUAGGGCUGCAAUUAACGACUAUAUUAAUAGUCGACAAGUCACUGACUAUUGAAAUGCUUAGUCUUAGUCUGAUCGGUCUGCUUUGCAAACCUAGCAAUUUUUUUAUUCGCCAUAUCUAGGCAAAAGUGCUCUCAAAUUUUUGAGGUUUUUAAGCGCAUACUCCUAGCUGCUGUAUGGAACACUGGCACCACCAUGUUUAAAUACCCUACUGCUUGGCAGAGAUGCUAUUGCGCAUGUGUGACUCCAGGCAGAGAUCAUAAUAAAGUAAGAUGCCUCACUCCACUGGAAAAAAAAACGCACCUGGCGACAAUAGUCAACAAUGGAAUUCAUUAUCGAUUUUUGUCGACAACAUCAACUAAUCGUUGCAGCCCUAUUCUGCUUUAUCAUUUAUUGAAUGUAUUAGUCUUUAGAUGCAGAUGAUCCCAUUCUGUGUUAUGUUGAGUUUUGAUUUAACGUGUUUUCUUCAAUUUUGCAGAUUUGUCUGUCAAACCCUUCACUUUUUGCCUUUCUAAACUCUCCUGUCUUCUCUCGACAUUUGUGUCUCCUUUCUUGAUUUUCCCACCACAAACACACCAGAAUCAAAUUGGGCUUCUUUCUCUGCACUGAUUUGAUUAGAGUCAGUUCUCCAGAGCCCAUAGUUGUUUCCCUGACAGUGGUUUCUUCUUCAUAACAACAGUCUGCCAUCAAGAACAACACACUGCUGCAUUGAGCUGUUUCCGUGUACUGACCAACUAACAAAGCCGACUUAAAUCAAAGUUUUUAAUGGUGGUACAUGGCAAAACAAACAAUUAAACAAUUUGACUUUAGAGAGUGUUUGCUUUAACAUUUUUACAUGGUCAGUUGUCCCUUUAAACUCAGUGUACUGUUUUAUGAUCAUCUUGGAAAUUAACAGGAUGAAGAGUUCAUUUGCAGGUCUUUAAAAUCAUUAACCAUCUCACAACUAAUUUUCUAUAUAAUCUAAAACAUUACAUGCCCAUAAAUUGAUACCAAAUGACAAAAAUGAAAGGAUUUCAUUUUAUUUCUUUGUCUUACAUCAAGUUAUUUCUGUCAGGGCCUCUUCUACUUCUCGUCAGUUUUUUCUGACACCUGUUAAAAAGCACAAAUAUUCAAGCUUUGAUGAUAAAACCAUGAUCACGCACACAUCCUCUGAGACUCUCCCGUCAGACAGCGUGCAGCUAGCUGGCUGAACAAUUGUGACAACCAAAGCUUUACAUGUGUACAGUUUUUCCCCAGUGAAAAACUCUAGCCGGAUCAAGCAGACUCUUUCUCUCACAGGGUUUCAAGCUGCAGACCGCAAGAAGUGUUUGAAGGCAUCAAAAGUUAAUGCCCGUGUAGAAAUCUUUUUUGAGAUCUAUAAAUCUUUCUAUUCGUUGCAGAGAACUUGAACAACUACUUUCCAUGUGGGGCAGGAUGCAGAUUUUUUUGGUUCAGCUGAUUUUGGUGUAAGUGUGAUUAAUGAGGCACGACUGUGCUGCAUUAUGUAAUAAGCAGCAUGGACACACAUAGAGUGAGAACAAAGGCUGUAUUUACUGAAUUCAGGAUAUUACUGUAGGUUGUCUGCUGUUUGUGUCACAUGAUCGCUGCCCUGAUGUACCAAAUGAACCAGCUCUGUAACUAUGUUGGUUGUUUGUCUUUGCUUCACUGCCUUAAACACCAAUUCACAUUACCUCCACAUUACUGCACUUGACAAAACCUUCUCAGUGUUUUGUAAUUGCCUAUUAUUUCCAUAAAUUCAAUUGUGCUUGAGAGGAUUUUAUUUAUCUGUCAGCACAAAAGUUAGCAACAAAACCUUUUUCUCUUUGUAAUAUAUGAGCCGUCCAAAGAGUGAGAUUAAAGAAGAGAAAUGCAUAGAUAAUAGUGAAUAACUACUGCCCCGGACCAAAGCUUGCUUGGAUAAAAGUUGGCAUAUCGAGCUGCAGAAAAGCUUCAGACAAGGGGGUAAUUGGUUUCUUUGGGACACGAGCAGGGUGUCAACCGAAAGGUUACAAGAGGCCAUGCAGCUCCCAACACCAAUGACGACUUAAAGGAGCACUCAUCAUCCCAAUUCACAUCAUGUUUAUCAUUACAUCGAUAAAGUUAACGGUAGUGGGGCAGAAAUGAUUGAUCAUAGAUACUUUCCACCUUUGCAGAGCUCCUUUUGCCUCUGCUCUCACAUUUCAGUUAUAAUUGCAUGUAGCAUUAAAAAAAAGAUCAAAAGGGAAACAGAAUAAAAGUAUGGUGCAGAGGGGGUCAGACAGCAGCCAAGAAAAGAAAAGGCAAUAACCUAAAAGUAAUAACGGAUGCACUGCUGUAAAGAGUGGGCGUUCACUGAUUUGCUUGCCUGUGCUUUUUUGUGCAUGUGUGUGUGUGCGCGUGUGUGUGUGUCUGAAUUUUCCCUUUUAUGCGUCAGACUGAACGAGAUGAAAGCUAAGUUUGGAAGGCGAGCUCUUUGUUUAAAUAUGACUUUGUAUAUUUCCUUUGUCAGGGGGGAUGAAGUCAGAUCGCGACCCUGUGCAUCUGUCACUCAUCCGUUCAGCCUAGAGCGGAGCAGUCUGUCUCCAUCACGCACUGCUCCAUCCACUGCUGUCCUUUUGUUUCAGACUCUAUUCAUAGAUCACGAAAAAAGAGAGACAUCUUUCACAUUCCUCUCUCCCCGUUUUAAUCCUAUUUUUGUCCUUGUGCAGCUUGAUUAAGUUGUCAUGUGCAGGGCUGUAUCCUCUCGCAGGCUAUUCAUCCUUUCUCUGGAAUAAUUAUCAGAGUGGAUGCAUCACACACACGCACAUACACGCCCACAAAUACACACAACCCACCACCCUGGGGGGGAGGGCUACAGGUGGAGUGCUCACGUCUCUUAUCAUCAACAAACAAAAUCAAUCAGUGAUCACGUUCCCAGUGAGUGGCCUUUUAUCAAAGUGGAGCAAAACAAGGCUUUGUGUGAGACGAAAAUCUCUUUGUGUGUCUUUAUUUGUGCACAUUUAUGUAUCUCUAAGUGUGUGUGUGUGUGCAUGUGUGUGUGUGUCUGCCUGGUUGCACUAUACGCCUCUGUGAGCCAUGUACAGUAUCUGCUCCCACAGUACUUAGCCAGAGGAGCUGUCUGCUGUUUGAAUAAGGGCAGUCAGUCACCGGCACUAAAGAGAACAUUCAUCAAGCACUUUCACAGCUUACACCUGUUUCCUCCGCCUAAAACAGACAAGCGGAGACGGCUGCGUUGCCACAUCUCUCUCGCGCUCUCUUUUCACGUUGCCUCAAGUGUUCCUGAGGGGCCUUACCACCCCCCCCCCCAACACACACACACACACACACACGCACGCAAACACACACAUAUAGAUUUCCUCCGCAUUAGUCCCCUACAAUGGCCAUCACUAUGUUGUAUGUAAAUAGAGCAAACCUGCAGAAGCAUGUGCUGUAUCUCAGUGUAUCUCAGUGUGAAAUUAAACAUUACACUGUCGUCCAUUAUGGUUUUGUUGCGCUUGACUUCACCACAAAGGGAUCUGACCUCAGUCACUGCCAGUGUUUUGAUACUAUCAUCCCCACUAACAGCAGGUAAGGACACCCUCCUGCUUAUUGUUGAACUGUAAGACUGCAGCGCUGCUUAAUUUAGCUCUUAAUAUGACAGCUGUGUUGUAAUCAUGAUAAAGGGCUGCCUGUGAUGCACCAGCACCCAGCAGGCUCACCUUAGCGCUCAAAGCUCCCUUUCAGUACUCCGCUGCAUCACACAUAAUUGCCUAACUCCAUUUUGACAUGGCCACUCAGUGGAAUUGGGCCUUUCUAGCCUCACAUCUUGCACUCUUCUCUUUGAUGAGGGCUGUGUGUGUGUGUGUGUGUGUACGUGUGUGUCUGUCAUGCUUUUUUGGCACUCACUUCAGUGUGUUUUUCCUUAUACAGACAGGAUAUGGGCAUAUUAGCGAGAUCCAUCAGAGGAUAUGCGUCACUCUUUCAUAUUUUCUUUCCCUCCGCCUCAUGUUUUGAUAUUACACUCUUAUCUUGUUCCUGCUGUUGUUGUCUGCCAUAGUGCUGAGGAGGGGGGGAAAAAAAGCCUCUCCUCUCUCUCCUCUCGCAUGCAGUCCACAUUCACGGCUUUAUCGAUUUCCUUUAAAAUUGUAUUUGCAGAAAACAGGAAGAAUGUGGGCUUUAAUAUUUCCUUCUCUCUGCAACACCUGGUCUGGGGUUGCUAGGUAACACAUUGCACGGCGGUGUUUGAUGUGUGUGUGCUCUUUGCAAAUGGCUUUGAUCCUUAGCACACUGACAGACUCUCCACAGAGUUGCCUUCCCCUGGUAGUUUUGGCACCUCAUCACACCACAGAGACGAAAACGUAUCUGAAAGCUCCCGAGUGAACUGGAAUACCUGCCUUGUUAGGCAAAGUAGCAAAGGGAAGCUGUCCAGAAAAGUUUAGGCUUUAAACUUGUUUCAUUAAGACUGUAAAUGACACCACUCAAAGCUAUGAAGUCAUGUGAUGAGGAGAAUCUGGUUUUCAUAUAUGAAGGAGAAUACACUUGCAAGAAAUUGACAGAACUCCCUGAAGUUUAUUACACCAUACUUAAAAAAACAAAGACGUCUUUAUAGUUACGUCUCCUUUUUCCGUGUUAUUAUGCAACAUUUUAACUCACCACAGUCGUUUUUUAUUGCUUUUAGUAGAGAAAAAAGUCCCUCUUAUCUGAGGACAGGAAAAUUUAUUUUUCAAUUCACUACUCUAACGCAGAAAAAUUAAUUUUUUUUUUCCCAAAAAGAAAAAAAAAAAAAAAACUGUUCUAGCAUCUGUUUUAAGCUGGUAGGCAAAGCCUGACUAGUAAACUGUUCUGGAGAUAAUCAGAUGUUUAAUGCAUGAUUUACAAAAGCUGUUUUCAGCUCAGGCAUUUAAAAUCAGCAUAUAAAAGACUUUCUCUCACUUCUGCCAUUGUUGAUAGUGCCAGUGCUGAAAAUCCCAGCUAAAUUUUAUGCAAAAUAAUUAAUUCAUUGUCAGCCAAAGUGAGCUAUGUAACAGGAGAUGUUUGGCCUGUGACAAAACAAAAGCUCAUGAAAUAGUAAGCACAGAAAUAACUUAUUGCAGCAUUGACUUGCUGAAGCCUGAUCUCCUUUAAAGUGUAUUCUCCAUUUUAAGAAACAGAAAGGUGGUUUUUCUAAAAUUCAGAACGGUGUGACCUACGUUGAAAAAAAGUGUCCUCAGGUGGGUAUAAUUUAAUGUCAAGCAGUUCAAUACAAAACACAUCCUGUUUGCCAUUUGCAAACACAGACCUGUGAAACACUCCUCUUUGAGCCGGAGGAGGAGAGGAGACGAGGAGAGAGGAACGGGGGGCUGUGCAGAUGCUUGCCCCGCACAAGAGUGCAUUGGAGGUGGUGUGAGGUUAUUACAGGUUUGAUUAUUGAGUUCCACGGGGCAAUUGGCUCAAAUGAGGGCUGACAGCUUUGGACGGCAGCAAACAGCUGGAGAGCUCAUCUCUGCCAGCAGCCGUAUUAAGACCAUUUCAGUCCCAGGUGCAUCUGCUGCUAUGAUCUGUGAUUAAGGCAUAACUAAUGAAGAGCUGAUGAAAGUAAUCAGGUGCUGCUGCAUCUGCAGACACAUCCAAGACACAGGAACUAAUUUUUCUAGCUUUACGGAACAAGAAAAAAUAACCCUGAUCAAAGAGUUUAUAAAUAAAAACUCUGGAUAAAAAACUAUAAAGGAAGUUUGAACUUCUAUCGCAUAUAUUUUUUAAAGCUGUAAUACUGUAAAUGCAACUGUACUCAUAUUUACAGCUUGGAGUCAUCUAUCCAAGCAAAUUGAAUAAGUGCAAACCUUUUCACUUUACCUUAUUCACAGAUUUAUAUCUGUUACCUAGCAACCAGUUAACAGCUGGCAACAAGGCAGCACAAACUUACCAGCCUCUUCGCUUUGUACUUGUGUGUGAAAACACUGUGUAUGGCACUCCCACUCAUGCAGUAUUGCUUAAUUGCAAAUUUGAGCUCAAAGGAAAUCUUAAACUGCAGAGCAAUGAUGAAAUUAUCUUUUCCAUCUUUUUUUUGAAGAUGAGAUUAGAUUUGGCUGAGAUCCAGGUGCAUCAAUUUUUGAGUGCUACACUUAUUGCGAAAUGAUGUCAAAGCCUGGUGGAAACGAACUGACAUAAUCUCUCCUUAGUGCAAUAUGUAUGAGCAACCACUCACCAUGGCUGGAGAAAAUUUGGCCCAAUGUAAAGCACAGUGUGGGUGUUUCGGACCCCUGAGCAACUUGUAAUUGCAUUUUAUAAUGGUUAUUUCUUCCGCUUUCCUUUUUUUCGAAGAAAUGUGAGAGAUAAUGGAGGACUGCAUUGAGGAGGAAUGAUAGGGUGUCAAACAGGUUGAAAAGAUGUGCUAUUCCUCCUCAAACCUGCAUUUUGACUUUGAUAUACGUGAAUACUCAGACAUCCUGCCGUUAGGUGGGUAGGGAGCCCAGGACACACACUGAUAGUAGCAGUAGGUUUCAUUCAUCAUUUAAAUCUGCAGAGAUGUCUCAUCAGCCCGUCACCUGUUGUGCUGGCAGUAAACAAGAAUGAAUGAUGAAUUACAAAAUUCAAUUAGGUGACAGCAGCUGUCACCCAGGCUAGUUAAACUAUUUGUGGUACUAAUCCUAUGAAAGUCUGCAGAGAGGCCCGAGCUCUUGUUUCCCAAAGCGCUGCUUGUGGUCCCGGCUCCUGUUGACAAAUGCUACAUCACUGCAGAGGACAGGAAGCUGAAUUGCUUCUCAAGGCUUUUUCCAUGUAAUAUUCAUUUUCGCCUGAGAACACUGCAGCCUCCAGUUUCAGAUCAAAAGCAUUUCUAUUCAGCAACAAGGUAAAAGCACUUGAUUGUGAGAGAGGAAUCCACAUAAUCUUCAGGUCUGUCUGUGAUAUUUUUAUUUGACCCCCGACCAGCAAGGGAGGUGGCAAACAGACUGUCCCGAUCGUAUCACAGAACUUCAACUGUGGGAGGGAGAUAGAAUCAAGAAGAUGUAUCAUUCAGUGAUCAGACAUAGAAAUGCUUUCUUCAUGCUCUACACUGAGCCAGGGCUGCAGGUGACAGUUGUUUUUCAAUAUUGAGUGGUCUGCAGGUCAGUGAUAUGUUUGAUUUAUAAUUAAGUAAAACAACUGCAAAACAAGAUCACAUUUUACUUGCUACUUCUGCAAGUCUAAAAUUCUUAUCUUUUCUUUAAAGGUCACUUAUUAUAAAAAAUCCACUUUGGGUUGUUUUCUACCAAUAUUAUGCAUCCCCUCGAAGCCCCACAAGGACAAGCCCCCCUGUGUGACAAGCUGUGUGGUUAUGACUACAUAAGCAGAUUAGCCUUGUCUACAUGUUGGUGGCAGCACCUCCGAUAAUCGUUAGCUCAGCUUCUAAAACUUCUUUGCUGAGGUAGCGUUUUUAUACAUCGCUCCAGUACAGCAACCAUGUUGAAGCUACGACCCAGUCGCUGCGUGGUUCUUGGCUACACAAACUGAGACAGGAGUCUAUUUCUGCCUCCUUUGUUGGAAGAUUUGAGGACCCAGUGGAUUAAUUUUAUUUUUGAUGGAAAUUUACCCACAACAACUCUGUUUGAAGCAGGAUUCGCUAAAAAACUGAAGAUAAAACCUGAAUCCGUAUCGACUGCCAGUGCCAGCGACCCGACUUCAAACGUGGAAGCUGUAAGUUUUACUAUUUAAUGUUACUUUACCUCUACCUGUAUGACUAGUGCUUUGGCUGCAAUCCCGUGUGUUUACCAUCGUUGGUAUUCGUCUUCGGACUCGCCUCUAUUUACUUUUAUUGAGCAGCAGGUGUACCUCAGGGGCGCGGAGGCAGGCUGGUGCUUCCAGCUGCAGUGGUCUGGAGGUCCUGUGAAGAGGUCCUGGACCACCGCAGCUCAGAGUGGCCUUGAGGAGGAAGAUGUUUACACACAGCUCAUUAUCAUUUAAAGGUACAGGCGUAGAAUCAGCCCGUUCUCAGUGGAGCUCAAAAAGAAGGGGGUACAAGCUGGCUGAUACCCACAAAUAAACUGGUGUUUUAGAAAACAAACCGAUUUAAACUUGAUGAAAAACGGCAUAAUAAGGGGCCUUUAAAGAAGCAAAAAAUCUGCAGAUUUUUGGUAUUGUUUUUGAAAAAGCAAAACCAAAAACAUGUAAAAAUACAUACAUGUCAUCAGCAGGGGGUGAAAUCACGAACAGUAUAAACACUAUAAACGUAUACCUGCUCUGCUGUAACUCUUUCCACAGAUUAAUCUGAUAUGUGUAAUCAGGUCGUGUUAUUCAGAAUUAAUCACCCCUGUCUAAUCAGAAUCGAGUAUUUAACACCACUGGAUGAUUAGUAAGAAAGCAGUUUUAAUUUAAACAGAUUUUCCCUUAGCACCUCUAAUCUAAAAUCUAUGCAACAGUGAUGCAGCUCAACAUGUAGCUGUGCAGGAAUGCAUUAUUAUUCUAAUUUAAGAUGAAUAAUCAAUGUGUAUGAAUGUUAUGCAAGGCACUUCAACCUCAGGGCACCGAUGUACCACAUCACUGAGAGUCAAAAGUGGAGCACACACACAAGUGAAAUAAGGAUUCAUGCUGAUGAAUCACAGUUUCUUUAUUUCAUUUUGCAUCAUCACAAUCUGUGACACUGGUGUUUUGUGCACCAUGUCAGCCACCCAUUCAUUGUCAGCUGUCACUGUUGUUCCUGCUCCUCAGAGUUCUCCCGCUGACAUUUUCAAGAGAAUCUCGGCUCCUGCGCCUGGAGCUACAACUGGAGAUAUCUAAAUUUAGGCUGCACUAUGUGAAAAAUGUGUUUUUCAAUGUGAUGUUUCUUUAAUAGAUAUCAUUUACAGCACAUACACAACAGGCUAUCUCUGUAUCUCUGCAUACACACAGAUUAAUUUCACCCUCUACAGUAAUGCUUGAUAAAAUGCAAGAUGUAAAGUGCUUUGCUUUCUGCAUGAAAUUUCUUAGUGGGAGUUGACACUACAGACUGGAUGGUCCAAGUUCAGACUCUGAUAGUGAGAUAGAGCAAAUUUAUUCUUGACCAGCAUGAUGUUUAUUUCUACAUUCAUUUCCUCUGCCCACAUAUGUUCACAUGUUGAAGUGAUAUAUUUAAGUCCAAGUUCAUUAAAUGUCCAUUCGUAAUUUCCUGUGUGCAUGCAGAUAGCCUGCUGAUCACAUAUUUAGUCGACUGUUCAGCCGCACUGCUCAGAAAUCAAUCUAAGGGGAGGUAGAGAGAGCGGUAGUCAAUGUGAAGACCCCCUCACCACAUGGAUGCAUGUUUUAUUACUGUUCUCUUAUAAUUGAUCUGCAGCUCUUCUGAUUAACACUCAGAAGACGUCUUUUAUGAUACUCAAAAAGGCAUCAGAAACUGCUGGCACAGAAGAUAAAUGGCUUCUGGAGGGUUAUUCUACAAAGAGAUGGAGCUCAAAGCUCAAUGUGAAGACCAAGAAUUUCAAUAAUCUGAUAAACUAAGCCUCAAGAUUCCUCCAGCCAGUACGGUGCAGCUAAACUGUAUGACCACACACACUUUGGCGUUUGUUUACCAUACAGCUGAGAGUAAUUUAUUCAUUAUUCACACUUGCAAUAUUGAUGCAAAUGCCAGUCUUUGAGAAAGUGGUCAGAAAAAUACUGACAGAAACCCUGAUAUACUCUUUCAGAUAGCUUCUGUCAUCAAAAAUGACGCCACUAUCUCUACAAAUCCGUGUUUUAACCCAAGAUAGACGCAACAUGUUCCUGUUUGCAAGGAGAGAGUGGUAGACAGCGUGGUGCUAGACAUUUUUUAUAAAUCUUUUGUGCAUGCAGCCAUUUGCAUUUCAAAGGAAAUAUUUAUUUUGAGAUCCGAGAGUAAACAGAUUUCACAGCGGUAAACACAAGUGUUUAGCUCCUCUGAACAGCUGAAGAGAAACCGCGCACCAUAAACUGAGACAUUAAACCAUGCGUGAAACUGGUGUAUAAUCACAUGACUUACUCAAUGCUGGGAUCAGCAAACAUGUGACAAAAGAUAAGAUAACAUGUUUAGAGAUACGUCACCUGAUAAUGAUCCCAUGAAAACAAGACGUAUUGAUAAAAUAAAACAGGAAUAGUCUGCUUGGUCUUUCGAGCCAUAGAGCGCAGCAAAGUCUGAAGUGCUCAUGAUACUCCUAAGUGUUAGAUUGAUAGGAUACUUGGUCCCAGAGUGGAACACACCAUUUAGGUGAGACUGAGUACAGCUCGUCCCUGACAGAAACUCUGCUAAUAAUCCUUGAAACUUGGGACAACCUGACUGCUGUGCUGCAACGCUGAAUAAAUGCUUUGGAAUGGGUCUAAAACUACAUUAUGGUUUUAUCUGCUUUGUUUCACAAGGGUUACAUUGACACAGCACAUUUAUCUUUCUUUAUGAUUUCUUUCACAUCAUAUUUUUCUUUAAUCCUAACAACAUAAAUACCACACCAUAAAUAGCAGCGCGCUGUGGGACAGCUAUAAGUUUGUCUCUGACUUUAUGUCUCCCAGCUGACCUAAGUGUGAGCGAGGGCGCAUCCUCAGGACCGAUAAGUACGUGUGUGUCGUUGGGACUUCCUGGCUUUUUGCGGUGCAUAAUUAUUUCAUGUAACAUGCUUACUCUCAGAGUUUAAUUCUGCACUUCACCAAGUCCUCAGGGACAGUGGAAGGGCAACUGUUGUUGCAUCUCAUUCCUAUCUCUCUGGAAAAUGGUGUUAUGUAGAUAAGCCUGCGUUCCACUUUGGUCUGUUCACCCGGUGUAGCAAUGUCUGUGUGAAGGAUAAAAAGUAACACCCGGACCAAUGCUGGCAGUUCAGUUAAGAGAAGAAAGGAGGUUAAUGGGCACCCUUCACGUUCACAUGCCAGAAUCUAAUUAAUGUGUUGGGUUGAAACUCAGUUAUCAUCAAUGGCAUCUCUAACUGAGAGUCAUUUAAAUUGUUCUGAGAUACUCCUGUGAAGGUGGAUGUGAGGGUUGCCAGGCAAUCAGCAGCAGUGAUGGUGCGGCGCUAAAUUGCAUGAUCCAAAGGGACAAAAGGCUGUUUCAAUAGCAUCGCCCUGUGAUUGAUUUACAAAGUGAACAAACAAAUGAUUGCAAGAGUCUUGUGUGUUACUUUUUAGUUAUUUAAGCACUGUGUAUGCACAGGAGAGUCACUCUAUUUUUGUCUUAAAAACACAAGAGCGAAAAUAUUACCUUAAGAGCCUGACCAGUGCACACGAACUCAGGAUCUAUCAUAUUUACCCUGGCUUUACGUUUGUACAGAAAGUAUGAGCUGACAGUGCAGGGAAGCCAAAUAUCAUCUUAGUAAAGCAGAGAGCCAAGAACAGGGCGGUUUUCAGACAACACAUAAAGGCCUGCUGAGUCCUGUAGUUCAAAAGGAGACUCAUACCAGUAGAGAUUCAGUAAAUCCUGAGAGAGAACCAUUACGCUAAACUGGUGUUUGGUUUCCAUUCAUGAUACACUGUGGAUUAGGACCUAACAAUAUCAAUGCAGUGAGCAGAUGGGACUCACAAUAAACAGCGCUGUUAAACAGGAAGAGACAGUAAUAACUGUAAUACUUGAUCAUCUGACUGGUAAAAAGCUACUCUAAAUUAAAGUACUUUAAAUUUACUGAGGCAUUUUAUCAUGAUUUAUGUUCAACUAACAUCUAUUUUAAACUUUGUAGUAACCUUUUGGAUUAAGAUUUGACAAAAACAACUCAUGAUAGGCUAAAACAGCUCUUUGUAUACAUGAGAUCAGUGGCUCAUGACCUUUAUAAAAAGCUGCAUCUGGGUGGGGUCCAGUUUCAUGCUCCAGGUCCCUCUAGGGUAUUUUCUUGACUGUUUGAAAUCAAGAGGUAAAUGAUGCAAUAUUCAUGAAUAGAAAAGGUUGGAGUUAACUGCACAAAUAAAAAUAUAUCUAGCCUCCCAACAGUUAUUGAUCAAACACUUUCAUUGCUCCUGUUUGGAGACAGAUUUGAUAAGGUGUGAACCACUGGAUAACACUAGUAGAGAUGGACACAAUGAAAAAAAACAUCUACAACCUAACAGUAUAAUGUUACAGCUACAGGACUAAAACUAUCCACAGGAGGUUGUUGACUAUUGAAAGAAUAAGCAUAUUUAAACUUGCAAAAUCUUUGCACUCAAGUAAUCUAGGACUUUAACAUUUCAACUUACAUGCUAACUAAAAUGUUUCAAGCUUUCUCAUUUUAAUUUCCACCAAAAAAGAUUUUAAAAUUUUAGAUUAUUUCUUUUUGAAGAUGAUAAAAUCUUAAUUUUAACUGCGUAAAUACCAUGUACUUUUUUUGGUCUAGUUUAGAACAUGCAGCCAUAAUUGCAGGAGGACUGUUGACUUGACAGCUGUCUGGGAAACCAUCAGCACCCUCCACAAGGUCGGCCAUUCAAAAACUUUGGUGAACUUCACAAGGAGUGGACUGAGUCAGAACCACCAUGCCAAAAGGGUUGCGACUCAAAUACUGAGCCAAUCCUGUGACAGCAUGAGAGGUGCCUGACCAGGAUUUAGGAGAAAAAAGAACUGGACUAUUGCUCAAGUCAAGUGCUCUUUUCAGGUGAAAGUACGUGUUGCAUUUCAUUUGAAAAUCAACGACCAAGAGUCAGGAGGAAGAGUGCUGAGGCCCAGAAUCCAAGAUGUUUGUCCAGUGUGAAAUUUUCACCGUCUGUGAGGGUUUAGGGUGCCAUGUCAUCUGCUGGUGUUGGUCCACUGUGUUUAAUUAAGCCCAAAGCCAAUGCAGCCAUCUACCAGGAGACUUUGGAGCCAUUAUGCUUCCAUCUGUUGACAAGCUUUAUAGAGAAGCUACUUUCCUUUUCCAACAGGACUUAGCACCUAUCCACAGUGCCAAAACAUCUACCAAAUGGUUUGGAGACCAUGAUAGAAGUAUGCUUGAUUGGCCUGCCAACUGGCCUGACUUAAAUCUCAUAGGGAGACUGUGGGAAACUUAUCACCACUUCAGUACCACACAGGCUGUUCACCAACAAGCCACCCCUGCUAUGCUGUGAUUCAUGGUAAAGAGGCCCCAGCCUUGUGUGGAGUGUCUAAAUCGUUCCCUUUUUUUUUUUUUUUAAUCCCUCGAUUGAUCAUAGGAAAUGUUGAAACAAUUUAGGAUCCUGGAUUUUUUUAUGUCCUCAAGCUGUGGUUCAAAAUUAUCAAAAAACAAAAAAACAAAAACAGCUUUAAAUAUAUAUUUGUGUGAUAAAUCUAGGAUACAAUAUGUGGAGAUAAAAUAUUUUUCAUCUAAGAAAAAAAAAGAUAUUCAUUCUUUUUUAAACUGUGGGUAAAUUAGCUAAAUGGUUAUUAAUUAAAAAAACUGUGCUGACAGCACAUUCAAUGCAAUUAUUUUAAGUAAGUUAAGAAUUCUUUGUCUUUUUUCAGAUAAAAUCGAAUAAAACUUAUUGCUUUCUGCUGCUUAAGUGUGAGGAAUUUGUUUAUUUUUUGUUUUAUUUUAUUUUGUUCUUUUUAUUUUUAUUUUUUUUUUGGGAGGGGCAGGGGGUUCUGAACUGUUUGCUGGACAAAUGAGGCAACCUGAAACUAUGAUGUCUGGCUUUGGGAAAUAUUGAUAAGAAUUUUCCCAAUUUUGGAACAUUUAAUAGACACUCCACGAUUAAACACCAGGUUUCUUUGAACAGAUACUCUGCCGUGUUCCUCUGUUCACAGCUGCUACCUGAGUAAUGUAGCUGUAGGCUCUAUGAUUUCUGAUAGCGGUUAGCUUCUUUAGCCGACCUUUGCUUAAUCAGCUGUUUGCAAAAUCGAGCCAUCAAGUAGAGGUAAACUUUGUCGAACACCGCCAGACUGUUGUGGCCACUGUUUGCUAACAGCUACAUAAGCAGCUAAUCAGAUUUACUGCAGUCAGUUAACACAGAGGUUAACAGGCGCUACUGUGGUCAAUGAAGAGUUUACAGCUAAUGUAAGUUACUUAACCAUGAUAAUACGCACCUGUAAGUACAAUGUAGAAACGUUGUUUUAUCACUUGAACUCAGGUUCUCAGGUGAUUGGAUUAUGAUUGGUGAUUGGUGAUUGAUUAUUGAUUAUUGGAGCAGUGCCCACCAAUGCCACACACUUUGGUAUUUGUGAUGAAAAAGGAUGGUUGGACAGGUGCUGCCGAAACAUUUGAGAGCCUCUAUCAUGCUGAACUGUAAGCCAGUAAUUGUGAACCAUGUAGUGAUGGCAUGAACAGACAUGCUCUGGUUGGUUAAAUCAGCCCAUGGUUUAAUUUUCAUUUGUUAAAAUAAAGUUACUUAAACAUACAUACUGCACACAAAGAAAAAUACCUUAUGUCCUGGAGAUGUCCCAGGUAACAUCUACGAUUGUUCCAAACAGGUUUUUUUUUUUUUUCCUGGGACAACAGAACAUCAUCAGUCUAAAUCUCCACCUCUACUGAAUUGGUGCCUUUACCAAGUCCACAGUAUAAAUUAGUAGUUUUAAUAGGAAUUAGCAGUGCAGUUUCUGUGGGUCUGUGCCUAAAAGAGAUGUGACUGGACCAAGGAACAUGAGCACUGAUGUUUAUUUGUGUUUUAAACGAGACAGAAAUGUAAUCGUCUUCAACGAGAGGCAUCAUGAUGAGCCAAAAAAGCAAAAAUAUAAAACAAGAGCAACAGCAUCUUCAGUUUUUUAGUGAAAGUUGAAUUUUUGCAGAGUUCAAUAAAGAGAUAUGCUAGGAGGGAUGGAAGUAAGCACAAUCAGUGUUAUCUGCUGUACUGGACGGGGCAGCGGGCCAAGCUUCCUUCAGGGAAUUCACACCUCUGCAGUACAAUGAAAAAGAUGGAGGCUGUGCUGCAAUCUGCAACUUCUCUCUGAGGGAGUCUGACGUUUCUUCCAGCGAGGUAGGUUGUGGCUCUCUCGUCAAAGGGAUCACAACCUGUGAACGGGCCUGUCAGCUGAAUUGGGAUGGGACUUAGCUGUCAAAGUGAAAGCAGGUUGCAAGCUGCACAGAGGUGGCUGUGGUCAAAAGGGGUGAGCCUUCCUUGUCCAACAUUUCUCUACAAGGGGAGCUGGCUCUUUGUGCAUCACCAUACUUGUAGCUCUCAUCCAGAGAAAACCAGCUGCAGUGAACGGUGCUUUAGAAAAUCUAUCAAAGCACUGCUGUAGGUACUUCUUUCCCUUGUGGAUGCAGUGGCAGAAAGAGGAGGGGUAACCCACAGCUAGUUGGACAUUUGCCAAGCUGACACACACCAGGCAGAAAGAGAGUGUACCCAACGAGGAGAGGUUCAAGUAACAACCUGAGCACAAGCUGCCUAAACUUACUAGUGCUGCCUGCCUGGCCAGUCAAACAAAAUGACAUCGCUGGCCUGCAGCAAAUAUCUAAGCACAGCAGAGCACCUGCAGCAACAAAAGGUCAGCAGCAGAAACUAAAUCGACUGUGGAGUGAGACUCCAGCAGUGGAGCAACUCCACCACUGCUGAAAAUAAUGACCGUGGAGGAGUUUGAAAUUUGAGCCGAAGCUGCUUUUAACAAGUAUUUUCCCAGUAACUAGUUAGCUUGUAAGUCAUGAUAAAUUGCUUGGUCUUUAGAAGUCAGAAAAUGGUCAAAAAAAGAAAAAAAAAAUUGCUCAUGAAAGCCCAAAUUGAUGUCCUCGCCCACACCUUAUUUUCCUGCCACCAACAGCCUCAAACCCUAAGAUGUACAGCAAAAUGGUGUAACAUAGUUCAAAUAGACAAUAACAGUCUGAUUUAUUCAUUUUUUCAGUGGUUGAUUCCCAGAUGUCAAAAAUCCUAUCUUAACAAACAUACUGUAAAAAAAAAUGUUAAUUUCUAAAAGGUUUUUAGCUCACUGAGUUAUGGUGAACACUUUGACAUUAUGUGAUGAUUGUGAGUUUAUAAAAAUAUAUUUAGCAAGUGGACAAGAAGUGACAGAUGGGUACCUUGAUUUGUUUAUAGUUGUACAGUUUCACAGCAUUGGAUGGUUUUCAAAAUAGCUGACGAACAGGGUGGACGGCUGGUUAAACUCGUCAAUUAAGAUUAAUGAAUGGAUUUGUGCAAAUGUCAAACUGAAGUGAAAAAAUGUUGACAGUUUUUUUUAGUUCAUUAAUUUUCCUCAUCUUUAGAUUGAGCACAAGCAUGAUCUUAAACUCAUAAACAAAAACUUUUGCCUCCUGUUUUGCUCAAAUUUGCAUGAAUCUGUGCAAAAGGUAACAGUAAACAAGGUGAACAGGACAUGUGCUGAAAUAUUUAUGUUGACAUUUCUCCUCUUCUCACAGCUUUGCAGUUGAUGCCUUUAAACAUCACGGUGGCAAAUGUCACAACAUUCAUCAUUUUUGUGGCCUCAUAGCUAUGGUCUUAGUUACUUUGUAGCAACAGAGAGAUGCACUCACCAGCUUUGCUGCCAUUGGCUGGAUUGUAUGGCAGGAUCUCAUACUAAAAAUAUCCACCAUGUUGCUUAGCCUACCAAUUUGGUAAGCUAAUGGAAGAAAGCUCCAGUUCUUGGUGUCAGCAGGGAGAGGUUUGACGUACUGGACUUUUUUUGCCUGGUUUGAUAAAAUGUGUGUGAUCAAGUUGUCUCAAAUAUUGCUUUUGUUAUUGUGAAUUUAUAACUAUUCUUAUAGGAUUUUGUUCAUCAGAAGCAAGCAUUUAACACAGCCCUGCAAUGAAUAAGGAAUAUUUGGUAAUUAGCCAGUGUUUAUGCAAAAUAAAAUCCUUCCAGGACCCCUGAAGGCUUCGUGUCUUGGUAUUACCCUGGAGGUAUCCUGUCCACACAACCACAAGCUAAUUAUACAGCUCUGCUUAUUAGCCAGCUAUCAAUCAAAUAUACAAACAAGAUGAUGCUAAGUAUUGAUCCAAAGAUGAUUGUAUCUGAUUAGUCAAAACAGCAUUUUUUGUUUUCAUGUUUGACAGAUUUAGAAAAAAAAACAGCGGCACAUGUUCAAGGUUCUCUCGCUCUAAAAAAAGUUUUUAAAAAAAGUCAUACAGUGUUAAGGUUUGUGGUUGUUUUGUGUCUUUUUUCUUUAAAUUUGGUCAACAUCUCUUUGAUUCUGUCCCUCAGUUUUUGAAGAAACGUUCCACUGUUUUACAACUUCUUUACUUCUUUUCUCUGCUGUUGGCUAGUGAGUAAUUGCCUGCCAAUUAAAAGGUAUGUACUCUCCAAAUUAGGAGUAUUAUUAAAACUUUCCUCUAUGUUAUCUACUAUGUCAAAGCCAAACUAAUGUCUUUCCUGGGUAAUCAGAAGGAAGAGGUGCUGUAACUUCUUUCUGCUAGAGAUGGGAUUUGUGGCUCUUUGAAAGAAGUCUGAUCUUAAGGAGCUGUUCCUUUCAAAGAGACUAGCUCAUUGUUAUAUUCAUUUGUUUUUUUAGAAGUCAACCAGGGGUACACAUUGGUGGGAAUUAUCCAGAAAUACUGAGUUUAAUUUCAUUUGGCUUGUGCUUUCAAAGCCAUAUCCUCAUGCUUUGGCAGGGAGAUCUUUUUUAUUAUUAUUAUUUUUCCCUCACCCAAAAAACUUUGUGGCACAAUAAAAACCAUGCAGGUGACAGAUAACUGAUAAAAAAGUAAGACAUGAUAAAAUUGUGAAUGCAAAAUUUUACAACCCUACCUGGUGUUUGGGGCACUCUGGUGACACGUGAAGGUAGCAUGGGCAAUUUGCAUACAAGAACAAUUCUCAAACGAAGGUCUCACCACUGUGGAACUGUUCUCAUCGUUCUCUUAAAAGAGUCGUUCAAACCACUGAUUCGUUCAUGGUUGUAACAUCUUUACUCUCUGCAGAUUACUUUAAUAUGCAGCAUGUGUGAUCAGGUUGGCUCUAGUGUUGCUUUUGCUAUUCACAGUUAAUGACCAUUGUCAAAGAAUUUAGAAAGGUGGCCAAAAUAGCAGCGGCUCUGCAAUGGCCCAAAUGGUCUUCAUUAUAACAAACAUGCUACAGGUGCUUGAAUGAUGCAGCAUUUGCAGUGUGUCACCACACUGCCCAUGUUUUGCACUUUUGUAUGUGUUUCUGGCUCUUGCUGGCCACCAUGGAUUUGACCAAUCAGAAUCAAGUUGGGUGACAAUAUUGAAUGCUGAUGAGUUUAUAAUCUGUUCCUCUGAAUACAUCAGUCGACUGACAUGUUGACGGCUUUAGCUGGCGGGGCAGAGGGAAGUAUUCAAGAAACAAUAUCUAAAACUAAAGGUUGGGGACAUCUGAUCAAAUCCUUGUGCCACACAUUUUAUUUUUCUCUGACUACAAAGUUUUUUUGUGCUUGUUUUUUUAAGCUCCAACGGCGUAUGUGUUUCCCAGGGGAAAGAAUCUCACUAUGUUAAAAUGGUAUUUGUAUCUUCCAAAGUAUCACUUGUGAUUCAGCUUUACUAGCCUGAGAGGAGAUUCUUUUUAUGCUCAAUACAGUAUGUGCACACAGUGGGCACAUGCAUGUAUGCAUGACAUUCCUGUGAGUUAGACAGUUUUCUAUAUAUGACCCGGAUUAGGAGGAUCUUCUGUUUUGCCCGAAAACAGGUUCUGCUUCAACUGAGCGAUUUAGCCCUUGGUAGUUGUCAACUGUGCUUCUACAAAGCUUAAUAUACAUUUACGACAUCCCUCUAGUUUUAUAUAGUCUGCAGGCUGUGUAUUGGAGUGAGAGUAUGAUUUCUGACAGAUGGAGGAGAAAAAGAAAAUUGUGAAGAACUUCCCUUGGGGACAACUUAAGCAGAUUCAUUUCAUUCUUUGACUGCAUGUCUAAAUAGAGAGAAAUGCAAUGAGUAGACACAUCAAACGUCAUCAUGGCAAGUUAAAAGAGGAGUUAAGCUCUUUAUGUCGACCCCUCUGAUUUGGAUUUUUGUUGAAACCCCCGUGGUGAACUCAUUUAUGCAACAUUUUGAUGGAAUUGAUCCAAUUGCAACUACGUUUUUCUUCUUUAGAUCUCAUGUUUCGCUUUAACACCUACAUUAUGUCAUCAUUAUCACAGAUUCAGGAAAAACCCCGACUGUACUUCCCACUAAACAUCACCUUAUUUACAAGGCUGGUAACCUUAGGUUGUAAGAGGGGAUGCAGGGUUGCAUGUUUUACUCCAUAGAGAGUAUCAAUCAGCCGCAGUCGACUAAUAACUUGUGCGGCAUUUAUCUCCUUGUCAGAAGAAAGUGAGGGGAGAGAGGUGACGAGUGGAGACAAAUACCAUUCACAUUACAGCGCAGAUUUCCACAGGCCUCAGGCUAAAGGGGAAAGGAAUUUCAAAGGAGAAUCAAGAAUAAAGUCGGGGUCUUGAGACAGCAUGCUUAACACUGAAAGAAGCUGAGACCUUUUGAAAAAGUCAGACAGUUAACUUCUGACUGAUUCACUUCAUCUCCAUCGGCAGUGCUUAUUUACGUGGCAGAUGGGUUCCAUAAAUUUCAUUGUGGACCUCACCGUUAUAAACCUAACUCAAUUAGCCGGGCAGGGUGUUAGCGGACACUUAGCUCGAUCCAUCGCAGCAAAUCACAAUGGGCAGAUGGGUGAUAUUUUUCAUUUUUGGUGGCUAAAGCUCAAACCCAUUAGUUUUCCUUGUUUGUGUGAGUGCCUGACUCAUUGAAUAAUCAGUUUGAUUAAUAAAACCGGACUCCCCAGGCAGGAUGUUUUUGGCUAUGAAAUCUGGUGUCUCUCUCUCUCUGGCACAAAACAUGUUCAUGUUGUAGGUAAACUCUUAUUGUUUUUUAUCCCUUUAAAAUGUGACAGAUAAUGUGACAAAUUCAGCGUCAGUGCUCCAAGCUCUAAUACAAAUUAACUUGGCUCAUCACAUUGUGUUUUCCUUGCCUGUUGCCUUUUGUCUCCCACUUCUCACCCUCAUUACUCUUCCUCAGCCCUGCUUCCAUAUUUCCCCACAUCCUCUUACCUGUAUCCUGUUUAAUAGAUCUUUCUUUCCAUCAUUCCUCAUUCUUAUUUUACAUAUUCCUCACGUCUCCACUUCAUCUACAUAGACGCCUCCUCUCCCCGCCUCCUCAUCCAUCCCUCACUUCAUAUCUCUCUCCUUCUCUCCCCGCCACUGAGCCCACCCUGGCAGCCUUGGCCCUCUUAAAUGCAUCAUUUCUUCCAAGAGAUAUCCUUCUGCACUGACCUCUGAGCUAGCUGGCUGCCUGCCAUCUCCACUCAAUGGACUCAUCAAUCCAUCUUGGUUCUUGGAUGGCCUUGAUUUUAUUGUCUCACACAGCCCUCUGUCAUCCUCUUCAUCUCUCAUCCUUAAUGUCAUCCUUUCAGAUUUUAACAUGUCUGCAUUUUCUGAGCACGCAGCGUUUGAUUACAUUGAGUUGGAGCGGUAGAGCCCAGGUGGGCUUUUGUUGUUGAGUCCUUGCUGGGACAGAGGAUACACAGUCAUGGAUGUGCCAUUUCUAUAGAGUUAAUCAUUGGGUUGUGAAGGAGCAGCUACAAUGAAAUUGGAUUUAUUUUUCUUCUCAUUAUUCCUGAUGACUGAUCGCACAUUUAAAUGCAUCAAUGCUUUGCAUUAAACUGUGCUUGCUCAAACUUAUUAUACAUAACUGGCCUGUCAAAUUCAUAAAUGUUAUAGGCAAAGAAGACAACAGUCUUCUGGUAUUUUGUUUGAUUUCCAUACUGUAUUCUGGGGAAAUACUUCCUGAGACUAGUUUGACUGCUAUGACCUGACACAGAAAGGGUCACAUGACAGGCAGACUUGUCACUGAGCGAGUUUUCCACAACUUUGCUUAAGCUGCAAUUUGGGUGGAGACCAACGAGAAGAUGCACACAUCACAACCAUCCACAACUUUCCGCAGCAGUGAGGAAAGUGCAGCGUAUCAUGUUAGCACAAUGUGAUGACAUAACUGCCAAUGUCAUGUACUUUAUUUGCUAAUUCAUUUUCUAUCUAUCUAUCUAUCUAUCUAUCUAUCUAUCUAUCUAUACAAAAAUAAAAAUAAAAUAAUAAAAAAAUGAACAGUCAUGCUAACCCAGAACAAAGUAUUAGGGCCACAUCAAGAAAAAAAAAGACUUUAUAUUUACGUACGAGAAUAAAGUUGUAAUAAAAUCAUUACUUACGAGAAUAAAGUUGUAAUAAAAUCAUUACUUAUGAGAAUAAAGUUGUAGCUAACAGCUAUUCUAAUCUGUUGUUAGUUGUUUAAAUGAGCACUGUGGAGCAUUUCGAUGAAUUGAACUAUAGUAGCUAGGUUUCACAAACAAGGAGAUACUAAAUCCUUUGGCAUUUCAGCAUCACAUUGUCAUAAGUAUCAGGACGUAUGCAAGAAAUGCACCUUUUCCGCAGAAAGAACCAGGCGGACUUGUUGGGAAUCACUGUUUUUGAGGAGGGGGAAAUGGCUGGAAAUGGCUGUGCAGAGGCUAAAUCCUUUAACGCAGCCAUUUAUAGCCAUAGCAAUAGCAUGUGGCUUUAGUUUAUCGUAUGAAUCUAUACGCCAUAAGGUGUUGGUGCUUCUGCAGGUGUAGGUUGCUGCCGGUGUUGUGCCGGCAUCAGAGACAGACACGGUGCUCGUCGGAGCUCGACUCCCUCUGGAUCGUAUAUGUUGAUCAUCAGUUGGAUUGUUUCUUGAGAAACCACUAAAGCCCUCUGAAUGGCCCACUGAUGCACCCACCGAUAACUCUGCAGUUGACCAGUUCCAGCCAUUUCCUCCUCCACAAAAGCAGCUUUAAGAAUUUAUUUACUUUACGACUUUAUUCUUGUAAGUAAUGAUUUACCUACGACUUUAUUCUCAUAAGUAAUUAGGAAGCCUUGAUUUUUUUUUUCUUCCUAAAGUGGCCCUAAUACUCUGCCGUACUAACCCAGUUCAAGGAUUUAUUUUUUUAACUUGGCAUUUUCAAUAUUAAAAGCUAUGAUCAGUAGAGAGGCCAUCCUUCCUUAAAUAAAAUCAUUUUGUGCAAUUUAAUCUUUAAUUCAUCAGAUUUACAAAAAAAAAACAAAAAACAAACUAAUGAACAUUUCAAAAUGUUCCGGUCUUUUGAGUUUGUUUCUUUUGAUUUUACUAUCAGAGAAUUUUCCUCUAAUUCCUGGGACCAUUGCCCAGAUGGACUUCAAUUUAGUGAUUAACAUUUUUAUUUGAUAACUUAACUUUUAACAAUCAAUUCCAACUAAGAAAGGACUUCUGUAUCAUGUUAUUAAAUUAAUCUCACAAAGCAAAAUGUUUUCUUGAACAUCUGAGCUGAUUACAGCUAAAAGUGGUUAGCAUCAGUAGUCAUGUUAAUAAAGCUUGGUAGACUGAUCCCUGCAAACCCGUCGGUGUGCCUCACAGGUUUGUUGGAAGUCCCCUUUAAUAUCCUCUCAGCUCAAAGUCACUUGCAUUAAAGGUUUGCUGCCAAAAAAGAAAAAAAAAGGGGGGAAAAAAGUCAAUUUACUGGUCUUCCUGCUCUCAGUGGGAGUUGCUAUGAGGAGAAUGAAUAUAUACAUCACCUAUUAUGUCCUCUCGCUUAUUUGCUGAGAAAAGCCUUUAUAAAGCAUUUGCAGAUCAAUAAGUACUGCACCACACUACUUACAGGACAACUUACGGGCAGGUCUGGGACUGUUCUGUUAUAUAUGGACAUGCUAAAUGCCAGUUAUGCUUCCCAGCUCUCCAAGGCCACUAUGAGCAUUUGCUCGGCACUAUUUAUAGAGAGCCUCAGCAUGUUUAGUCAUGAAACACCUGACCCUUUAAAUCAGAGAGCACUGACUGGAGCAUCGGAAACUUGCUUGUAUCAUAAUUUUUUGACCUCCGUGGCAGAAGCAGCAGCGUAUGAAAACAGGAGUAUCAAAUUGAAGUGAUAAAAAUGUAAAUUUUACCAAGCGUCCAUGUAACCUUCACAUUUGUCUCUCAUCAGCCUUUCAGCACAUUCUUCCCCUGUCUUUUUAAACUCUUUUUUUUACUCCAAAGGCCUUCUAGCUCUUGGCAUUCUUCCUUCACAGUUACAGUGCAAGACCUCAGUACACACUGGAGAGUGUGUUUUGUGUCUGCCAUGGACUCAACCUUCAGGUUUACCAUCUGAAUAUUCAGUGCUCCCAGCGACCCCACUGUGCUAAGCAAACUUCACAAAGAAGCAGCAGACACGGAGGGCACUUACUACUUAGACACUCACGAAAAAGAGCCUCCUUUUUGCUUUUAGCUUGAAUCAAAUCCUGUUCUCUCAUAAAAUUAUUUAAAGUGUACUUUAGCAAUGUAACACUCACUUUCAACGUGAAUGUGAUGACGCUCUUCCUUGGAAAUGAAUGGCAAUUAUAAAACUUGCAUGUGAUCACAACAACCCGAAUGUGCUUUUAUGGAUAUGCAUGAAAAAUCUAUGAAAAGUGGAAAUGAAAUCACAAUUUGCUGCAGAUGCAUUGCUAUGGCUCUGUAAUCACCCGGUUGUUGUGUUUUUAUUUAUUUUUUUCAGCCUACAAGAGCAAAAUGGCAUUUAAUUGCUGUUGCAAAUGUACAUCUGUGUGACUGAAUAUAAAUGAGACUCUGAGGCCUCUUGUUCUCAUGGUAACACAAGUAGGAUGUGAGGUACUGAUUGACCUUGGGGGGUGUAGAGUUUCCUUUUCCACAUGAAUUUAGCAGCAAGGUAAGUCUGGGUGUCUGCAUGGCAACAGCUUUGCUGUUUGGAAAUAGCAGGCCGUCUGAUGUUUCCUUUUUGAGGGGAGCUCCUUUUCUCUAGCUGUAUGUGUGUUUGAAGAAGUCUAAAUAGUUUAUGUAAUGAGAAAACAAGUCUGUCAGAAAAAGAAAUUGCAUUCAUUUCAUUCACUGCUCCUAUCUUAUUAGGAAACGACUGCAAGCGUUCAGGUGAUCAGUGUGCAAUGUUUCAAUUUACACAGGCAAUGCAUUACAAUGAUACAUGACUCAGUGUGAUGCUAUGAAGCUACGUCAGCAGGCCUGUGGGGGGCACUGCAGCACUUUCCCCAUCGUCUCUUGCCUGAUUUCCUUCAUUUCUUCUUUUUCCAUAGCUUUCCAUCCCAAUUUUCUGUCUUCCUCUUGUUCUGUGACUCUAUCACUCCUCACUCAUUCCUCUCUCUCUCUUUCUGGUACUAAUGCGCUCUCUCAUCACUGCAUCCCCUCCUUACCCUCUCUUUCUCUCUCUCCCUCCACCUCACACACUCAUCCCCUCUCAAGUUCUCACUCCCCUCGUUCCAAGAUUUUACUUUUGGUUGAUGUCCAUUUUCUCUCCAUCACUCCCUCUUUUUUCCACGUCCCUCAUUUUCAUUUCUGUUGCCCGUCCGCCACUUUUUUUUGUUCGGGAUUAUUAAUCGAUACGGAGCCCUCCUCUCCCUUCUCAUCCCCAUGAAAUGAAAUGUACACACAUUAGCAACAAGGCAUAAGUGGCUUGACCUUCCUCCUGUUGCACCCAUUUCUCAUUCAUUGCAGUUCCAUUUGGCAGCAGGGUAUAAUUAGUAUGGCUAUCUAUAUGAGAGCAUUAUCAGCUGGCUGUUAGAUGGAGGUAAAACAAUAAUGGGAGUCUGAUGACACAGGACAUUCCUUUUUUCCUGCGAUUUCUCACAGAGUGAUAGUGAAUUUGACGUCAACUCAUCAGUCACUCGACAGACCCUUGUUCCGUCUACGUGUUUAAUCCCUGAGCAGCUCUAAAAAGAUAACCGGACCUAAAUUAAAGGAAUACAUUUGUGUUAAAGUGUCAGAAAUGUGAAAUGUGCUGUAUAUUUAGAAGGAGAGCUCAGUGAUCCACUCUCCCCAAGAUAAAUAUCUACCAGUCUCUUUUGGAGGACAAGAGAAAGCUGGAAAUAUCUAAUCAUUUCUGCCCUGGUUUCAUAUCAUUUGCAGUUUCACAAACAAUUGGCCAGUCAUUUAAUCUUGUUGGAGCUCCAGGCUCAAAAGUGUCUUCUCAAGAAGGCAGAUAUUUAUCUAAAAUAUGUCACCGUGCCAACUAUAUUCAUUCAUGCCAGGAGUUGUAAUCGAGUUGACAACAUCUGCACUCUAGGGAUUAAGAAGAGGAACAGCAGCAUUCUGGGAUAGAUUGGGCAAAUCUUCUUCAAUCACUCAGCCAGUAGUUAGAGAGAGCUUCUCAAAAGUUUGAUGUGACUUUCCUGUGUGCAAACCAACACUCAGCCACACCUACACACCCUAAUUUAUUUCAUUAAAACAUUAUUGAUUUCUCCCCUGUCACAAAUACUCAUAAAAAGCAGGUCAUGUCAAGAGAUGGUAAUUAAUGAUUAGCCCUCAUAUGCAUUACUUUGUCAGGAAAUGACGGAUGGCGGCUUGAUGGCUGAUGGCCGUGACCUUGACGGGGGAAAUUACCGCCAAGGGGGCAGACGAAGGAGAAAGGUUGCAUGAAGCAGCCGUUUCCUAAUGACUGACUUAUAUCAUAUCUCAUUCAUAGCUUAUACCUUCAUGCCCUGAGAACACACACAUAAUUAGUUUUCCAUCAGUUUCUAAGUUUAAUUUCAUCAGGAUACAAAGCCCAACACAAAUAAACUACAAUUCUUAAUGAUAUGACUAUAAAUGAUUAAUUCUAACUUAAUUGCCAUUAAUAAAUUAGUUGGUUAUUAAUAAAUUAAUAGGUAACAUGGAAAGCUAGAAGGGUGUGGUGUAAAAUGUCAGAAAAUAUGUGCAGUUCACUGAAUCACAAAGUAGCUGCUUUAAAUAGUCUUUUGUCUGAUUAAUUAGAUGAAGUUAGGUUAUGAGAAUAAUUUCCACAAAUAUAGACGUAUGGUAGCUUGGUCAGUUACACAAUGAGUGUGCUGCAAACAACAGCAGGGCAACAACAUAAGGAAAGGUUUUCAUUGGCUGAUGGUUAUAGCUGCAUUGCCGCUCAUGAUAUAGCAUGUCUGUGAAGGUAUGGCUCCAUCCUCUAAGUAAAAUACUGCAAAACAAUAAAAUACCUUUCUGCAUUUUAUAUUGGUAUAAUGGUUGCACUGGUGUCUAGGAUGCAGCCCACCUUUUAGAUGAUUAAAAGGGUACGGCAAAAGCGUCUCGUAUAACCAAAUUUUACGGUAUUCUUUACAUCUCCUGCUUGGAAGGGAGUCAACAUUGCUAUUUGUUUCACUGGCGAUUGAACCCAGGUCUUCUAAAUGGCAUUUUUGUUUUUGCUCAAGCACUCCAUCACCCUUAUGCACUCUUUAUUGCAAGUGCCCAAUGGAUCAUGGAUCACAAAUCAUAUUGAAAUCACGACUCGUAAAGGGCAGAGAGAAAAACAUGCUAGACUUUCUGUUUGGAGGCCAUGAGGUGUCGUGGACAUAUACUUGAUUAUUGGUUACCAUGAUACACAGGAGUGGCUGUGGCCCAGUGGUAGAGUCAGUCGUCUCUAUAUUGGUGGGUUGGGAAUUCAACCUCAACUGCAUAUUAGAUAUCAACGAGUUAUUUUCUGGCUUCUCUGGCCGAGGACUAGGCUGGGGUGGAUAGUGGUGAAGGUGUGAGUAUGAGAAUUAAAAUACUACAUUAACAAUAUUCCAAACAUGUCACUGAACCAUAAAAGCCUAUGAUUAACCUGUCAAACAUCAUUUCCUUGCAUUUUCCAGUCUAUAACUUGUACAUUGAGCUCUGUUUUAUACUAUACUGCUGUCAGUUAACUUAUUACCAAUCAGUUUCAGAAAACAGCUGUUGAUAUAGAAACUUUGGUAACCUUGUUAAGAUACCUUCAUUUGAGACUGGCUUGAUACCGUAGACUGUAUAUACUAUGGACAACUUGGUUCUGCCUUCCACCAGUAUACGGACAUGAAGCCGAAAAGCUCUUGAUAUUUAAGCAUUUUUUCUCCAUUUCCUGUAACCAACAUUGCGCAGUAGCGUUGUACGCACUCCCCCACUUGCGCAGUAACAUUGUACACAUUCGGCAGGAGAGUCGCCGACAGUCGCUGUGAUGCCGCUCAGCUCAAACAGCGUAUCACUCCGGGUGAACUACGCAAUCUUCGUACGCCCAUAGGCUGUAUUAAGUGUCAAUCAUAGAAAACAUGAAACCCCUAAUAACUGCACAGAAAAAAAGAGGACUUGAGCACAAACCAGUCUUAAGGUCCUUACACACCAGAAAAUGACACAAAUACAUGACGCAAAAUUACGAAAUAUUCAGAGGUGAAUUUUGACGCACCUGACUAUACACAUCAAGAAAAUAGAGCCCUAGGUGUUAAUAUGUUCAAUAAUUGGAACACAAUCCCUUCUAUGUUUGCAUCAUUACUUGACAUGUUAUGAUUGGAUUCUUUAGCAGAGAUGGCCAACAUCAUCCGAAAAUAUCUCACACAUUCCCUGCACACAGCAGACAGUUGUACAUAUCAGAGAUUUAGAGCCCAUUAGAGAGACACACAAUAAUUCAUGUAAUUAAGAACAAGGCAAACUACUCCAAGUAAUUCAGAGGCUUAGCUUGGUUUAUGUAGACAAACUCACAGAUAUCCUGUCAUUUAGUUCAUAAGAUUUUUUCUCAAACCAGUUAAUGAUGUUAUCAACAUUGAUCUAUCACCCAUCUAUUUACACAGAAAACAAACAACAACAAAAAAACUUACUAAGAAAAUAUUCUUCAUUUAGGAUACACAUAAAUGCUAAUGAAGCACAUGCAAUGCUUGAUUUGCAAAAGAACAGAUGCCCAAAAUUUUCAGAGGAGGCAAUUUUGCACGCUGGUUAGCAUGGAUGUGUCCCAGAAUAUGGAUCAGCUGGUGAGAGCGUCAGAGGUGGAUAAUGUCCGCCAUGCAGAGAGGGAUUAUUUUGUCAAAGCAUGGAUUGCCUGCCAAUACACACGCCUGUACCCACAUGGUGAGGGGCUUAGACAAAAGCACUGAGACAUUAUUUUCAGGUUGCAACUGUGCUUCACUGUCAGCUCAAAGAGAAGAGAGGGGUGUUGGUGAAAAUUAGAGGACCACAAAGUGCUCUCCAAACAGCCUUCAUAUUGAGCUGUUGGAUUUAUCUGUGUUUGUAGCUUCAGUGUGGGCUCUGUUUGAUUGUAUAUAUCUCGUCAUUAUGAAAACAAAUUUCACAGGCUUUUAGUUUAAAGUGCUAUGUGAACUUCACAUCGUCAACUAUUCAGAGGAUGUUGCUUUAAAAGUGAAAACAUGAAGACAACCUUGAUGCUCGCAAAUUUAUUUAACAUGAAUCAAUCUGCUGUGGAAAUACUUAAGAACACUACACGACCUUACUUCAAAAAGCACUUGAAACAGGUGGGCAAUUCAUGAAGCAUGCUUUUGAAAUGCUCUUUUCUCUCAGGUAAUUAGUUAUUCUGAAACAGUAUUCACACGUAUAGCUUCUACUGCAUUUGCACAUGUAGUACUUUGCAUGCCUAUCUUGUGCAUCAACACAUAUCUUUCUCACACACAUACACGGUGAAGGGAUGGGUGAGAGGUGGAAGGUGCUCUCCAGCAGACAAGUAUAAUCUCUUCUAUAAAUUGGGAGCAGAGCCGCUCUGCUCAGAGCAGCUUAUCCAACGUCCCGCAUCAUGAGUAGGAGGCUCUCGUACAGCAAAAUGCCACCAAACAAACAUUGCAUUUACCAAAAUACAGCUUGUCCCCGUCUAAAGCAUUUAUUGCAAUUAUAUGCAAUUUAAGUAGGAGUAGAAAUUACUGAAGCAGCCAGGGUCAACAGAGACCUCCCCCCUCCAUUCAAUGAGUGACAGUUCUGAGAAUGCAAAAGCAGUGGGCCCUCCUCCCAGGAGGCCAUUUGUUAAAUAACCCUUUUUAGGAAUUUUGAGGCAGUUUUACAGAAAACAGGACUACAUACAGAGCAACAGAACAUAUUCUUAGACACUGUAAAUCAAAUCUGAAGUCUUUGACAGCUUUUAUAAUUCAAGUACAACCAUGCCGGUAGAUUUUGAUUCCACCUUCAGCAGUUAUUUUUAAUCUUUCAUGUGGAUGAUGAAAGCGACACAGAGGAACAAGUAACAGAUCGACAAUUAGAGGCUCGUGCAGCGAAAUUAAAUCACUGCAGGAACCUGUUAUAGCACAACACUGUCUUUUUGUUCAACACCCCCAUUUUGAUCUAUUAGUGGUAGGGUUUCUUCUCUCAUAUGCUUUGUUAAAAUAAAAUCAAUUAUCUGUGAUUAAAACAAUCCUCCAGCCACCGGUCCCUAAAGCAGAAGGUGAUUUAGAAUGAUCUGUCAGCUACGUUGGAGAGGAGAUGGCAGAACGCCAUUCCACUUGGUGAUGAAUCUGGUGGAAUACUAUCGGAAGAAAAAAAGCUGGAGCUCACACAGAAAAAGAGAGAGAGUGAGAGAGGUUUCUGCAGCUUCAGAUUUUCUGUUCUGUAGAACUAAAACUACAAGAAAAAUCACAACUUUUAAGUUCAUCAUACUUAUUUUGUGUUUUCUCUCCUCUCACUGUGAAAUUACCCUCUUUGUUUUCACCCCAUGUCUGUCAUAACAGCCUCUAUUCCCUGCUCUCCCAUAAAAGGUUGACCAUCCCCUCCACCCAUCCUCCUCUUGCUCUCUUUACUAAAAUUGCAGCAGCUACACUAUUCUGUCAUUUGUAGCUUGCACAGAGACAAAAAAGCCUUCUGGGUAACAUUGUUUGAAUGUGCUCUGCUCAAACAGAUUCCCAGAACCAAUAGAAGUGUUCGCACAAAUCUCUCAGUCAGUUCUUGUUAUUGUGGGGUGCUGAGCAGCUCCAAAUACCCAACAUUCACUGCAGACCCCUGCAGCACAAUGAAUCAAUAAGCCAAAAGUACAUAAAGAUUGUGCCAAUGUCUCACCACAAAUCAAAGCUUUAUGGCUUCAUAUCAACAAAUUUUCUCUUCUAAAUUGGUUGCAGAGCUCCCUAAAACUUUAAGAAGUUGUUCACUAGGAUUUUACUGUCCCUAAAAUCUGAGGCAAACAAAGCACUUCAUUUGAUAUACCGCUGAUCAAAAUACCAUGAUGCUGGCACAUAAAUACUAUUAGCUGCUCAUCAUUCACAACACUUAGUAAGUGUUAAAGAAAUCAAAGUCCUCCAACAAAAGUCUGCUCAUGUUUGUUUGUCAUCCGCAGAACAACAACCUGUGCUUAUUCAUGCUAUUAACUCAGUAGCCUUUUGAGAUGAGCCAUGUGAACAGUGAGGCUGAGUGGAAAGGAAUGGGAACUUUUGCAAAGUCUAAUUGAAAGAAAUGCGUUUCAGCAGGGCCCUUAGCUGGCCUGCCUGUCAGUUCGAAAGUCUGCGGCUCUGAAGCCAGCAGGUAGGCUUUUACACUUCUCAUGGUUAGCUCAUUAGCUAAGCUGCCUCUGCCGGGCAGAGCCAAAGCUCUGAUAACAUGCCAAAAAUCAAAGUCCAGGCCGGCCAAAGUGACUUUAUUGAAAACUGGCUGUAUAGAAUGUGUGUUCCCACUGUGAUAGUUGGCUUAGAUAUGGAAGCUGCGUCUCUGCUCGAUGCCUCAGGCUAGAUAAGCAACAUUUGUGUAGAUGUAAAGGAUGUGCUUUGGCAUAGGAGAGUGCGCUCCAUACUGAUUUUCUAUACGAGGUUUUUCCAGCCUUAGAUUAUUCUGAAAGAGUACCCUACGUGUCUCUACUCCAGGGAUGUUUGUGAACAUUUCUAUGACCUCUGGGUCUUCGCUCAUUUUGGCUUUCUAAACAUCGUGAACUCCACCUCUCUGAACAGCACUUUUCUCCUCUGCUGAAGUCGACAGAAUCUUUUCUUUGGAAAUGAGAUUUUGCAAGUAGUGACAAAAGUAGCAGUCCAUUUAAUGUGCCCAGUGUAAGCUAUAUGAACAGAAACAGUGCUGCUUUUCAAUUAGAAAAACAGAGUGAAUGACUGUUUAAUGGACAUGACUGUCCUAUCUUGUUUUCUCCCGAUGCAAAGACAUUUGUCACACAGAAUCUAAUUUAUUUCAAAUGUGCACCUGAGGAUUAACGGACGGCAGCAAAACAAUUAUAAUCUAAACAAGUAAAGCUAUUUUAACUGCUGGCUGUACUGAAUGAUCCAGUGUCAACAGCUUAAUUUGCUUCUACAACCAGCAAGUAUGUGAGCAGGAGAUUAGUUUUUCAGACAAAAGAGGUGAUGAGCAUGAUGUUUUUAUUCAAUUACUGGAUAAAUUGAAACUCCAUGGGAGAAGACAUAAAACGUCUGUUGACAUCAAAGUUAAGCUUGCAGCAUUGUGGAUUGAUUUUAACAAGAUAUGAUAAUUUGUCCGGCUUCUGGGAAGCCUUGUAAUUUGCUACUUAAUUUGUUGUGCAGCAUAACAAGGUGAAGCUUGCGUAUGUGUAUUUGGCUGCAUCUUUAGUUUAUAAAACCUGUCAUGGUGCAACACCGUGCAGAUUCUGUGCACUUUAUAUUCUACAGACAAAUUUCCAUCCAUAAAAAUUUCAGACCGGGACUGUCUGACCCAGGGCUUGCCCUGGACAAUAACAAGGUCUCCUGAGCUGCUGAAGCUGCGUCCCCACAGACAGCCUGUGUGCCAUUAUCAAAUUGGCUCUUCUUCUCCUGCCUCCCAUAACAUUUCAUGCAGCGAACGGCUGCACCCUUUACAUGUUCCUCUGAAUGUCACAGCACCUGGGAUAUGAGUCUGACAGUUGGACUGCAAAAGAAGAGGUCCCCACAUUUCCUUCUUCAUAAUGCAUAUAAUAAAUACCUGCAGCCAACUGCAUACAAUAAAAUAUAGUGGCCAGGGAGUGAACACUUUCAAAACAAAGCCUUGGAAAUGGUGACUCACUCCUACUCAGCUGUUCAAAGUCCAGGAAUUAUCACAAAGCCCACCUCGUUUCCCCUGGCAGACAAUGGCACCGCCUGGACCAGAAUAGCUUCCUGAGAAGAGUCCAAGAUUGAUGGUAAAGUCUGAGUUGCACCGCUUUUUAUUUGAAUUGUCAUGACUAAAACAAAAAAUGGGGAUAUGUGGGGUGAAAAAAACAGUCUUGAAAAGACAGAACAUCAUGAGAGGAGAACAGCUCAUUAGCUGCAAUGGUUUGGGCUGUUCAAAACAACGUGUCACUACAGGUUUCAAAAUGACAUCUUGCUGAGUUGAACAGACAACUUUUUUUUCUUCUGUUGUCAUGCUGAAGUCAAAAGAAACAGAAAGCCCGACAGACAGACACACAGACAGACAGUAGAGCCAUCAAGAUAUCAGAAACCUCUUUUUUAAAAAGUGUGUUUUCUUGCCAUUUUAAACCAUACAAACUUUUAAUCUAUAAGUUUAUGUGCAGCACUUAUGGCCUCACAUAGGGAGCAUUUGCUCAGUACAUAUUAUGACUCAGACGACUAUCAUUUACUCAAAACAAACAAGGAAAUAAAUAAAUAACCCAAUACCAUCAAACUAGUUCAAAGCACAGCUUUCUGACCUCAGCUCACUGAUCGGGGAAUAUGAAAAGGGGCCCCAGGAGAUGGUGGGUUUCACAUACCAGUGUGAUUUAUGGUCUACCAUAACAAAUCAACAAGUUUAACUUUAAUUGUUUUCUUUGCAAUGGGAGGUGGGGUAGUUAAUACAGAGCGAUGAUUGAUGGCACAGGGCACCGGGUUUGGCUUGGCACUUUGUCUUUUGCAGUGCAGCUCAGGAAUUGAACCAGUUGAUAGAAGCAAUUAAUUUGAGGAAGGAUUUUUUUUUUAAGAUUCAGGAAAUAUACAGGUUCUAGAAAAUAUCAGAUAGAAAAUUGUUCCAUCCACGAGAGAAUGGUCCCCCAGUCUUUUCAUUUCAUGGGAGAAAUUUAGAUUAAAGGUUAAGCUUUUGUAGUCCUGCACUGCCUUUGUAUCCUUUUCUGUUUACCCGUGUGUCAAUAUAAAGUAAUAUUUGGGCCUUUGUUUCGAACUUAAUUUGACAGUCUGACAUUUCACAUGGUUUAAUAAAGCAAGCCACUGUUCAAGCUACAUUUGUUUGCUAAGUAAUUGAGACAACCAUUUAAUUAAAUGCUUUGCUGAUGAUGCUUCUCCUGGAAAGUGGCUGCUAACCAUUAAUCACUGGUGCACACCUAAUUUACAAGGACAACGGUGCAGGGAUGGGGUCUGCGCAGGAGAGGAAAUGGUCACUCUGUUACAUUAAAUCACCAUUACUAAUUAGUGAAGCUAGUGGCACCAGGAGCAACAAAGAUAUAUUGUGAUAGCAGUAAAUCACAGGACAAAAUACUAUCAUGGCUUGAUACCACAGCUGAUCAGCACUCCAUAGAUCACAGCUCAGUAUUUAAACAGUCUUUUGCUCUGAUAAUUGUCGUCAUGUGGUCUAAGGGGUGCUUCUUAUGGCUUCACAGGGUAACCUUGCAGUUACUGCCAGUAACUCAGGGCAUGCCAGAGUAGGUCUAUUUAUUUUUUGCAUUUGUUCCAGCCUGCUGGCGACUGAUGCAAUAGACUGUAGAUGAUUUACUUCUGUUGACUAUUGAAUCAUGGAGGAAGAAAAAAAAACACCCUGCCCAGAAAGCUGCGCCUGAGUUUUAAUUAGGUUUGGACAAAAAGCUGGUCUUUCCUCCGUCAAUUCAUAAAAAUGACUUUCAUUGGGAAUUACAGUAAUGACAUAUGAUGAGCACAGCUGGGGUGUGUUGAUCCUUCACCCUAUAGAGAGGCUAGAAGAGAGCGGUGGUGGUCCUGCAAACAAGGCUGCACAAAAAGUUUAACUUGUGACAUGGCUACAUGAUGCAUUCUGAAAGACAAAGACAAUAAAUCAAACAUAAUUGAUUGCAAUACUGUCUUUGAGUGUUUCUGCAAGCAUCAAUCAUAUUUACCAUGAAUUACCAGGACAAAUGCUAUUGCUUAUGAUGCACAGCGAACAGAGACAGACACACCACAACAAGCAAAUUAAACCACUGUGUUGGUCCUUUGAAGGUGAACAAUGCGUCAUAAAGUUAAGAUUAUAAUUAAAAAGAGUACUGGUGAUUAAUAAAAUGACAACCAGUCACAUCAUGUUAUCAAACAGAUUUGUCAAAAAAAUAAUUCCAGAUUCUCAUUUGCAAUAUUUAAACAGUGAAAUUAAAAACAAAGCAGGGAAGACCAUUUGGUCAGUUUAAUUUUGCUUGCUAAUCUAAGUCUGCUUUCAUGGUUAUUCCAACAUGCUUAAAAUCAAGAACAAUAAUAGAGGGGACGGGGUGUCUCAUUUUUUACAUGAAAACACUGUUUUGUUUUUUUUGUUUUUUUUUUCUGAAUGAUUACAUUCUCUGGCGACAUCAUUCAUUGAGCGACUCACCCUACCAGUACCUGUUACAGAAAACAACUAUGACAAAUACUAUAUGUGUACAUAUGUUUAUGCCUGUUGUGAUAUCCACUGUCUCGCUACACGUUGGAGGAGGAGAUUUUAACCAUUGUAGACACCACUGCACAGUUAGCGCAUCUAAGACUGGAUACAGGGUGAACAGGGACUUCUUGACUUUGAUAGCCCAGACUUGCCUCUACCCAUCAAAGUUGGGGGAUCACAAGGCCUCCCCAGGCGAGACAAUCAGCGAGUUCUAGGUCUAACUUGGAUUUCCAGCCAGUCAGAGAAAAAAAAGGUACCCAGGAGGCAUCCUGAUCAGCUGCUAAACCCCCCCUAGCCCUUUCUUUAACAUAGGUUUGGUCUCUGCUCCAAUUAUCCGAGCACCUUACACUCAUUUUAAGAGCCUGUACCCACAAUAUAAUUUUUUUUUCUUAUUUCCACUAACUUCACGGUAAAAGUUGGACUCCAGAUUAGUUAGUAAAAUGAGUUCUUUGCAUUCUAGCUCUAUCACCUCUUCACAACAUCUCAGCACAACCCCUCAUAACUGCUCAGGCCAGUUGACUAUCAAUCAAUUUGGCCUGCUCUGUUUUACCCACAUUUGUGAACAAGGUCCCAAGACACUUUCUCGAACUCUUUUCCUUCGGGCAGAAACUCAGCUACAAUCCAGAGUAUGUCGUGCACCUUUUCCAUCAGAGAACAAGACUUUUAUGUUUGGAUGUGCUGACACUUUUCCAGACCACUACACACUUGUCUAAAAAUCAUCAAAGUGUUUGCUGAUGAAACCAACCACAGCAUGUCCUCUCCAAGGAGCAGAAAUGCAAUUCCUAAGUCCCUGAACUAGAUGACAGGGCUCUCACAGCUCUUUCUUUGCUGAACAUCCAGAUCUUGAUGACAAAUAUUGGAACAAGAAACAGCGAUGAGGCUCAAUCCUGGUGAAGCUCCACAGCUAUUCAAAUCAUCUUUGACCUGCUGCUUGUGAUUAUAUAAGGACAUCCAUGAUCACAAUAUUAGGCACAGGUGCUGUCAUGGGACACUGAAGAGGUGAGUUAGCCAAGAGGACCUACAGUGACCAAAGGCUUCAGCAUUUCAUGGGGAAUUUUGACUGAGAAGCCACCAGCCAUCCCAGCAACCUCAGCCAAGAAUAUGGGGCUCCCUAGAGGUUUUCAUACUUUUCUUCCUGUUAGAAGACUUGUUUGCCACCUCAGUAAAUUCUUGCAAUUUCCAAAAUUUGACAAGAUGUCAAGCGAGGGUCAACAGUUCCCCUCCGUCCUACUAAAAGCAUUCUGAACUAACUCUUCAGUGUUGUCCAGCAAUUGGACAAAACUCCCGUGAGUCAACCUUGAAUCUCUCCACAGCCCUUUUUUCAACUCUUUGGAGCCAUUCAAAAUCCAUGUAAAUGAUCUCUUCUGGUUCACUUGUUGAGGCUCUGACCUCUGCUGCAAGUGGGCUAUUGAUUCUUCCCCUUGAGAAUUAAGGUACCAGGCACACUAAUCGAUCACCCAGUGCUUGAACAUGUUUGUUGCAAACAUGACUUGCAAAGUUUGGACCAAAACAGCGCUCUGACUUUGAUCAAGCAUGUUUGUUGUUAUAAUCACCUCCAUUAUUGCCUACAUGGCAGAGCAAUGUUGUCUCUAGGUUGCAUCUUUUUGAGGAUACCACCUGCAUGCCGGGAACCCUGUAAAACUAAAUUGAGCAAUAAAUAAAGAAUUAAACCACAUGCAGGGACUUUUUAGUCUGAUUUGCACCAACAUGGAGGAAACUCUUGUUUAGUUCAUAAAAGAGUUGAAUAUUUAUGUCACAGAUCUUUGUUUCCUUUCAGUAAAUACUAUCAAAAUACUUUAAUAAUGGGCGUGAGUAGCAUCUGACUAUCAUUGAAUGUAUAGAAACAUCUCAGUGCGAUCAGCCCUUACAUUUAACACCACAUAAUACUUGCACAAAAUGAAUGUGUUGCUCUAGACAACAAGGUUGUCCGACUUUCUGCUUGCAAAUAUAAGUAAAUGCCGAUGAGUCCAUCUCUCCUCCACAUGUCAAAACCUGUUUUACCUUGUAACAAAUACACAGGUGUCUUUGUUGUCAAUCAGUCGAUCAUCAGUAUUCACCUCAGCAGUGCAGUCGUGGUCUGGGUUUAGACAGGACUGUUUUCUGAGGAGAGGUUGAAUGUGAAGAUAUUUUGAGUGUCUUCAAAUACAUAGAGUAUUCAUAACUUUGGGCAGACAGUUAAUGGACCCAACAGUGGUAAAGACCAAUAAUAUAACUAAUCAAUAAUAAAAAAUCAAAGGUCAGUCAAAGAGAAAUCCAGCCCACAGAAGUUUGUGAGCACAGUUACCUCAUGAAAAAGCUUUUACACACUGUCAACCAAGUCUGGAUGUAUGACAUUGAAAAGUUAUCUCCUUUGUUCAAAUAGUGUUAGAAAGCAAAACCAGUGAGACCUCCAUUACCUGUCCCAAUACUGGUACUCCUCACCUUCAGAUCUGUUUUCUAUGAAAUGAUUUGGUAAAUCAUCCUAAAUAUGUUUCCCACAUGACUGCAUUAAUGUUUCAGAGCUGCAUUUCAUGGCAGUAGAUUGUCAUUCAUUUUGAAUUUGCACUAAAAUAUAACAUUUCUGCAGUAAAUUCAACUACAGGAUGGACGCAUCAAAGACUUGUGCUGCUUAUAAAAAGAUCCAGAAACAGGUCUUGUGCAGCUAUGUUCUUAUCCCCCUUUAUCAGCUUUUGGUUAAAGCUGCCCCAUAACCUUUUGCUGCUUUCAAAUGGUAAAAAAAUAAUCAACUAAUAAAACAUUUUUGGCUCUUUUACAGAUUAGGUUAAAAAUCUUGUUUUCACCGAAAUUUCAAGCCUUGUAUGUACAUUGUUUAACAGUGGCAACAUUAAGAUAAUAAAAGUAAUACCCCAAAGACAGCUGACAAUGGGUGUGUGUGUGUGUGUGUGUGUGUGUGUGUGUGUGUGUGUGUGUGUGUGUGUGUGUGUGUGUGUGUGUGUGUGUGUGUGUGUGUGUGUGUGUGUGUGUGUGAGUGUGUGUGUGUCAUCUGAAGUUGGUUGGGUCAAAGAUUGCCAAACUUGUAGAGUUUGAAGUAUGCCACAGCCUGCCAUUCUUUGCUUCUCUCAUCACUUCUCUCCUCCUCCUUUCAUUUCCAGGCCUGACCUCAGUGCAUUCUUCUUUGCCCUAGGACUCACCAAAGCUCCCUUUGUGACUGUUUAAUGAUGCAUGCAAAUGCAAAUAAACCCAUGGACAUCUCAGAAUAUUGGUCCUGAACCCAGAGGGAAGGAGCAUGGCAGGACACAGACUUUUCCAACAUCUAAAGAGAAUCAUUUUGAACUCUUUUUCAUCAGGUUGGAAAAAUACAUACAUUAGAUCAGUUCAGCAGCAGAAACCAAUUACCCCUCCCUCAUCCAUUCCUCUGCACAACAAACUCUUUUAUUGAUCUGGUGAUAAUUACCUCAGUCACAUCAUAAAGCACCUGGAACAGAUUGGUGGCUCAAAUUAUCGAUUACCCCUGGGCUACCCUUCGUCAUUCAUUGUAUUGCCGCUAUACAUUACUUGAUGAGAUCUGCUAUGCCGCACUUUACUGUGAAUAUCUCAUCUGGCUGUGCAGGGAUACAUUCACAAAGGGGUCAGAUGUGAGCAAUCAGAGUCAUUUGUCAUCUUUUCUUAGUCUUAACAGUAUCCCUUGUGCUACCAAAAACCAAUGUCAACUUGCUGCAUAACUACUAUAUAAUGUUGGCACUUUUUCGCCAGCUUAACAAAAAAGAAGAAAAAAAUCAUGUCGUCUAAAACAGUUUUUGUCCAAAAAUGACCUUACAUGGUGGUUGUGACUGGGGGCCUGCCCUGGCAAGCACCAGCUGUGUCUAAUGCUUCAUUACACACCUUCCUUGAGGCGUGUCAGUGUGUGACCCUGAAACCUCUGCCCAGUAGCCACACAUAAGUCCCCAUCCAUGGUCACUACCCUGGUCUGACCUCCACUGAAGCCGAUAAGUUUUAUCUGUAAUAAAUAAUAAUGUUAUUCUGUCUCCAGCUCUCCUCUCUCCUGUCCUUUUAUUUUUCACACAGCUUACUAGAAGGUGCUGGUGUUAUUCUACAAGCUUUAAUUUUUAAUAGAUCACCAUGGCAGUCCGUCACAAGUCUCCCCCAGCUGCUUUCCAUUGAACAGAGAACAAGAUGACACAAAAAAGAUGUUCGGCUGUGUUACAUUGUCGUUCUCAGCUUUGUGCUUGUCUGAGUAUCCAAAGAACAAUGGCUCCUGGCAUUUCCCCGGAUUCCUCCUUCUUCCAAACAGGAUGAAACUACACCAGACUUUGAACCAAAAAUAGAUACAUCACAUACAGAGUGCAGAAAAAAGAAAACAUGUUUUCUAAAUGCCCCUUUUUCAGUUAACCUGUUUCCAUCUUGAACAAUCCUGAACCUGCACACUAAUAAAAUGAUUUAAAUUACAGAUAUCUGUUUUCAUUAGGGCUGUUCUUUUAUGGUAAUGGAUUCAUUUAAUACAAAUGAAACAAUCAGCAGGUCACCUGCAGGGAGCAACUUUUAAUUAGUAAUUUCUCAACAUGCUACAUGUUGAGAAAAGAAAAAAUAAAUAAAUAGAAACUGAUCCUGGGAUUUGAAAUCACUGGGCUUUCAUUCUGUGUUUCAUCAAGUUGACAUCUAAUAGAAGACAACAUUCCCGAUUAAAAAGAUUGAUCAAUAUGCUGUAAUCUCUAGUGUACAAUAACAGGCUUAUCAGAUGAAUCUUUUAUAAUAAACGGCAGCGUGACUGUUUUGUGUAUUGAUGCAAUCCUUACAAGUACCUUAAUUAGGGGAGUGAAAGAUACCAAAUGAUUUUCACUAUGACAGCCUUAUCCUCAACACCUAUUCAAUCACAGAAGUCAAAUUGAGAACUGGGGCAUAAUCAAGAACCAAACACAGAACCCUGUGAUUAGCUGCACAGAAAUUUGCACGCAACCACUGUGAAAACAAAAGCACAAAAGCCUGAUUUAAAUGCAAUUUGGACUUCAAAAUGUUCUUAUGAAACCAUAUGUUCAAUUACAUUUUUUUGUACAAAAUAAUGAAUCAUAUUAAAGAACAAAUAGGCAAUAUUGGGCCACAUUUUAACAAGAUUAAAUCCUGUGUUGUAAGAAUACAUGAGCGUGAUUGUGCUGUUGAUUAAUCUAUCAUCCUUUAUUCAUCAACACUAAUUCUAUUUCUCACAUCCUCUCUGCAGCUUCUUAGACUCAAUAUUGCAAGAAGUUAAUAUCAGGGAGAAGAAAUUAACAUGAUAAAGCGCUGGCGAGAUAGUGCAGCUCUCUCCGUGCACAAGAAGCUGCCUGCGGGAAAGGUUGCAGAGGAUGGAAAAGCUCACCUUAGCCAUCUGCAGUGAACCAAACUGGCUCUGGGCAGGUGUUCAACAUGGCCAGGUGGAAAGCAGCUGACACAGACAGAGCUCCCCCGCGCUAUUUGUCACUGUAAAUAACAAUUGUUUCUUCAAUAUUAGAGUUGGACAGGACUGAGCACCCAGCCAGUCUUCCUCAUUCUCCUCUAAUUUAGGCAAUUAAAAAGAAAGGUCAUGUGUGGAAACAGAUGGCUAAACUUUAACUGUGUGCUGAGUCUGGGGGCUGAAAGAGACAAUUGACAUUUUACAUGCAGCAUUCACACACUGAGAAAAUAUUGGGGACAGACAGACGAUGAAUGGCCACUUUUAUUUGGGUUACCAAAGUGUAUUAUUUUCAUGCACAGAUUGCUCUACAUAUAAAUCACGAGGGUGGCUUUUCAGUUGGAGCCUUACCAGCUAAAACCAAUCUAAAAUCUACAGGGCAAUCUGUUGUCAGAUAAAGAGUCAAACUGUCCCUCUAAGACCCUGUUUUCUUUAACCAUGUACUGCUGAGAAAACUACUGUAGCCUACACAAUGAAAAAAAAAGAACAACCAGUAAACCAACUGUGAGUGCAGCUGGGAGAAGAAAGGAUACAUUUUCUGUGCUCAGGGACAGGACAAUUAAAGUAAAAUAAAGUCUGCUAAAGUUAAAACAGCCUGCUGAACCUCCCAGGAGUCAGAUAGGAAGCGCGUGUAGGCAGUAAGGUGGGGAGGAACAGCAAACAGAACGUUGUCACACUUCCACUCCCCAUGGAGCCGAGUUAAAACAAGGGGAGACAUGGAUCUGGAAACAGUACACUGCCUCCAGCUUCUGUUAUUUUCUAUUGCAAUGUUUGUGAAAUUCCUGCUGAUGAGGUGAUUAUACUGGAACAUGUGCUUCUUUAAGGCUGACUAGUUACCCACAGUGGUUAAUGUUUAUGUGAGUGAAGAUAUUUUAAUCUGGUGUUUCAAUGCAGAUACAGUAGCUGGUGCAUGAGAGUGUUGUUUAGAGGUAAGGUUUGUUUGGGAAGGGCGGAAAAUGUGUGUGAACUUUCAUUCCAACAUCUGGCCCUAUUUAGCAUGCAGACACGCUGUGAACACUGUUUGCUCCUGGGAGAUUUUGAAAGGAAUUUAUUUUUUGCUAACAUCUUCUUUCCUUGGUUGUUUAAGUGCAUAAGCCAGAGAGCGCAGGGUGUAUGUAAUGUGACCAAAAACUGUGGGUAGGAAGUGAAGAGGGCAAUUGUGGCAUCAUGCUGGUUUGUGGAUAACCGUUGAGAAGCCUUAAAUCACCAUUGUUUCAAUACUUGAACCAGAGCGGACCAUAAGUGGAUGAUGGGAUGACAUUUUCACUGUUAACGUCGUAGAGGCUACACCUGUGUUUUAUACAGUCUAUAGCUGCAGUGGGCAUAUAUGUCAGUCAUAUUUAGUUCUCUUUUUGGUUGCAUAUGGUUGUAGCUCAGGGGUCAUCAGACAAUCUUUAAGGUUGCCCACAAUGUGGAGGUGUCCUUGGGAAAGACACUGAACCAUAAAGUGCUCCCCAAGCGAAGCCGGCUGGGUGUGAAUGAGUAUGAGUGGUUGGAUAAUGGUAACUGAUGGCAGGUUGGCACUUAACAUAGAGUGUAUGGCUGUGUCUGAAUGGGUAAAUGUGACAUGUAGUGAGAAAAUUGUGGUUGGAAGAGUAGACAAGUGCUAGCUAAGUGCAACCAUUACUGUUUGCACAUGUUUUUAGCACAAAGGAAUGUUCUUCCACCUGCAAGCCAAAAAGCGAAGAGCUGUGUCUACUUCUUUGAAUGGUGUAUGACAAUAACUGAGGGUUUUCUUUAGGAAUUAAUCAUCAAUACAAUGUCAUAUUUUAAUGAGUGGAUGGGAAAUUUAUCCUUCCACCUCACUUCAAAAACUACUAAAAAGAGCUCUGCCUUUAUUCAGAGGGUUGAAAUCUCUGAAAGGAUUUUCACCGUGGACCUUUGAAGGUGCCCUAAUGUGCUUAUGGGAAAUGUUAACUUUCCCAGCUCAUGGAGCAUUUGACAACAUUUAUUGGCACUGCCAUGCACGUUUUUAAUGCCGGCGCCACUUGAGCACCUAUGCAUUGAGUAGAAACACAUCAGCUGCUGCUACAGCAUGUGUGGGUAUUUAAUAGUGUGUGUGUGUCUGUGUGUCUGUGUGUGGUUUGACACUAAUCUUUAUGAACAAGUCACAGCUUGCCGUUGGUGCAACAUUAAAUGCAUCUCUUCACUCACAAAAACUGACUAUGGCAUCACACUGUAUAAACCAGCAACUAAACAAGCUGUCCUGUUAAAACCUGCAGACAGUAAAAGUGGGGAACAGCAUAAAUAGUUGAGCCUAAAGAGAGUGAUAACCUGGUUACUGAGUCUCCAAUGUCCACAGAUGGUGAAUAGAUGACUAGAUGAGCAGCCAACAGUCUUUUCAGCACUACAGACAGUAACAAGAUAGAGAAAUUUUAUCCCCAUCAAAGGAUACUUGCUUGGCAGGGAUAAACAAGCAUCUGUUUUGUUUCCGUGGGUUGCAGGACAUGCAAAACUGUGAAUAAAGCCAUGUUUUUUCUAAGUGAGGAUGCUUAAAGGUGGUUGUAUGUUUUUUUUGUUUUUUUUUAAGGAUGGUGAAUUUCAGUUAGUUUCACAGUGAUGCUGCAGCCAAGAGUAUUACAAUCUCAGGUAAAUUAUGACUGUAGCCGUAUCUAACAUUUAUGAAAGCACAAAAGAGGUGUCGCAUACAGGCAAGCUCAUUACAAUAAAGUGGAUCAUAUUUAUGAUAACUCUCUGCUUUUCAUGAUGUGAAUGUCAUAGCAGAUGUGAGAGUAUAGCUGUUUAAUGUGUUUUGAAACGACUGGAAAGUUUUUAAUUGUAUGAAAUAUGGAGUUGACAUUUAAGUGUUUAUGCACUUGCAUUGUUCAUAUACAAUAUAUAAAGUGCUUGGUACUCUCUAGUGAGCAUUUUCCUUGUGUUCCUCUCAUUGUAGUUCAUUUAGAAUGAGACACUAGGCAGUUUUGAUGAGCACAUAUAGUAAAACUCUUGCCAAACUGUUGCCAUAAAAGUUUUCUGAAAUUAAACUGGAAGUGUUUCAACAAGAAGUUGAAGUCAAGGGCGUUUUCCUGUCUUAUCUCCUCUGGAGUGUCUGGAGUUGUGUGUGUGUGUGUGUGUGUGGGGGGGGACUAUUUGCAAUAACAGAGGUGGUGUUGCUGCGUCUGUCACCAUGAAGUGUGCACUCCGGCUGAUGUUAAUUACUGUGGUAGAGUGUGAUAUGGAAAUUAAGAAGCACUCCAUUGACGGCGUCAAAUGCAAAAUUGUCCUAUAACUAUAAAAUGCUUUGAGCCUUUUUUUUUUUCCUUCAACAACUUAUAUUGUGUUUCUACAAUUUUUCCAACCUAAGUGGAGCACCAGGAUAAAAUGUGACAUCUAAUAUAUAGAUCUUAUAUAUAGAUCUCUCCAUAAAAUAAUAAUGUGUCAUCUACUCCAUGCCACUUUAAGUUGCAUCUAUGCGACUGUAGGCAGUUUUCGCAGUGAAGCCACAGGAUUUCAAAGUGUUCAAGAGUAAAAGAUAAGAAGACAGAAUAAAUAGUAGUAGUGAAAGAAACAACCAUUUGCUAGCUUAAGAUUCAUGGAUGUACUGUUGUUAAAGCGUUGGAUCAAAUCAGCUUUACAGGAUCAAAAAAUAAUGACAUUUAAUUCAUCAAGUGACUGGAAGAUGAUGUGAAUGGUACUUUAUGAUCUCUCUUUGAAGAGAACAGGUUGAUUCAAAAGUAUGUUUUCCUAAAGCUCCAUGUAAGGAACUUUCAGUUUGAGUAAAUUUUGGCGCCCCCUGUGGACGAAUCAGUCUUUGCUCAUCUUGUCCUUUACAUGCUUAAGUAGGGUCUUCUGGCAAAAAAAUAUAUCCUGCUGGCUUUUGAUGAUCAAAUGUGUCAUCUGUUGUAAAUAUUUGAUAUAUCUUGUUGCUGAUGGUUGUGCUUGCUGUCGUACAUCACAAAAAAACACCAGUAUGAAUUUUGCUCUAUUUUCCAAAUGUAAAAAAAAAAAACAUCCUCACAGGAACUUUAAACAAGUUAAUUAAUUAAGAGUGUUAUUAGACUCUUUCCUUGCUGUACUGACCACUUUCUUAAUUCUUAAGGCGAAAAUACACUUGCACUGAUCUGCAUUAAGCUACAAAUGUAACUGUCUCGCUUUAAAAUUGUAUUAACCAUUCUGAUUGUGUUUCAAAUACUCUAAUUACAUUCUGUCAAAUUUAAGCCUUAUCAUUUUUUUCCACACUGGGGACUUUAAUAAUAUGAGUGGUAAAAAUCAGUUCAAUUUUUUCCCACAGAAAACCACAUUCAAACAAGAUGUAAUUAAUGAAUCCAAUGAUGUGCAUAAAAUGUGCUUAUAUGUGUUUAAGCUCAGAUUUGAGUGUUUAAUCUGAUAGUGAAUGAGUCUCUUUGUUAUUCCACCAAAAUCCAGAGCUCUCUCCUGGUUGAUAAAACAGCUGUUAAUCGUUUGUCUCCAGUACGAGCAUCAUCACGGUGAAUCUUAAUUAAAAGAGGAAUGAAACCAGGACCAGAGGCUAUAAAAACUGACAGCCCCUGAUAAUAUUUGGCAUUACUCUUAGAGUUAGGGAAAGUAAUUUGGUGGAGUAGAUUAUUAGCCCUCUGCCCUUUCAGCCAGAUAUGACCUUGUAAGCCCCUACACCAGAAGACCAGAAGCAAACCAUGAUUCACUUAACACCUUCUGGGCUUCUAGGAGCCCUCCAAGCACAUGCUCUGUUGAUUAAACGCUAGUGGGAGAAUUCAUAUUUAAACCAUACGCCACAUGAAAAUUAAUGAUAACCAGCCAAGCAGCAGAACACCGAGGAGCCACUACGUGCAAUUUAUGAGAGAUUCACUCCAAUUUACAAUUUAUUCUGUAAUCAUCACAAUGUUCCUCCAUAUACAGCAUAAUGUAGUGCAUAUUUGUGAGUGGGUGGAAUUAUAAGGCAUAUGAGUAGGCUACUCACAAAAGGAUAUAAAUGUCAUUACAGUGCAUCCAAGCAGGAAAUCUAGCACAGGGAACUAGAGAUUUGCCGCUGGGUGGGAACACUCCACAUGUGCCCAUAAGAGGCUAACAGAGUCAGAGAGUGAGUGAAUGGGUGAUUGAGCGAACCCUGCUGAAGUUUUUGUGUGGCCCUGAAUCCAGUCAGGAAUUUAGCUCAGGGUCUGCACGUCUCUGAACUAGGCCACAGUGAAUUUCAAAAGAAUCUGCAAUGUCCUACUCACGACUGGAGUCUGAAGUGGGAAGAAAAAACAGUGCUUUGUAAAACAAAUAUUGUAAAUCGUACCGCUGUUGUUUCUAUUUAUUUACUCCUUGUUGUUCAUGUCAAGCACGGCUUCUCUGUCAAAUGCUCCGACUCUGUAGCUCUGAAAAAUAUCUCCCAUUUCACCCGCAGCUGCUACUUGCAGGAACACUGCACAUCUCGGACCCAACACAACAUCAACCUCGCCUUUUGAUUGAAGCAAUUCAUCACGGAGAGUUCAAGGGUUAUACACCAGGUCUGUGCGUCAUGGUCACACUCCCAGGUCUAAGAACCUGCCCCCCCACAUCUGCUCUGGACCUUCCACAAGUGUUACUUUACAUCAUGUCUACUAAUGUGCAGCAUGCCAUAACUGUCAUUGCUCAACAGCACAGACAGGUUAUGGUUUGAACUUGAGCAUGAUUUUUCAAAUAAAUGUAGGUCUGUAUGUAUGCGUAAUUAAUGCAACCCCUUCAGAUGGGAUCAAAUAAUUAUUUCUAUCCUAUCAUUAGCUUGCAUAUUAAUUUUUUUUCUCCCAGAGGCUCCAUUACAAGAGAGAGGACUGGAUUUCUUUACGCAUACUGCGCUAACAUCCAUUACAUACUACAUGUAAGUAUGUGAGCAGUCUCUCUGAGCUCUUAUAUCUGUCGGUUGGUUAGUAUGUUGUGUAGUUAAGACCAACAUAUCCUACAACUAUUAACUAAAUUUGGAUAAUAAUCAGUGCAAAACAUUAAUCCCAAGAAUCUGUGCUGUCCUGGCUAUAGUGAGUUUUAGCACAGAACUACUAAUUACAGUACAUUAGACUCAGCUCUACUCUGUUUGACUCUAAAAAGCAAGUAUAAGCAGCUGAAGGAGAAAAUCACAAUGCCGUAAAUGGUAAUCAUGCCUUUUAUCUAUUUGUAUUUUGGUUAGGUACCAUCCCAAAGUUGAAUCUAUGAUAAUACAAACCUCUGAUUCAGUCUGUUUCAUACCAAUUAUUGCACACAUAACAUUCUGAGCCAUGAUGUUGAACAUGAUAAAGACAGCGACUUCUACACAAAAGCAAGCAUGUAAACAUGUCAUUAUGACCAUGUUCAAUUACUGAGAUGUGCAAUUAGUUCAAACUCACAAAGCUGAUAAUGUGCCUGUAGACUCAGUUUGUUAUGCAAGAUUCACAGACGUAGAUGUAAUACAAGCACACAGGCUGACAUUUAUUCACUUCAGUCAUCAGAAAGCAGCAUCAUAACCAGCCUGCUGUCAGAUGAGACCUCUCGGCUGAGUGAAGAUUGAAGUUUUCAUGACUGUAACAGCGUACCCUGCUGCCUUUGACAAAGAUAAUCAUUCACAUAUAACUAUCACCUACACACAAUGAUUCCUCACAGACGAGCAGUGAGGGAGAGAAUCAGAAAGACCAAGGAUAAGGAUUACACUCUGGCAGCUGGUAGGUAGGAUAUUGGACAAAAAUGAUUGAGCAAUUGCAUGUAAUUAGUCAUAUUAUGGCCCUCAAAUUUGUCCAUAAAACAUACACACAUGCAAAUGCCUUGGACACUCACAGAGUACACAUGCAAAAUUCUGGUUCCCCAGUGACAGCCAAAUAGGGUGAAUCAGAGCACUGAUAAAACAGUUUGGAUUGUGUUCCUCUCCGAAUAGGGGAGUAACAGAGACCCCCCGAUUACAGCCAUAGUGUGAACAUAUUUGACUGAAGCUUUAAACAUGUGAUUAGCUGUGGUUAUUUCUUUCCAUUCAUGCACACAAGUAAAGUAUUAUUAAAUAGAUUCCUAGGCUGUGAGUGGUUCAUAUCACCAUGGCUUAUCAGAUUCACCACAUAUACACAUUUCCACUACUGCAGUGUUGUGUUGCUUUGGUUUUUCAGCCAAUGUCCUCUGGGUGUAAAGGUGUGGUUAGACUGAGAGCAAAGUGAACUUUCGUGUGAGCUCCUGGCUUGGCUUUGAACCACAGUAACAACACAUCUAUGCGGGUUGCCUGUGCUUCAGCUCAAGUGAAAUGUUUGCGAUUAUCACGGUGGCUUUCUGCCACCAGCUUGUCAACAUACAGAGGUUCAGGAUCUGAAUGGAAAUACAAAAAAGGGGAGGUUUUGAAAGAUUUUGGUCAUUCACUGGCUGAGCUGUCGCAUACUGAGGCAUGAGUUUCUUCCCGUGUGUUCUGGGACUAGAUAAUGUAUUGUUUGAACAUUGUAAUGCAUGUGCAAUAGCCACACUGCAGAAAGCGCAAAGCCAGUCGUGGGAUCUGAAACACGUCAUACUAUUACCAUUCACUUAUUAUCUAUAAUUAAUCUAAAAUAAACAUCUGCCUGUCAUGCAGAACCGAAAGAGACCUGAGUCCUGGUCAUGCGAUACUUUCUAUUCACCUCAGAAGUCAGAUGUUGGAGCUGUAAAUUACAUCAUGUCUAAGGCUCUCCCCACACGAGGACGGCCCCGUAUUGUCUUGGCGUCGGCACCAAAACAUGUAUCGCUGUUUACACAUCGUAUUGUACAUACGCUUAGUGCAUUUACAUGACAACGUGAAAUCCACGUAUAAUCCUGUAGUACAUACGCCCGGCCUAAAGGUGACACUGUGAAAUUGCCACAAAGCACCAAAAACAGAGAAUGCGCAUACAUAUAUGCUGUGUGUGUGACAACGUGGGUUGGGGGGCAGGGAGGAGGAGGGGUGCUAUGAGGUCACCGUCUUUUCCGGACUUAUCUGUUUAUACCAACCACGGCAUGAAGACGAAUACCCAGAUAUCCACCUGCAGACCCGUUUCAAAAAAAGAUGCAGAGUCAUGGACAAAUACACGUCUCCGUGUGUCAAUAUCACCAGAUCGAUAGUUUAUUUCACCGGUGUCUUACAAAUUCGUACUUGUGUAAAGACCACCAAAUGUUAGAGUGUACCAGACACAAGUCAGCAAGCUGAUAAGCCAUAGGCUCUUAAUUUUGUUGGCAAUAAGCAAACACUACUAAGCAACACCAACACACUAUGGGAUAGUAAGCAAAAGCUCCACAACAACAUGUCUACAGGUCGAACCUACAUUUACGCAAUCAAUUUCAUUACACAAAAUAAGACUAAGUUUCUUAUAAACACUUUUAAAAGUAAAGCCACUUGUUGAUGCGGAGAGUGACCAUCUUGGACCAUUACUGUCAAGUAACUGUAGUUUCUUCUGGUUUCUGAGUUUGAAUUUUGACUUGCCGUUCAAAAUGAUGAGAACCUGGCAAAUCCUUGAUUGAGCAAGAUGUAAAAAAAACCAAUUCCAUUGAAGUUGGGAAAUUGUGAUAAACAUAAAUAAAAACAGCAUACAAUGAUUUGCAAACCCUUUUCAACCUAUAUUCAAUUGAAUAUACUACAAGGACAAGAUGUUUAAUGUUCAAACUCAUAAACUUUUUUUUGUUUUUUUUUGGCAAAUAAUCAUUAACUUUAGAAUUUGAUGGCAGCAACACGUGACAAAGAAGUUGGGAAAGGUGUCAAAAAAUACUGAGAAAUUUGAGGAAUGCUCAUCAAACACCUAUUUGGAACAUCCCACAGGUGAGCAGGCUAAUUGGGAACAGGUGGGUACUGUGAUUGGGUAUAAAAACAGCUUCCCCAAAAAUUCUCAGUCAUUCACAAGCAAGGAUGGGGCAAGGUUCACCACUUUGUGAACAACUGCGCGAGCAAAUAGUCGAACAGUUUAAGAACAACGUUUCUCAAAAUACAAUUGCAAGGAAUUUUGGGAUUUUAACAUCUACGGUCCAUAAUAUCACCAAAAGGUUCAAAGAAUCUGUAGAAAUCACUGCACGUAAGUGGAAACCAACAUUGAAUGCCCAUGACCUUCAAUCCCUCAGGCAGCACUGUAUCAAAAACCGAUAUCGAUGUGUAAAGGAUAUUACCACAUGGGCUCAGGAACACUUCAGAAAACCACUGUCAGUAUACAGUUCGUCGCUACAUCUGUAAGUGCAAGUUAAAACUCUACUAUGCAAAGUGAAAGCCAUUUAUCAACAACAUCCAGAAAUGCCGCCGGCUUCUCUGGGCCUGAACUCAUCUAAGAUGGACUGAUGCAAAGUGGAAAAGUGUUCUGUGGUCUGACAAGUCCAAAUUUCAAAUUGUUUUUGGAAAUAGUGGAUGUCGUGUCCUCGGGGCCAAAGAGGAAAAGAACCAUCCGGACUGUUAUCCACACAAAGCUCAAAAGCCAGCAUCUGUGAUGGUAUGAGGGUGCAUAAGUGCCCAAGGCAUGGGUAACUUACACAUCUGUGGAGGCAACAUUAAUGCUGAAAGGUACAAACAGGUUUUGGAGCAACAUAUGCUGCCAUCCAAGCAACGUCUUUUUCAUGGACGCCCCUGCUUAUUUCAGCAAGACAAUGCCAAGCCACAUUCUGCACGUGUUACAAGAGCGUGGCUUCAUAGUAAAAGAGUGUGGGUACUCGACUGGCCUGCCUGCAGUCCAGACCUGUCUUCCACUGAAAAUGUGUGGCACAUUAUGAAGUGUAAAAUAUGACAACGGAGACCCCGGACUGUUGAACAACUGAAGCUGUACAUCAAGCAAGAAUGGGAAAGAAUUCCACCUUCAAAGCUUCAACAAUUAGUCUCCUCAGUUCCCAAAGGUUUAUUGAGUGUUGUUAAAAGGAAAGGUGAUGUAACACAGUGGUAAACAUGCCCCUGUCCCAACUACUUUGGCACGCGUUGCAACAAUGAAAUUCUGAGUUAAUUAUUAUUUGCAGAAAUAAAUAAAUAAAGUGCAUGAGUUUGAACGUAUCUUGUCUUUGAAGUGUAUUCAAUUGAAUAUAGGCUGAAAAGGAUUAGCAAAUUAUUGUAUUCUGUUUUUAUUUACGUUUAUCACAAUUUCCCAACUUCAAUGGAAUUGGGUUUUGUACUAUCAGACUGUAAUUAGACUCAUCAUGGUGCUUGUGAGGGGGUGGAGAGAGAAAUUCUUAGAAGUUUCUUUUUAUAUUUAUAGGACAUAAUCAUCUACAAUGUUGCAUACUAUAAGGUCUAUCUGACCUUUGACAAUAUAUCGCACUACUUGUGGCUAUUUUAUUUGCCUUUAUGCUUUAACCUAAUUUCCCACGUUAAUGUGUGUAUAUAAAAGCCUCAGAGAAAGACAGAAACACAUGGACACAGAACCGUCUUAACUAAAGCAAUUAGGAAGAGAGAAAUCACAGCUCAAGCCAAACACCAUCUAACCAUGGUAGUUUCAGCUACUUGGCUAUUGACAAUAUUGACCCCAGCUCUGUGAGCCACAGCUGAGUAGUUAUUUUCAGCCAAUAGUGAGUGUGUUGCAGUGGGAAAUAAGUUGCUUUCUAUAAAUUAUACUGUAAUCAGCACAGUGUCAAUCUGGAGCUCUGACAGCCUUUAUUUGCCUCCCAGCUUGUGGUAUUGAAUCCCUCUGUUUUUUUUUUUUUUUUUUUCCAUCAAUUCAAAUGUCUUAAAGCUAGCUCACUGAAAUGACUGCAGAGUGGCAUUCAAGAAGAGCUCUGGAAGAAAGGACAUUGCAGACGCUGAACAUUUGUUUUCUCCGGGAUGUUAGAAAUAUUGUUUAAAUGCAUAGUUUUUCUAAUGGUGUUUGGCAAUUAACGUUGUUUUGUUUCACCACAGAGAAGUCACACUAUAGCUCCACAUAAAUCGUCAUUUGUCUUCAGGCACUUUCUCCUUUCAGCAGUAAGCUUUCCACACAGCUCCAGCACACAAAUUCAAACUCAUAGUUUUUGUGUUUAAGUUGUAUUGAUUUAAAGCCAAGGUUAUUGUAGAAUUGCAGUUUUUAGAGCAGGAUGUUGCGUCUGGUUCGUGCAGAGAUCAAGAAAAUAACAGAGGCUAGAGCACACUGCAAUUAAAAAAAAAAAAAAAAACGAAAAACAAAACCCAUUAGUGAUGAAAAGAGAACUAUUCAUCAAUUCAUCAAGGCCUGUUUACAAAUAUGCUUUAAAUUACCUUUACGGAGACCUAUAAUGCUGUUCUGUGCUUAAAUACAUACAUGCCCACUCACUUACAUCGGCUUGUGCUGUUCUAUAAGGACAAAGACAUAAAAGACAAGACUACCUGGCAGCUCUCUACACCCAAAAGAUGAAGGUCCAGACAGCAGCUUUCAUCCAAUAAGAUAAAAAAACUAUUUUGUUACUCAGGUAAUUGUCCAACUAAAUCUUACAAAUGAUCCAGUAUGAGGCAUUUGACUUUCAUGACUGAUGUUUGAUGGUAUUAUAUGAUGGAUCUUGCACUUCUUGGAAUCAGUAUGUCCUGGAAAGUUGCUCGCGAGUCUUGUGUAAAGAAAAAAAAAAUCUGUUAUUUUUUACUUUCAAAGACAAGGACACCAGGAAUCAUUGAGAGGUUUUUAUGUUUUCUUUUCUGGGAGCUAAGGGGGCGCUAACAGCUAGCCACUGACAUUUUCUCAUAACUUUUGAGUCAUUUCAUGACCACAAAGCUGUGAAAAAUCCACCCACCAGCUGUGUCUAACUUUAUAUCACUGCUUCAUACCACUGAAAUUAGUGUUUUCACACACACCAGUAUAAGCUAAAUGAAGAGUUCUUUGAGCUGCAGAUCAUGCAAAGCUUUAUUUAUAAAUGUCACAGACUGAUAUAAUGAAGGGUGAAACCUGGUAUGAUGGGUCUCAUUUAAACUAGGGGUGGCUGUUUUCCAGUCUUGAGGAUGCUAUGUUGAUUGAAUAAUUGUUCAUAGGGAGUUAGUGAAAUCUAGGAAGCUGUUAGCUACCUUAUUCUUUAUUUUCAGAUUGACCUCUUCUGUUUGUGUGGUUUUCUGUUACCACGGCCUCAGGUUGGCCGUCAUCUUAGCAGCUCAUCAAAUUGAGUGACAUGAACUGGCCUGGCCUGCACACCUGAGGCGACAAAUAAAGGACUCACAAUACACUCUGUAGCCCCAAGGUGAAAAGUUGCAUAUUGUAGCCUUCAGGAUUUGUAUGGUUUUUUUUCAUGAUGAUUGAUUUUCUGAAUUAUUAUUAGGGACUAGUUCUAUUAGUCUGUCAUGUUCAGUUUCUCAACAUGAUUUAGUGAGACUGUGGAAGAGUGAACUGCAGGAAAUUGAGAAAUAUUCCACAGUUGAAUCUUAAGGCACUUUGGAGCAAAAUUAAGAGGCUUUAUAUUAAAAUAUACACAUUUUUGCUCUUCUUCCAGUAAUUUUUAUUAAAAUACAGUUUGUAUUGUUAUGAAUAGCUAUAUCAAAGUAAAAGUAUGUCAACAUAGCAUAGUAAAGAAGACCUCAGAGUUUGUAGAUACAGUAUAAGUCUACAAGUGAUGGCAGCUUUUUAAUGUUGGCUUUAGCAAUACUUUUCUUUUUUCAUUUACUGUCAACUCUAGUUUCUGCAGUAAUGUCUCCUUUUGGCAGUGGUAACCCUUGGCAACUUACCUUAAAUGAUUUUGUGUCCUCAAAUUGCCUUAGUGUGUGUGAAGGCUCCUGGGAGUGUGUGUAUGGGCCUGUUCGUAUAAAAAAGGUGUGUAAAGGUGCUUUGUUAAACCAAUGGUGUAAAAAUACAAGGCAUCUCUUGUGCAAUUAAAAGAGGUGUAAAAGUGAUUUUGAUUUAUUAUGAAACCAAGGCUGGCUGCCUCAGUCCAGCAUAUUAAUCACAAAUACUGAUGUUAUUUUAUUGCAUCAUUAUGCAACCGCUUGUAAGAGAGAACUCAGAAGAACAUUCCAGCAAGCAUUUUAACCAUGUGCAGCUCGGCAAGACUUUGGGAAAUGAGAGAAUCUAAAGGAGAUAAGUUCACUUUUUUUGUGAGGUUCAAGAGCUGUCACUUGGAAAGUUGUCUGGCUUAUGACUACGUGGUGUGCUCUAACACUUGCCAGGGUCGCAAAACAUUUUUAAUACGAUGUGUGGUAUAAAUAAUUCAAAUUAAUUACUGACCAACAAUAGAGAUAUUUUAUUAUCUCUUGUUAUUCCAGUGAAACAAUUUCAUCCAAUAAAAAUCAAUCAUAAUAUGGGGGAGUGAGGAGAUACAGCACAAGUGGCAGGGGGUAUCAGGUGGUGCAGAACUACUGCCUUGAUGUCGAGAUCAUUUUCACAGCAGAUUGGUAAGCAAAUCAGACAUGCACAACAGGUGGUUUUCAUUCAAACAUGGAGCAGAAAUAACAAGGAGAAAUCUGUUUAGAACAGGAAAAAAAGCAGCUGAAUCUCCAGAGACAAAUAAAACAGGUGACAGUGUUUAACAUAAAAAAACACGUCAAGGAAAUAUGAUGAAAACCUAUGCUUCUUUUACUGCUACACAGUAAUUGCAGUGGAAGAUGAGGAGAGACUGGUGUGUAAACAUGCCUUGAAGCAUUAGCAACUGACAAGAUAUAAGUCCAAUGAGCAUCCUUGGUUUGACUGUCCAGUGACUUGAUGUAGACUUCAAUAUAAAAAGAGAUGGUAUUGCAUAGUUUCUCUAGUUCACAGCAUAAGAGGAUAUAUUUUUCUUCUCUGUGUGUUAACAAGUGAUUUAAGUUAGGUUUGGUCAGUCAGUGUAGGGUAUUAAUAUUUAUACAGGCAUUUUUUUCAUGAAUGUAUAGCCUUACUUACCCUUGGGUGUGCACGAAAAAACACAUGAAAAAUGGAAAUCCUUGUAUAUUAGCCAUCAGGGUCAGGGUCAGGAGCUUUAACACUCAUCAUAGACUUCAUUGCCUAAUGGUUAUACAGUUGUACUUGUCACUAGAGGCUAAGCUUUUUAAAAUGCUCCAAGUGUUAGCCAAGCAGCAUGCUAUGGCUUCCCAGGGAGUGCAUUGCAAAAUCCCUUGCAAGAGUAAACAAGCUUUUAGACUGGGACAUAGGAGUCUGGGGUGGUGGAGGCAAAGCUGUGGCGGUAGCAGCAGAAGAGUGUGGGCAGCAUUGGUCUAGCAAAUGGACCCCCUUAUUGUGAGAAUAGGCUAUGAGUGAUUGGAAACAAUGAUUCAAUUAGCUGCCUGUCAGCUGAUUACAUCUGAGGCAUAUGACUUCAGUGUCCUGUGUGAACUGACACAAAGCUUCUUUUAUUGGUUUCAGCUCUGUGAGAUAAAAUAAAGAUGAUUACGAGUGAUGAUUUUGUUCACAACAUCCAUAUAUUUUCAACUUGACUUUGCACAGAGAGCUGUGGGUGUGAUUAAUGUUUUGUUCUCCUUCAAAACACAUUUUGUUUCUGAGGCAAAAAGAGAAAAAAAAAUCUGAUGAAACUGAAAACAUCCUCUCUUUGAAUCUUAUGCUCAAACUCAUUUUAUGGGUUUUAUGUGUAAGCAGCGAAGCAUGGGAAGUGUUUCUCUUUGAGCAGACUUAGCCUUCAUUUAAUGAGAGUGAAUCACCAUUAUUACAGUGUGUAGACAUUUUAUUCAUUAAAGACUCUUCACUGAGAAUAAUUAAACUGAUAAUAAUGGCACUUUGUAAUCUCCAAAAUGAAAAGUAAGAGCUUAUCUUUUAAAGCAGGAAACAUUUUAAUGAAAUUAUGAAGUAGUGUUAGAUCAAUCUAAGAAGUGUGAAGAUUUUAGAAAUGCUCCUUCUGUAUCUUUGUGUCAUUUUUGAUGUGGCUUUAAGUAAAUUUUAGUUUCAGAUGUCUGAAGGUGCUGUAAUAUGAAGACUAUCUGAAGUUUUUGUUCCCAAUGAUUAAAACCCUCCAAUUGACCCCGAUCAUUAUGUUUUCCUGACCCAAAGAUAUACAUACUUGUUUGGAAAGACACUGGACAAUAUUAGAUACAGUCAUGUUUGAAUUUCUGUCAACACUAAAAUUUGACUUUACCAUGCUGUAGGGAUCCACGCAAGUGUAAAUGCCCUGCCUGGCAAAAUUUAAUUUACAAUAAAUAAUAAUAAUAGAAUGCCUGCCCUGGUUAUUUUCAUCUGGAAUUUUCUCUGCAUUUCUGUUCAGAUUCUAUAAACAAUCACUUGAGCUCAUUAACCAAAGCUAUUUGAAAUACCAUAUAAUACCAUAGACUGUAUACACUAUGGACAACUUGGUUCCGCCUUCCGUCAGUAUACGGAUUUAAAGCCAAAAAGCUCCCACUAUUUCCGUGAUUUUUCUUCAUUUCCCGAAACCAACAUUGCGCAAAAGCAUUGUACACAUGUAGUGGGAGAGUCUAAGAGAGUCGCUGUGAUGACACUCGGCUCAAACAGCAUAUCCCCGGGUGAGCUACAUUAUCUUUGUACGCCCGUAGGCUGUAUCAAGUGUCAACCUAUAUUGCAGCCCGUCACCAGAGUGUGCUGUUCUUGGGGUGACUUCACCCAGCAAGGAGGCAGAUGGCCUCCAUUCUAUAUACAGUCUAUGUUUAAUACUCUGUGUUAAGGAAAAUCAUGUUAACCACAAGCCCUGUCAGAAAGCCCAGGGUGCUCUCAUGUAGGGGAUACGUGAAAAAGGACAGAAUCAACACAUAUUAGCACUUCUUUUUUUGUAAAUAUUUGACUGCCUAGCUACAACUAACACAAAUAAGAUAGAGUCCAGUCACUAAUUCCUCCAAUUUAGACUUUGCCACCUAUAAUGUGUACAUGUAUGUGUACACAGUAGGUGUAUACUUGUGUAUGUCAAUGAGGAUAAUCACAGGAAGCACAGUAUGACUGAUAUAUUUGUGUUCCCUCUCUUGUGUGGAUGCUUUUUUUAAAUCGUGUGUGUUAAAUGAAGCCCAGCCUCAAGGUGAUACCAUUGGAAAAAAAAAAUCAAUGAGUGUACAGCUUUUUAUGGUUUUGUAUCAAUGAAACCAUUUCACUCACAUUACUCACAUAAUAAAGUUAUAAAAGAAAUGCUUGAUCAGGUAUCUAAGAUCCCAGUUGAAACAGAGUGGUGCAAAAAAGACGUGCAUCAAGCUAAGGGCGCCUUUGAAUUAGACCAAUUUGGAGGUGCUUGUACUUAACGUACUUCUGUGUAUUGGAUUAAGUAUUUCUCUGUAAUUGAUACCACCUAGCUUUACUUUAAUAGAGAUUCAAACAGAGUCCUUGCUAAGGGUUUUAGCUGCUUUUUUUUGGUCAGAAAAUCAAAUCUUGUUUUUCAAAUGUAAACCCUCCCCAAAGAUGAAGAAGCUCUCAUUCACAAGGUUUCUCUUAAAACCAGCCAAAAGGAGUUUCUAAACUGGUUACUGGCAAAGUUUAAAUCUGAUAAAGAUGCUUGAGUACGAGUCAAAAACAAACAAGGUUAUUCGCUAUCAGAGUAACUAUUUCUGAUGUAUAGUUCUGCCACUCUGGUCUGAGGUGAUGGCACAUUUGAAGCAUGUAAUACUUGUACAGUACUGAUUUGUACUUGUUUGACUUCAGACAAGUAAAGAGCAAAUUUAAAAUCACAUACGAGCAUCUGUCAGGAGAUCAGAUAAUAAUGGAUAGAAGAUAAUAAUGCAUUACUUGGUAAAUCCCUUUCCAUAACCCAACUGAUGACAGUUAUGCUGUGCUGUGAAAUAUUUCAUUCUUCAAUCAUCAGAUUUUCUGAUUUUUUUAAUAGUUCUUGUCAUCAUUUCUGCUCUGAUUUUUGCAUCACUUCACUUUCACAGCUUACAUUUUUCAUGAUAAAGCUGCCCUGUGUAUAAAUGAUGUUGUUAGAAUAGAUUUAAGGCUUUGAUUCUGGUCAUAGGGACUAAUAAAUAUGUCUGAAUGUAAACGUCUCUAUGAUUCAACCAUCCCAGUUAAGCAGAGUAGAGAAAAUUUGGAACUAUGGAUACCAGGAUACCAUUGUCCCUUUGGUUCCCAUCAUCCUUUGUACUCUGCUUGUUCCCUCAGUGAAAAUGGUGGACACUAGUCAUGAGAAACAGAGAGAUGACUUUGAAAUCGUGGAUAUUCAAACAACUUUAAAAAGCAUUUUGAUUUCAAGAAAUGAAAAAGGUGAAAAGGUGAUGGACAAACACAAGUUGACCAUAUGCAGACACUGCCAUACAGCAAUGACCCACAUGUCUGAUAAUAUGAGUAAUAUGAAAGGCCACAUGAUAAAUCAUCACAAGUCCAAAAAUUCAGCCACCAACAAAGGACUCAGAGGGUUAGUAAAAACGCUGGAGCCAAAGUCUAACCUCCCAUCACCACCAUUAAACAUGAUUACAAACUCUCUACAAAGAAACACCAAAAAAAACAAUGUUAAACAAGCCAAGUGUAUCUCACUCACCAUGGAUGGGUGGAUUUCAGGAGAGAGCUAUAAAUAGCUUCUUUUUUUCUGAGUCUUUAUUUGUCUUUUUUUAUGUACUGUGGACUCAUAACUGUGAUAGUAGCAUAUGGUGAGAGAUGGGGGCUUUUUGGCCUUAAAUUACAGAGGACUGUACAGUAAAUAGAGCAGUAAGCAGAGGAAGAGAGCAGGCAGUGACAUGCAGGAAAGGGGUCGCAGGUUGGAAUCAGACCUGGGCUGCUCACAUAUAUAAAGCAUGCUUGGACUGUUAGGCCAGGGAUGCCCCAUAUGGUGAGAAUUUGUUACCUUUAUAUGCCUAAUUAAAGACAAUGUGUGUUUAAAAAUAAAAUGAUUUUUGGUUUAUUACUUUCUCGUGAGAAAAAAAAAACACCAGAGCAAACAUGGAAAUCAGGGCUAUUUUUGUACAUCUGCCUCAGUGUGCCUAUGCACCUGAGCAGUUCAAUAGUUACUUCCUCUUAUUGGGAUGCUUGUAGUGUAGUUGUAAUAAUAAGAUGGUGAGAAAAGUUUGUCCUCAAAUCAUUCCAUAAAGGUCUCAAAAGCUUGCCUGAACAAAAGCGUCACAGCAAAAAAAUACAAAGUUGAGCCUUUAUAAUGUAUACUGUCCAAUAAUUUAGCAAACCAGGGUUUGUCGUCCCUUUUGUUCUUGAAGAACUGUGAUAACAGCUCAGAUAAACAAGUAUCUACAUAUACAUACAACUCUAACACUACAAAUAAGACAGAUAAUUCUGUGUAUCAUCCACAUACAAGUAAUUUUUGGCAUCUAAAUGGUGCCUUACUGCUAAUAGCAUGUGUUAAUCACAGUUGUUCUAAUACGUAGAUCAACAGUUUAAUUUAACACUUUUCAGAACACCAACAAUGAAUACUGAAGCCUCUAUUGAGCAUUAGUCAUACAUAAUUGCAGCCUGCAUUAAAUUAGGGGGGCUGCAAUGCUCACACAGUGCCAAGAUGGACUGACAAAGAGAUGUUUUUGUUUGAAGCUGUUUCUUUUUUUAAGAACAAAGAAAAUUGGCUUCUAAAAAGUGUGUUUUUCGUUAAAUAGAGGCAACAGGAAGCUCUGGAAAAAAAAACAUCCCUUUCUUUAAAUGGGCAUCUGACAUGUGAAAAAUAUUCAGCUUCCAACUUAUGAGGCCCGUAUAUCCUACUCUCACUGAAAAGCUCACUCUCAGUAUCGGUCACUAUGUCCACAGUCAAGGAUACGCUGGCAAAUCUGUUCACCUCAGGGGAAGUUGCCUGAGGGAAAAUUGCCUCAGGGGGAGAGUGCACACAUUUGUUAUUCCCGUCUGUCUCCAUUAUGUUAGAUUUAAAGGUGCUGUACCUUGUUUACAGCUAUGUCAGAGUUACAGCUGCCACUCCUUCUCUGCCUCGGAAAAUAUUUGCAAAAAAGGAUCUGAACAGCAUUUAUAUUAAUCAAAAGGAGGAAAGUGUUGUGAUGAUGUGCGCAUGCUGGAGUGAUCAGUUGCCAACACUGGAAUGUUCCAGAAAAAUGAGCCUUUUGUGUUGUUUGUCUUUGAGCAAUUAAGUGUUGACUGUUAUUUCCUCUCCUUUCUCGAGGAGACUAGAGCAGACACACAGCCGAAGAUGAAUUGUUUCAGACUGGGGGUAACUCUCAGAAGGCUUCAGUGAUACUGUGUGUACGCAGAGAUGAUACAUGAAUCCGAGUCUUUCAAAAGACUAUGCUGACAUUUCAUUAUUGAUAAAUACGAAUAACAACCUGGGUGUUAUCCUAACCUCUAUUAACUAUUCAUAUAGUAAGCACACGCCUCUGUAACUCGAUGAAAGAAGCAAGACUGUCAGGCGUAAAGCGUGAGGGUGUGUGUUUUCUCUGGACGCAGCGAUCGUGUGCUCUGCCAGCAUGCCUCCCGCACAUAUUGUCUUGGCUUUGAAGGCGAGCUGUCAUGCAUGUUUGAUCACAGGCAGAAACAGACACUCAGAAGUCUCACAAUCUUGGCAGACGGAGAGCUGUGCAUUUUCUAGAGCAGUGAAUUACAUUUCUGCCUCAUGAAAAUGUUGAUCCUAUGCCAUUUCUUCACUCGCGUGGAAUAUUUGCUAAUGACCACACACACCUCCAGAAACAGGCCGGGAAUAGAAGGGCUCCUCCUCAACAUCUGCUCCCUCCAUCUCAGUGUGGGUCCCAGGAGAUCUAAAGGACUACAUCCCUUCCUGCUUUCUACACAUCCUCCUGACUAUUUACUUGGAAGAUGCUCUGAAGGAGCGGGUUGUCCUGGUACCGAAUGUGAAGAUAUCCUAAGACGACUCACAAACAUUUAAGCCCCUGCGUCGAAGUCAAAGUCUGAUCUCAGUGGAGGCUCAUCAUAACACUGUCAUGGUCGUAGAAUCUGCUCUAUUCAAUUAAUGAGCUUCUCUGUCGGUAUAUCAAACAAACAGAUGUCAAAAACAGGAUCUCACAAGUUUGGAAGCUUCUUGACAUAUAAACUUCUGCUGUUUUGAAGUCACACCUAUGUCUCAAAUGUCAGACUCUUCACCUGCACAUAAAGGCACAACGUCAAGAAACUUUUCAAAUAAAAUAUAGUCAUGGUAAAAAAAAAAAAAUCAAAUCACAAGUAGAGCGAGCACUCUCCUGUCAGGCUCCCUACUUUGGCUCAGUAUUUCCUGUAACCCUAGAUUUUCAUAUUUGGAAGAAGAUUUUCUCUCAAGGUUUCAUUUUCUUUUUGGCAGUUAAACAGGAAACAGGAGCUGGCUGCUUCAGUAACCUCUGUAAGUUGUACCAGGAUUACUGGACAGUUUGGGGAUUUUAAAGUUUAGCAGAUAAACUUUUUAUUGACUGGAAAUAACUAGCUUCAAUAAAUAAAGUCUAAAACAACCAACACUCUCAUACUCUUUCUAACUAACAGGAAGUUUCUGUCAUACAACAAAUGUAAAAUCAUUUAACUUUUAAUAUGUUAAUAUUCUGUCAUCAAGUAAAGUGACCAAUUUUGAAGUGGCUUAAGAAAGAUUUAAAUAUCCAAAUGACCAAAUAGACUACAGUUAAGAAAGCACUCAAGAUCCAGCAUAAUGCAUGAGACAAAACACAGAGUCUCAAAGCUGUAAAGAAGCUAUGUCAUAUUUUUAAGUAGUUCUUUGGGCCAUUUUAGCCUUUUAUUUACAGGACAGAGUGAAAUGUGGAGAGAUGGUCCUGGUGCAGCACAUGGUUGGGGCCGGCUUCGAGCCCAUGACUGCUGUGGGGACUGUGGUCCCCAUGUUUGGUGCGCCCUAGCUGCUCGACCAGCUGCGUGCCCCUGAAACUUUGUCAUAUUUGUUCAUUGAGUGUUGCUAAUACUGGCAGAGUGUCCAGUCCUAGCAUUCAGCCCUAUUUGCAGUUUAACGUCGAAAGUCUGCUGGUUACAUAUCGCCCUAGUUGAGUGGUUAUAUGCCAUUUGAACCUGAAAAUGUGUGCACACAAUUUAACGUCUGCUUUCUACAUCAAAAUACCACCAAACUCUACAUCAUCUCUGCUUGUUAACACGCGAAAAGAACAACAUUGUUGCUCUAUGGCAGGAGUCAUUGACCAGACCUACAGCGUCUGGUGUACCUGCCUGUGGCCCUACUGCUCAUACACUAUGUAAAGCUUUAAUGAUAAAAAUAUCAUUAAUUCAUUUAACUGACUGGUAAUCCUGGUGCCGACAAUCCUGGUGACAACAUUUAAUUGUCUUGUCAACUGAACACACACCCCUGUCAUGGUUGCUGACUUCAUUGAUUCACAAGUAAAAGAUCACACUCCUGCAGACAGCUGUGGCUGGAGGAGAUGUCAGAUGGUCUUGAAUGCAGCUGUCUCCAGUAUCAACUCUUCUCACCAGUGUACAUUUGUUAGCCACUGUGAUAAGCUGCUUAGUAGUACAAUCGUUUUAAGCACUUUGUAUACGAUGAGUAAGUGUAUGAAUCUUUCCGAUGAAAUCUGGUAUUAAUACAGGUUGUUAAACAAGGUCUACAAACACUUCUCAACUGGUUUGAACAUCUUUUUUAAACUGUAGUAAAGGCAUGGUUGUUUGUCCAAUACGGAAAAUGCUCACUGAGUAAAAAUUAGCCAGAGAAGUUGAGCUUCAUCUGCCGCAGUGUGAGCUUGGAAUUGGUGCAGUAUUUUUCGAAGUACUCAUUUUCAAAAAUGAAUUUUUUAUGCUAAAAUUAUGUUUGAUUUAGUUUUAAAGGGCAGUUUUAAUUAAUUGUGAAGAUCUCAGUGUUCAGGCAUGAGUCUGGUGUACUUCUAAAUUAUGUUUGAGGAGUUUCACAUGGGAGCUGAAUGCCUGAAUGUUGUCUUAGCAGAAAAUUAAAAUCUGAAGUUAUUAUUCGUUAACAUGUUUUACUGAUCUUUUCAAAAGUUUUUGCGUUUUAUUAAAAAACAUAUUUCUAACAAAUGCUCUAUCAUUUAAGUCAGAUGUGCUCGAUUGAUCCCAAUCGUGCAAACAGAUGCGGUGGAACACGAAGCAUAUGUUAGAGACAUUCGGAGCAUAUGGACACCACUGGUGAAAAAGGAUUUUAUGAUGCAAGAGUGACUCCUUUUAAAUGUGUCUGUGAACAUCGUGAUGGUUAAAGCCAAGUCUAAGGGUGACUUGAAUUUGAAAUGAUGUACCUGAAGAUGUACAGACUUCUAGAGGCAAUUUAAGCACCAAUUACAAUGUGAGGUCUCCCUCUAAAUCCUAAAAUACAUUUAAGGCCAGGGCAGUGUGGGGCAGGGUUAAUAUCUUGUAUGUGUAUAAUGUAGCUCAGCUUGCUACAUUUGAACCAGCUGCUAACAUGCACUUGCUGAUCCAUUCAGGCAUGUAAAUAGUUGCACUAUUCUAGGCGGAGAGGAAAUGAGGGCGUAGAUAAUUCACUCAACUGUAUUUCCAGGCAGUAUUGCUCCAUAUUUAGUUACAUUUCUUGGUACAAAAACAGCAGGAUCACACCAGGCUUUUCUGUGGUGAUUUAAAUUCUGGGCUGGAAUGAGAAUAACUUACUGAUUUCUGGGUUAAAAAAUACAUUGGCUGUCAAGAGCUCAAGAGAGGAGAUAAUAGAGGCCAAUUACUGGGACUGGCGCCUGUAUUGAACCCUGACCUUAUUCUGCAACACUGGAAAAACGGUAGAUCUACAGAUUGUAAUUUCAGGGUCAUGAAGGUUUUUUCCCUGUAGUAUUUAAUCAGGUACAUCGCUGAAAGAAAAAAAGGAGUAAUGGCACUGCAACGUGUGCCAACCACAGAUAUAAAUCAAGAGCACCUUCAUCAGAGCUAGAAAGACAAGAAAAGGUUGAAGGAGGGUUGAAAAAACCUCGUCAGACACUGCAAUGUCACUGGGUGUUUUGCAUGUGUUAAACUAGAUUUAAAAGCGUACUUUUUCAUGUGGUGCAUUUCUGUGCUGCAAGCUGAGAUGAACAGUCGAGUGUAAUGUAAUGUUGCCUGACAGACAGCAGUAAUGGAUAAUAAAUCCCAGGUUCAGGUGCUGUUGGAUCAUAUAUCACACUCAGACUCUGGGCCAAAGUCAAAUCCAUCAGGCUGCAGUGCAACAGGAAGCACCGGGGCCUGAGAUGCUCGAAUAAAUCCCAUUAUGCUUUAUGUUUGUUUUCCCAAACUGUCUCUGCUACAACAGAAUAUUAAACUUACAUUUGACUUACAGGUUGCAUUAUUGGGGAAAACAUCGGUUCAUUGACAGCUAGAGCUUAAGUAGGUCAGAAUUUUUGCAAAUAAACAUGAGUUUGAUAGUAAAUACUCUGAUAGGAAAACUUUGGCUUUAUGAAAAUUCACCCCUCUGCAAUCUUUUUGAUAUAUUUUUCAUAUCCGUCCACAUUCAUGAGCCAGGGGGGUCUGGUGAAUCAGAAUGUAUCAUCAGCUCUGUGGCAGAAACCCAAGCAAUGGGAAGCAGUUGAAAGGUUCGCUAAUAUGAUAUUUUGCUGCUUGUUUCUUUUACUGCAAGGUCAUCAUAAAGAUAAAAAUAAUCCCCUGUGACAAAUUUGUUUUCAAAAGGUUUCACUCUCCUUCUCUAUCAUCUCUGAGAAAUACUGCCCGAUAGUGCUGACUCCAAUGGAACGCUUUGAUCUGGGCCUGAUGUAUUACCCUGUCUUUCCUGUAAUUCAAAUGCCUCCAACACUUGUUUUGGGGAGAAAUGUAAGGGAGUGAAAUGGUCCUUUGGGAAUUCCACUGAAGGGCUUCUUUUUUUUUUUUUUGCAGACACAUGUCUAAGCAUGUCAGAUUUCUAAUCUGAUGAAAACCUGUGUGCAAACACUUGCCAAUGGAUGGUAAUUGUGCAGAUGCAAAUAGGCAGCUCCCUGAAAGGGGGUACCGUUCAUCAAUUCAGUUUGAUACUGCAGGCGGCAAUUUGCUUGUCCUGGCCUGGUUUCAAAACAAGAUGAGAAUCCUGCUGCUUCAAGCUUCAAACAUUGUUGAUAAAUUUGUCCAGAAUGUGACUGCAGUCCACAUGUAAGACAUGGGAGAGCAGAAAUUAUCCCCUCACUUCAGAUAUAAUGACUUACUGAUCUAUGGGCUUUGUGUUGGGGCUCUAAUAGUGCCUCUGAACAAUGUUUACAUUUUUAAGCUCGGUCACAGUCUCCAUAAAUUUGAACGUGGCAAACUACAGAAUAUAAAAUAGACCUCUAUUGGUUAUCAUUAAUAACACACAGCUUGUUCCCUGGCAUUUUACUUCAAAGAUAAGCUGUCUGAUUUAUACCAGAAAGGCCAAUUAUGCCGCACGUCUGUAAGAAACACUGCCAUAUUCAAUGAGCAACAGUUCAGAUAGUGGGCUAACCCUGAUUUAUACAUUAGGUGAGCGCUAACAAGCUGUCAGUAAGCCUGACAUGGACAAUAUAUUCAGAGCAAAUUUAGCAAGAGGAUAUUAGUGUGUGCCUGUGUGGGUGUUUGUGGCUGCUAAUUUGCCCUUUUUUGGUUAUAAUGACAUUUUAUAUCCCCAGGAAAAAGACUUUAAUUUGACUGAUUGGUUUGGUGACUGAUUUUAGCAGAUAUAAAAUCAAAAGCGAUGAAAACAUAAGGCUCCUGUCAAAGCUAAUUGGGUUUGAGAGCUGAUCUAUCCCGCGUUUCAAAAGCGUCUUAUCUUUUCUGUGCUAAUGGUGAAACGGCACAAAUGAUACAACCUUAAUGGCUGCAUUGGUUUGACCUGGCCUGUGUUAGUUCUCCAAAGAAAAUGAGGCCUUUUAUAGACUUUUUGAUUAAAAGGAGGAUGGAUCUUAAAAGGCGCUUUGAACCAUUAGUUUUUUUUGUGAUCGAUACAAUUCAAAGCCACUUCCUCACUAAUGGCUGGCUGAUCAAGGUCAACAGAGCAUAAACCCUUGUAGUACAGGUUCAUUUGGAAAUGAAAUGACACAACUAAAACUUUGAAAGGCUGAAAGCUCUUUGAUUUUCAAUCUAACUGGGUCUAUUACACAACUGUUUCAGCGAUAUAAUCAGAUCUCAUCAUUUCUAACAAAAAGGUCAAAUUUCAUACAUCAGACGCUGCUUGUUCCUUAAUCAUUACAACAUGACACUAAUUCUGUUUUGAAUAGCUCCUAGUCUUAAGUGCCGCCUGAAAAUAACAUGGACAACUCAGCGGUUGUCUUUAGUGCUUUUAAAGACUUUUUUAUACAGUUCAAGUUCACCAAACACUUGUCAAACAAACGGCUGCCUUUGUGUUUCAAACUCAGGUGCCUCAGUCGAGCAUGUUUUACAGAGAAAAAGACAACACAAAGCCACGUUCACUCAUCAUAAGUGGAAAUGUUCAGCUCAGAGUUCACGAGUCGUCAUGUAGGCUGACAUGCCACAAUGGUGGAGGCCAUGAAAGCUUAAGGCCUUUUAUCCUCACUUCUGUCAUUUAUGAGAACAAGGGGAAAACACAGAAUCGUUCACCUUUUUUUAAAUAAGAGAACAAACCUCUCUGUCCUCUGUUGCCCAGCAACCGUGUUCUCUGGGGCUAAACUAUUUAAACACCAAGCACAGUGUGAACACAUCCACCCAUGUCAAAACACGACCUCAUGAACUCCACUUGAAGACAGAGUUAUGUUACAAUAUUCAGAUCACGAGAAUGAAGACCAACUGAGAUGAACUGAGGAUGUGAUGUAAAAUACACUUUAAAAUUCUAUUAUGCGUGUCAUGGCACACGGAGGCCUACGGUUAUGUGGUUAUGAUUUGUAAGCGCUUAGUUUUGUUUUUUCAAAAAGAAUGGUCUUAGUUCCUAAAGUAAUAUCAAAUUGAAUAGAAUUAUUUAUACUACCUCUUUAUCCUUUUUUUUGCUAAAAGAAAAAAGUCACAAGUUCUUGGACAUGAUUUGUUGUGAGCAAAAUAUCUUCCAAAAUCAUUUAAAUUCUACAUAAAGGCGUGAAAUCUGUGGGUGUAGAUCUGGUAUUUCGUAAGGGAAGCAUUAUUGUUCUCACUUGAAGUACAUUUUUGGUAAGAGUAUUAUUGAUCAAUCUUGUAUUGGCAGGGUAUGGUUUUGCUGGACAUUAAGUCUGUAUGAAUGGUGAAGGAGGCGGAACACAAUCCCCCAUGAUCCCAGGUCCUGUUGGUGUUACUGUAACAAUGAUUUAUUCACAUUAUUAUUCAUCGACGACCAAAAUGACCAAAUCAAACAACAAACUGGCUUGUGGGAUCUAAAAAGCCAACAAGCAUGAACAUUACCCAACUAUCUCAAAUACAACAGAAAUCAUAGAUCUGAUCUCAUUUAAACAACAAAAAAAAAAAAAACAUUUUACAAAUAUUUUUUAAUAGAGAUUUUUGCCUUUGAUUGAUAGGAUAUCUUAAAAGGACAGGAAAAGUGAGGAAAGACAUAAACCAAAUCAUAUCAGGACUGUGGCUCAAUCCUGCGACAAGUACAAGGUGAGGAUGAUUGCCUCUGUGCAUGGGGUGUCCAAUCUACUCUGAGCUACACCGGAGCCCCGCAAACACAUAUUUUAAAUUGUUCCUUUUUUCUCUAAAGGACGAACCCCAAAAGUUCACAUUUUUACCCUUUUUUUAAAUUGAUCAUGAUAUUGUUUGAGCAAAACCAAAGACCCAUUAAUUCCAAGUAAAUUGAAAGAAAAAUCAAAAGGAAAUUUGGUUUCUCUCUUGGGCUCAUACGGCAGAUAUAAACCAGUGCGACACAUCUGUGUGAAUUACUGCUUUAACUGAGACUCACGAGAAACAGAUGAACUGGAGCUAAUCCUGGGCAUGUCAUGAAUCAAAAAAUGACAGCAUACAAUAUUUUUUGCAGAAAUAUUUGAAGGGGAAAAUUAUGCUUGGUUUUAUCCGAGCUGUGGCCACGUCUUAAGGUAUGUUAUGUGCUUUCCACAAUGCAGCAAAAGCAAAAGAGGUUGUUGAUAAGUGGUGUCUUUUGCAAACCACUUGCAACACAGAAAUGCAUAUAAUGUUGUCAAACAACAAACAAUGAUUCCUGAGUUAAAAAAAACCAACGACAAACAAAAACAGUUCUGUCAUUUAAAAACACAACUUAUUUCCCAGUAAUAUUGAACAUAUAUGACACCUCUAUCAUAUGAAGUGCAGUCAAACAGCACGGUGAGGGAAUGCACUCAUGCUCUGCACAAACAUGUCACGUCAUACACACCUCAGUGUAGAAAAGCUAAGCCCAUUAUCCAUAUGGAGUUUUGCUUAGGUAAGCUUUGCUCCACUUUAGAAAACUAACAACCAGAAACAAGAAAGCUACACUUGUAUGGCAGGGGAACAUUGAUGUCUUGUGGAGUGAUGGCAGCUUUGCCAUGUAGACAUAUUGCAAAGGCAAGCUUUUUGAGCAGGGUGUUGCAUGGCAGUAAAUGGUUUUCAAUCUUCCCAGACUUGAGAAAAAAUGCCUCUUUGAAAUGUGCCACACCUCCAGAAAUGAAACAUUGUACUUACAUCUCAGGCUGUCUAAGAUAACAUUCACCUUUGAAUAAUUUUUAUGCCAUACCGUAUUUUUCAGGGUUUGAGUGCACAUGCACUUAAAGAGAAUUACUCAAACUAAAGGAAAGUCAUUCAUUCUCAUAGGAACCCAACAGGAAGCCUUUGGGUCAUGUUUUUUUUCCAGGUGUUUCACUUUGGAUCCACAUCAUUCACAUCAAGAGUAACGCAGAAAAAUAGGGUCACCAGGAAGUCAAAGGAUAAAUGAUUAUGAAAGCGCCAGAAGUGGCUAUCAUUGACUUAGCCAUGCAGAAGUAACUUUUUUUGACGGAUGUUUAUUGGAAAUAGCAUUGCACAAAUCCAUAAUCUAAUUAAUUAACAAACAGCGUAUUUAUUAUUAACACUUCUGGCUGCUGACAGAGUGAUAUAGUGUGACUAAUGCUGAGUGAGCAGGUGGGUAUUCAGGCAUCGUGAGCACACUUUGAUAGCACACAUGCCUACUGAUGGAUGCAUAAUAGCUGUUAGAAUGACUGAAGGUUUGACCUUUUACUUCCAGGACAUUCUCUCCCACCGCAAGGACGGUUCACCACAACAUCCAUAAACCUUGGUCAGGGAAUUUCUAUCUCAGUGAACAAGCAAACCCAAAGUUUAGGAUCGAAAGGUUAGACAAGCAGGAGCACCACAAGACCAGCGCAGAACUUGUGCUGCUGUCAGUAAUGUUUUUCAGUAGACCUGACAACAUACUUACACGGUACUUAUCUCAGACAACAUCACAACAAGAGCAGAUAAGAGGCUAGACUUCUGUCCUCAUUUUCCAGUUCAUUUUUCAUUUCCCCCCUUACCUCCUUCGUUCUCCUUUUCACCAGCACUCUGUGGUGGAUUGUUGGAUCUCCCCUCCUCUGGCUAUCAUCCUCUGUGUGUUGGCAGAAUUUUUCACACAGCUUUUGGCCAGAGAUCAGUGAAGCACCUUGGGCACAGUACAAAAUAUAGAACCGGGACGUGGAGACAGACACAACCUCCCGCAGCAAUCUCCUCCCAAGCAAUUUUGAUAGCAGGGGUGGUGGUGUGGGUUAUUCCUUCUGUAAUACACUGUGAGGCCCUAAGCUUGUUCCCUGCACAGCAGAGAGCACUUGCUUUCCUCUGCAUGACUCUCCCUCGACAGUCAGACAAACAGACAUCCAAUCUUUGGUUUGGAUGAUUUCGCCUCUAUUGACCAUGACCUUAUCAUUCAUGUGUAAUUUGUGAGAGAAUACACACACCAAUUUAUGGCAACAAGAAGGACUCAGGCCCAGAGAUGUUAUUUUUUGUGUGUGUCUACAGUGAUGGAGCUGAAACUUUCUAGGACUUUUGAUGGUCAUUUUGCUUUAUAGCUACAUCAAGGAGAAAGUGUAUGGAAGAAAAUAAAAAAGGAAAUAUUGGACUGGUUUCAAGACGCAGUGUAACUCAAAUAUCAGGGAAACUUUUCUGAGUAUAUUCCACUCCCUGAUAAAAAGUCCACAUAGCUUUGUUUGCGUAAUCCAUCAUUUGGAUAAAACAUUUUAAACCCUUGAGUAAAGCAUUUUGGUAGAGGCCGUCUUGAUCAAUGGGUGCUUUUCUUUUCUUGUUUGCUUGAAUGUUACAUUAAUUCACUUAUUUAUGUGGGGUUUUUGAAAAGCAUUUAUUCCAUUUUAAAAAGACUCUUGACGUCAUGCCCUCAAUUAUUUCUUGACAUUUAAAGCUUAUCUAAGAUUUUUUUAGGCCAAAAACAGACUUAAUAUAUAAUUCACAAAAACAGACAAGGCCAUUAGUAAUAAUAUCAUUUCUAUACAUCUCUAAUACCUGUAAAUGAUGCUGCAGGGGGGCUGUCUGCUGUAAUAAGUUAUAGCAGGCUGCAAAUAGUAUAAAUUCAAUCCAUCAUUGGACAACCUGCUCUCUCAUUUUCAGCAUCGACCAUUGAAAAACUGAUAACAGUUAUUACUACUGAGCUUCACAGUAUAUAAAAUGAUGGACUGUUCAAAGAAAGCACAAUAAAUCUAUAUUUUGCACAGGCAAAACAUGCAAAAAGAUAACAGGUACUGUUUUAAUCAUGAGGAUACAAACCUGGAAUGACACAAACCAAAAGUAUCUCAGAGGAGAUUUUCAUGAGGCUAAAAUGAAUCUAUGACACAGAACGGAUCACAUUUGGACAAGUGACAUGUCAACUACAGGUAGCCGGGCCUAGACAUGUUUUGAUGCAUUUUUUCUGUCUGGAUACAGAUUACAUUACAUUACACCUAAUCUUCAGCAUCACCUGAUACCAAGGCGCAACAAAAUAUGGCGGUCAGUUUUUAUCGAAGUUUGAGUGUUUGUUGAAAUUAGGGGGAUAAAGUUUGUAUUUGAGCUUUCAUGAUCUAUUCCAAUACAAAAUACAACUCAUCUAGCUGUCUGAAGUAGUUUGCUGUUUGAUCUAACAGAAGAUUAUAUGGUAACGCUUUCUUUUACAGUACACUUAUUACUAGGUAAUUAACUAGUAACAACAUGAAAUUAUCUGGUAAUUACAUGAUAACUACUAAGUCAAUACUGUCUAGCAACCAGGUAGGUAACCUUCCAUCAUCAUACAAAUUUGAAGCCGAAUUGCUCUGGUAUUUCCAGGAUUUUCUCCGCUUCCUGGAACCACCACUUGCGCAGUAGCAUUAUACGCUGAGUUGCUGUGAUAAUGCUCGGUUAAAACAGCGUAUCGCUAUGCAAUCUUCUCACGCCCAUACGCCCAUGCCCAUGCCCAAGUGUCAAUCAUAGACAAUAAGAACCCCAAAUAGAUUUUGAAAAUGGAGCUGCACAGAAAAAAAAGAAAAACUAGACCAUAUUGACUUGGUAGUUAUCAUGUAAUUACCAGAUAACUUCAUGUUGUUACUAGGUAAUUACCUGUUAAUUACCUGGUAAUAAGUUUACCGUUAAAAAAAAAAAGGGUUACUGAUUAUUGUAACCUGACCAUUACACCAUUAUGUCUUUUUUGUUGUCUGGAACAUGGCAUUUUCAAUACAACACAGUCUUUUCAAUUUGGGCUGCUAUCUUUGUCUUAUUGUGCUUUGAUGUAAAACAAAGUAAUGAAAAUGCUUUGUGUCUGUGCAGUGGCAGUGGGCGGGCUGGGGUCGUUGAAUGUACUCACACAUCCACAGGUCAUGAUCUACAUCUAUUUGAGAUCAAUUUUUCAAACAAGUCACACCCCUACACCAGAUAUCAUUCCAGAUAAAUAUGCACACUAUUUGCUUGGGGGUAAGGGGUACUGUAAUGAUACUUUCAACUAUCACAGCUCGGUUGGUACAUUGUGGUUGCACUAUAGAAUAUUGUCACACUAUAAUUCACUUAAAACUAGCUGAUUUAUGUAACACGCAAACAUAUCAAGCUCUUGUGACCCUUUGGACCAGCAAGUAUAAGCUGUGUCCUAAAUGAGGGUACAAAUCCAAGAUCAAUUAAUUUAAACAAGCUAGUCUGUAAUGUUGGGUAAUGUUGACUUUAACUAGCUGAGUCAAACUGGCCUAAACUUUCAAGAAGAACAAGAGCAAUCCACCACAUCCUCAAGUGAGUUUGGACGCCUUGCCUUGACACAACCAUUAUGAUGAGGUGAUGAUUAAAGCCAAUAUCCUUAAUCUAAGACUCGUGUAAAUUGACCAAAGUGACACUGAGUGGUAAAAUGGAACACCACUCUGCCAUGAGUAAGGAAUUACAUUUUAACAAGGCUGAAUUUAAAACAUACACAUGGCUAAAGCCAGAUAGAUGCAUUGCGAAUACUCAUCCAUCGAUUGAUCUAAACCAAAAUCCUUUUAAGGGAAUAUUGGUAACACAAAAGCUUUACUGAGAAGAAACAUAACUUUCUUAUACUAAAAGUUUCCUUAGUCCAAGUUACACUUCUUUUUAAUGAGUCUCCCCUGCUGGUCACAAAAAACAGUGCAGGUUCAUGCCCCUGAACAUUUUCUUUAUAUUCAAAACCAAGAGGCUUAGUUCGCUUCUUUUAUGCAGUAAACGAAACCAAAUUCAGGGAUACAGUCUGGAGUCGCCAAGGAAAGCUAUCUCUCCUUCUUUUGUAAAGCAGCACAUGACCGAGGAAGGACAUUUAGUCCAAUAUUAAAGCUUAUUUUGUUUAGUUUUAAUUCAUUCAUGAAUGAUUUCAUUGAUCAGGCUAAGAACAAAACAGCCUUACAGUGAAAUAUGAACUGCCAGUGAGGCAGCCAGCUUCACAUUACUAAAAACCUUCUGCAUCCAUCUAUGCCAUGUUUGAUGCCUGUGGUUAGGGCGCAUAUUGACAGUUUAUGUGUUUGAUUCAUGUUUCUGAAGAACAAACAGUUCAAGCUGAUGUGUUAUUUUAGCUCUAUCAUCGGCAGCUUGAAAGGCACCACAACUGACUGAAUAUCGUCAGUGAUACUGUGUAGAUAAGAGAAUUAAUCCAUGCCACACUAAUGGAACAAAAGACAAGUUAUAAUUUACUUUGGCACAUCUUCCAUUGUCUGCUAAUGCAAUUAUCAAUAAGCUGUGAUACUUGUAGAAAAAGUGUUGUUCCCCUCUCUCUAGCUGGCUAAGGCUUUAGAAGGGAAUGAGUUGCACAGAGGGAUGUUAUUGUUUCAGAAAGAGGCUUUAAAUUUGUGCAGCUGAAUGCAAAUGAAUGUCUUUGAAGUACGGCAAUCUUAGAAAUUAAGGAUAUCCAUUCUUUUCUAAAUAAAACAGAAAGUGGCAAAAGUUGGCACAAAAAGAACCUUGAGGCAAAAAAUGGGAAGGCUGUUUGUAUUAGCUGUCAAAAACGACCAUCUCAUCUUGUGAACUGUUCCAGAAGUAGCUAAAAAGGAGGAGUGGGUAAGUAGUGUCAGUCUUUUUUUGCAUUAAAGAGCAUAUUUUGUUAUUGAAGGAGAACCUCUAUCAGGGAUGUGCAGGCAAUUACACCAAAUGCUCCCAUGCAUGAAAUUCCAGCUGGUUGUUAUUGAUAAAUUUCCAAACACCUCCAAAGACUUUUCAAAUUACCUCUCUCCCUUAUUAAAACUUAACUCAUGCAUUUCAUCCCCCAUCCCUUUUUUUUUUCCAAGGGUAUGUGCGAGCGUGUUUGUGUGAUAGUGUUGGAGAAAGCAGGAAAAUAUGCACGAGAGAGAGUGAGGGAAAGAGACAGUGGAGGAGAGAUAAAGAGAGGGAGUGUGUAGGAUUGGAGUGGUGGACAUAUGAACAGACAGCAUCCAUUUAUCUCCUCCUGGAGUACUGUUGGGCAGGGCUUCAUUAUUAGUAGAGAACCGUAAGCUGAACAUAUUUGAGUCUCUCUGUAUUCAAGAAGCAUACCUCUGCAUUAACACAAGCCAUUUCUCUUUACAUGGCUGAAUGAGAUUCCCUUUAAAAUCAUGCGAAGGUCAAAUGAAUUGCUAGACUCCAAGGGUAAAAGAAAUCUCUGGUUCUGCUCCCUAAAUACCCCCAUGCCUCGAAGUCAUUUCUCAAGAAUGGAUCUGCUUAUUCGAAAUGACAUCUUAAUUGCACUGAGUGGAGAUGAAUGGAUUGCAUAAAUGCAAAUGAAUAAGUAAGAACAGUGGUUAAGUUAUUUAUUUCCUCUGAAGCUUAACAGCCUAAUGUGAGGUUACACCUUUAUCAAGAACGCCACUUUAAGAGGGAAGCUUGUUGUUGGGAAAUAUGUGAGAGAGACAAUUCAAUUAGUAGUGGACAAUAGUAAAAACCCAGCCCCCUCUAUAAUCUCACAGCACAUUUACUACAAAAGAGGUGAGGAGAUGCUUUUACUGGCCCUUUCAACUCUUAUUUCAAUAAACCAUUUGUCUACACUGUCAUGGGACAAAUUUGUCUUUCCUCUCAGCAAACAGUGAGAACCUCUGGCCGCACAAGAUCUGCGCUGCGGUUUGUAAACAACGGACUGGCAGUUCUGGACAGCACAUUUGCUUUGACAACCUCCUCAGAGUAAUCAGACAGACCGCCAUUUAUUGUCUCUUCUCUUGAACCCUUCCUGCCCUCUAACCCAAACCCGGCAGAGAUAAGAACACCCCUCCCCUCAACACAUUUAAAUGUAAAUGUAGCUCCGUGUGGGGACUUUCAUGAAUAAAGACACACUUCCAACUGCGACGAGCCUUUAUUACACUGUAAUUAAUCAUCUCAUUGGGCUAGAGAUUAAUAGUGAAGGAAAAUUAAAUGCAUCUUCGCUCACCGACUCUGCAAAGAUUGAUUUUGUAAGCCUCAGAAAAAUAAUGAAAGGUGCAAUGUGAUUAAAAUAAACGGAGCAGCAUGUUGUGCAGCCCUCAAAUAUUUACAGGGUGUAAAUAUUUAUCAGCUAAGUGUUAAGAGACACAGAAUACCAGCCAUCAAGGCUACUUUACAGAGGAGAGCAUUUCAGCCUGAUGGAUGUGAACUUUUUUUUUUUCCCUGAAAGCAUAAUAAUGACACACGCUUUGAUGUCAGAGCACUCCAUAGAUGCCUGGAAAAGCUACAUAAAACAGCAGCCUCUUUUUACACUCUCUAAAUGUGUCACAAAGAUGUACUCACAAGGCACUGCCUGUUAUGAAUUACGCAUUCCCCUCACGCACCCCUCGUACCGUCCCGUCCUUUGAGACGCAGACAUAAACCCACAGCUAUAAAGUAAAUGCACACUAACACCCCUCACCCCUGUAGCGUACAGGCCACCGGGGGCAGCGGCAGCAUAGACAGCUGUAGAGGUAAGUCGUACCGGUGCCAUGACACGAGGAGGCAGGCUGCCACUUCUGUUGGCUCUGCGAGCUGCAGAGGUGGAUGUAAGUCCGGAUUAGUAUGCAAAGGCUGUCUUGAGUCAUGGCGGGGCAUUGUGUCUGUCCUGACAAAGCACAGGUGGGAGAGUGAGUGUGUGCGCAAAAAGGCAGGUUUGCUUUGAUGCUAUAACACUCAGUUUGUCAUCCAAACAAUCUGUCACUCACCCUUUUGUGCUUUGAUUUCUUGUUGUGGAGGGUGACAUUGUAAAGUGGUGGUGAUUGUAUAGUGAGAUGUUAAAAGACGGACAUGCCUCUGUUAAAUUCGACAAUAGACUUGUAAAACGAACGUGACGGACGGCAUACUUUUAAUCCUUAAUUUGCUGGCUGACUUCACUAAGAACAUAUUUUCAUUCAUGGAUACAACACAAGGGGAUCAGCAGCAGGGAGGAAAGCAGCAAUACACAGUUGCAUAGCUAGAAGCAAAAACAAAUGUCUUACCAGAAGCUAAACACCUGUGGCUUCAACCACAGAACUGGAUUUUGAGCUUGUGAUGCAGAUGGCAAGGUUGAUGAUUAUUAAUUUUAUACUAUUACUAUUUUACAGUACAUGAUAUUGCACUCACCAACAGCCAGUAGCACUGCAAACACUGCUCUUGGCGUUUGCCCAUAUCUUUUACUGCUUCAGCUGCUGGCUGCUUUGAGGCGAUAUUUUUAUAUUAGAGAGCAGCUCUGAUUCAUGUUUGACCUCCCUGCCACACCAGCCCCCUUUGAAUGUGGUGCUGGCAGAAUAAUAAAUGCACUUGUUGGUGUAAAAAUGGUGGAAUCUCAUGAAUGUGAGCACUAGCAAGUGAAUUCAUAAAAUGUUCACGUAGAUAUAAUGUAAAAAGCAUGAAAAAGGCUACCAUCAGAGUGACAGUUAAUUCCUGCACAUCAGCUGAGAGGGAAGCAAAAAUGGAAUACUGAUUUCUUUCAAGACAUUUAACUGAUUUGCAUGGCUUCUGGUGUCUAAAUCCUUAUUUUUAUGCCAUACUAUUUACAUAACACGUAGCGCCAGUGGUCAGGAUGGAAUAUUUCCAGGUUUAAUCAUUCUCUGAAUAAACUGUAUCAGGCAUGAAUCAACAUAAAUGGGAUUAAAUACUGCUCAGUAUUUAUUCUCUUUGAAGGUCAUUUCUGACAUUUGCUGGUCAACAACAUAAUGAUGUCAUCACAGGAUGACAGGAACGGUAUGUUUCACCUUGCUCUCACUGGGCCCAAAACGUAUGCAAUAAAUAAAAUCCAUAUUAAACGCAAUGAUUCAUAAGCUGCUGUGUGCUCUGCUCUGUACAAAAGCAGACGCCUGAUUGCAUGUCUCAUCAAUGGUGCACUUCAUUUAACUUGAGCUGACAGACAGAUUGCAAUUUGUUUUACACACACCCUUUAUGACAGCGUCCUUUACCAUCCGGCAAACAUAAUAUCAUGUCAGUACUUAACGCACAGUUUUUGCAGAAUAUAUUUCCCCCGUGACCUUCAGAUAAGGUGUCAUUUACUACACCGUUACCCCCACAAACAUGAAAACCUCUGUGUGUGUCCUUGUAGCAAUGAUUAAAGUUACAGCUGCUGAUGGUGUACUGUGUAAUUUGCUAGCUUGGAAAUAAUUACACCACACCACUUGUGAUUGUAUCGGCCAUUAAAGUCUAUUGCUUACACAAGUGUCAGCAAUAGAUGGCGUGUAGCAGUUUGUUCUGUACAUUUGUGGUAUAUGAUUGCUCCACUAGCUGUUUUUUUUUUUACGAUAAGGUCUCUUAAGCCCCCUGGCACCAUCCCCUCCUGCUCCACUGUUGAUUCAUGUGUAGGGGGUGACAUCUUACUGGUCUUACAUACCUGCUGGGUGCUGCUCUUUGCAUCCAAUAUUUUCCCCCCUCUAUAUAAACACAAUCCUAUGCUGUCAAGUUCCAUUACGCUACAUGACUUCAGACCCAAACGCCCACUGUGCACGGACUCUGGUGUACAACUCAUCCUUAUCCCAUUGCAAAAGCACUGUGUUGCGUUGUCAGUUCAGAUUACAUUGGGAGUAUGCAGUCAUACAUUGGUUACACAGGGGACUACAGCAUCUUUGAUUCCUACAGCUGCUCUCUUCUCCCAAGGUCCCUGUCCUGCUCCAUAAGCACGUGUCAACUGCCAUCGGUAAACAUCAAGGGCGGCUGCAGUGAUCCAUGAACUAGUAACUUUUUGUUUCACUUGUUCUCUCUGGUUGUGACAUCCACGGGGCUUUUCACCUCGACAUUUGACAUCAAGGCUUUCAAGGAAAGGAAUUAUUAUUCGAAAGGUUGUUGCUGUUGUUGGUAUUUUGCAAGAAAAUGCCAGCCCACACGGCAUCUUUCUGCAUUAGAUUUAUACUAUUUUAAGCUUCACUAAUCUGUUUUUCUUUUUUUUUUCAAUGACUUUGGGAAAUGUGCAAAAUGUUGUUUGUGAAAGAGACAAUCACAGAGCAUUAUCAUCCAGUCCCACAGUUCCUUUAUGCUUUGUGAAGUGUUCUGGUAUCUUUCAGUUCAUUGUUUUGGUUUUACAGCCUUUACAACUUUAUUGAUUUAAUUCAGUCCCUCUGCCUCAAAAGUCUCCUUUUCAGCAGCAAGUACAGUACUUAUUCAGCAAGAAUACACCAAAAAAAUACCCAAACAGUUCUUCCUUGGCACCAGAACAAAACAAAUUGACUUGUAGGAAGCAAAACGAUACACUAACAAUGAUAGAACUGCAGCCUUUUUUGUAUGCAUUCUCCAACAGCACUGUAACCUAUUGCGCCUUUGUACCUUCAUGAUGAUCCAACAUGGCAUAAUAUAGGUGUCCUUGUGUGCCGUUUCACAUUGCAUCAUGGCACUGUAGAAGCACAAGAGGAACUUCACAUACAGUGCCCAGCAUAUGUCAGUACACCCCCAAUUAAAAGUAAUGAAUUACUCAAUAUCAAGAUGAGCAGAGGUACAAUUUCUUAAGUUUUGACAAAGCUGAGUUUAACAUUACAUUGUAUUUACCACAAGAAGAAAAUAAGGGUGGUAUGGUAACUAAAAUUUUGCUUUGCUCCCAGAACUUUAAUUGGGGUGUACUCAUUUUUGCAUCCUGAUUUUAAAUUGAAAAAAAUAUAUAUACUUUUUUUUUGUACACAACUUAAAAAAUCUAGUUCGCAAUCAAUGGCUUACAUUUGGGGGAGUAUUUUGUUGUAUAGUCUGACAUAGAAAAUGUUGAUUUUGAAAGGAAACUAAAGGUUUUCUGACAACUCUGAAGGGAUGUACUCAUUUAUGCUGAGCACUGUACAUAUCAAGACCCACACACACACACACACACACACACACACACACACACGUUCUGUUCCACCCUGCUCACUCUGCCGGCUUGCACCUCACCUCCAGAACACCUCUAUUACUGUCUUUAAUGCACAUUCAGGUCAUAAUGUACCAAUGUUGUGAAAGAGCUGCCCUCAAGGACAGAAAUCACUCGAUGCUUAUUUUUCAUAAUGAAAAGCCCUCCUGUUGUUGCAGACACUUGAUUUACAAGAUGAAACAAGAUGAAAAGCCUGCUUAUUCACUAAUAUAUAAUCAAAGUGCUUAAAACUAAAGCACCGUGAGACAACGAUAUUAUUGAUGGUUUACCUGAUAACUAUAUUGUUCUCUACACAUCUCUUUAAAUGUAUUAUGAACACUGCCAUCACCCAACGGGGAAAGACACAAGAAAAACCUCACAUGAGAACUUCAGUCACUUAUGAUAAAACAAGACAAGAUACUUUAAAGAUAGCUUUGAAGCUUAGGAUGAGACAUUCCUAGACUGUAAAUGGAAGAUGCUUUACUUUUGAACUUUGAAGAUGGAUACCUUUUUCUGCUGAUUGUAGAUUCAGAGAUGCCCCUGAGACUCAGGACUCCCCUGGAUCAGCUUCUAUCUGCAAAGUCCCAAGGGAAGUCCUGCUGGAUGAUAAAGGAAGAGCUACCCUGAAGAAGACAGAUGUCCCAAUCACCUUCAGCCCUGGGAAUUAUUUAAAAGCUACUUCCUGCAUUAAAGAACGGAC